RNAcentral lists this long non-coding RNA (109210 nucleotides) under Prunus persica (peach). RNAcentral's name for it is "long non-coding RNA (PPER_LNC001936)". The record is from RNAcentral. Lineage: Eukaryota; Viridiplantae; Streptophyta; Magnoliopsida; Rosales; Rosaceae.
UAUAUAUAUUAUAUAUUGUAUAUGCUGUUAAUGAGUUAAUAUGGUGCUUGCUCCUAGUUGGAAAUUUAUGUAGUCAUCUACCUAUGAUCAAAUAAAGAUGAAAAAUAAAAUAAAAUUGAGAGCAUCUUCCUCUCCCCUGCUUUGCUCAUCCCUUGUUCUUCCACUUCAGCCCCACUAUUACACCAUUUUUUCAGCCACAAUUAUAAUAGCUCCAUGAGCAUAUUAACAUCAGUGGCCACAGUUCCAUGAUUUGAGUGCACAGAAAGGUUUCAAAAAUUGUCCCAAAAGUACAGUCGUUCAAAGUGAAAGAGAGUUUUCAAAGCUUAAUUACAAGUUCAUGUUAUUUACAAUAGCAAAAAGCUUUCAUUCUUGCUUACAAACUUGUAUUUCCAAGUUCUGUAAACCUUGGAAUUUCACUUCAUCCAAAUCCCCUUCCAAAGCAGGAAAAAAUGGCAGCAGCUUUGAUUGGAGAGGCUCUCAUCUCUGCUUCUAUCGAGGUGUUGUGUGACAGAGUUACUUCAGCCGAGUUCAUAGACUUAUUUCAGCAGAAGAACUUGAUGAAACACUCCUCAUGAACCUGAAGACAACACUGUUGAUUUUGUUUGCGGUGCUCAAUGAUGCAGAGGAGAAGCAAAUUGUGAACCCUGCUGUGAGAGAGUGGCUUAACAGCUCAAGCAUGCUGUCUUUGAUGCAGAGGACUUAUUUGAUGAGAUUGACACUGAAGCUUUGCGAUGCAAGCUGGAAGGUGAGGAUCAAACCCACAAUAGUUAACCAACAAGGAUCUUUUUGAUUGUUUGAAAGAAGAGUCUUUGAUGAUUUGAAAGGAGAGGGUUGCUUUAUUUCUGUUGGAUGCGUAAUUAAAUCUUAUUUGGAGUUGAACAAGGAUUAGAUUAGCUGUAUAAUUAGUGGUAAACGCCUUUUUCUAAGGGUCAUUUAGACUCCUAUUACGAUUAAUUUGUUGUUUCUAAUUUGGACUUAUAGGAACAGACCAAAUAUGUUCACACGUGGCAUCGCUCAAGUCAUCAUCAUUUCAGACUGAAAAUCAGCCUUCAAGUGUCUGUUGAGCCAAUAAACCUUUCUAGAUAUAUCAAGUGCAAUGGAAAUUCAUGAGUUACAUAGAGAUUUGUAAACAUUUUGAAGAUUGCAACACCUGCAAGUGAGAUAGGCGGUGACGAAAUCAGAGCUGAUUUUGAAGCCUCUGAUGCCCCUGUUGUUGCAAGUUGCACCUGAGAACAUGUUUUUUUUUUCUUUGGGGUAAAAAAACUGGCAACAUGUUCGGAGCUGACAAUUCAAUCCCUGAUGAACUAGAGAAGCGAAGCUCCGGUAAGGAAUUGGUCAAGGUUGUGACAGGGAUGAUUGAUGGUGAAAUGGAUGCUAUUUCUUAUUGCAGCCUGUUCUCAAAGUUCUUGUUGGCAAAUGCAAGAGAUGGAGUAUUUUGAUUGGGAGGAGAUAUAAUGACAUGGCUUGACAAUUCUAGAACAGCCCAUCAUUAAUCCCAGAAAAAAUCCAGUUUCUGCUAAACAAUCACUUAUGGCAAGGCCAACUCUGUAAAUGGAAUUUGUGAUCCCUUGAAAUUGUACACAUUUUUUCUUUUUGAGGAAUUUAAUCAAACAGUAUUCUAAUGUAUUAUGAUAGCACUACACGCUUUUGUUGUAACAAAUUACAAGGAGGAAUUUGGAUUGAGUUUCUUGUAUAAGCACACCUUACACAAAUUUGGUAUAUUUUCUUCCAGCAAGUCUGUUUAUUAACCCCCUUAUCUGAAAUUAAUUGUUAAAAGUUUUGAUUCAUCUUUAAUCAGUGUCUAACCCUUGUUGAAUAACACUCCUCUUUCUAAUUUAUAUUUGAAGUUUGAGGUUUCAAUUUCAAUUGUGGGCUUUGAUUUUACAGAUUUUGUUUGUCAAUUUCAGUUUGGACAAAGCAUAUGCAAACAAAAUAAGCAUUUUAUGUUAUACUUUUGAAAUAGGUGUUGAUUUGAUUUAAUCAUAAGUUUUGCUGGUGCAUUUACUAGGCUAUCAUUCAAUACUUUUGAUCAUAGAACUUCUUUGGUCGAUAUUAUCUUUGUUAAGUUUAACCAUAAAUUUAGAGAGGGGACUUCAACAGAUUUAUAAUCUCAUCAUUAUAGUAUUAAAAAUUAGAGAUUAAGGCAUUGUCUAUUAUCUGAAUUCUGCUUACUUUUAGUUCAUAUGUUUACAUCUUAGCAUAUUCAUGCGAUUAGUGCGGCUCAUACCACAAAGGCAACUUUAGGCUCAUCAAGUGCUAAGCAAUGUCAAGCUUCCAAGUGACAAGUUCUCUACAUAGUUUGAGACCUACACUUACUAGAUAUUAGAUCAUUUCGAUCAUUUCCAUAUGUUUAUAUGUAAUUGACAUGUUAUAACAAUUUUUGUAGCGUUAUAUAAUUAUUUAGCAAUUUAAUUAUUUCUUUGCAUCAAGAAAUAGUUCUUAAGUUAUUAAAAAAAAAAAAAAAGAUUUAAAAAAAAAGAUUUGUUGAUGCUUAAAAAGCAUCAAGAACAGGUAGUUUCUUGACGGUUUAGUGACGUUUCAUAACUGUAGGAGGCUUUUUCUUCCGACAGCUGUAAAUGGGCUGGGUUGCCGUAAAGGGCAGACUGAUGAAAUUGUCCCCUUUUGUCUGAGCUAGAAAAUUAAGCCCCAAAAUACUUCGAAAGGGCAGCAGAGCCUUAGGAAGUAUUUUGGUUACCCUCACCAACUAAAACAACAACAACUUACAGGUAAUUUCUUAAUGCUUACAGAUGAACUCUUGAGCUUGGCAUGAGAGACAUGUGGCAUGGAAGCAAAAUCAACAUGAGUUUAGCACUGAGGGGAAAUUUAGGCUCUCUUGGGGGAAAAAGGGAAGUGUUAAGGUGAGAGAGGAGAAGUUUGUAGGAGAUUUAGCUAAGAAAGGAGAAAUAUAGAACAAUGCUCUUCUGGCAGCUUGACAGAUGCUCUGUCUGCCAGAAAAGGAAGAUGGAGAAGAAAUGUGAAUAGUGCACGAGUUUGCUAGAUUUUUGCAGGUAAGAGAGGAAGCUUGCUCUCUGGGUCUGAGUUGAGUUUUGUUAGGUGGAAGAGACCUCAUUUUAUAGCUCCUGGAAACCAUCACUUCCCAAGAAACCCUAAUGGCUUCUACCCAUUUUGGCCAAGCUUUUCCAUUCCUUUCUCAUUUCCUUCCUUGACUUUACCCCUCUUGAUGAAAUCCUCUCUACCUAUUUGCACCAGAUCAGAGUUUUUUGAAGCUUAAGGCCCCCUUUUCCCGCAGUUGUCUCAAUGGGAGACUUUCAUUCCUAGUCAUUUCCUUUAUUGCUUUCCUUUCUUUUUUUCAUGGCCAAGUCUGGUGGGGAAAGGAGUUGGGAUAAAUAUGCUAGUUUGAAGGGUGCUUCUCUUCUUGGCAUCUUACACACUAAUACCCCUUGGUUCCUUGAAUGUUUUGGCUUUGAAACUUGCUCCCCUCCAUGUAUUGGAACCUCCCAGCAGCCCUGGUCAAUGAAUCUUCAGACCUUCUCUUCGUGGCUUUUAUUUUUUUAUCAACUGGCUAGGGCUUUUGUGGCUCAUUGGGGCAAUUGUAUGGGCUAAGGUGGUUCAUUAAGUAAGUGGGCUAUUUUUAUUAAACAUUGAGCUUUUUGGUUGAGUCACUAGGCUAUUUUGAUUGGGCUAUUGGGCUAUUGUUUCCUCUCUUGUGCUCACCCACAUGUUUGGACCAAAGAAAUGAGCUUGAGUCCUGAGGCUCCCAAGCGACCCGAGACUUUCCAUUUAUCGGUCCAUCAAUGGGCCUCAUGUUGAUUUAUUACCAUCCAUACCACACCCCACUCAAGCAAGCCCCGGGCAUUUGAGUGGCUUGGGCCCACUUAGGCUUGUAGUGUGGUUGGGUGCAAAAUAACGAUUUCGUGCUUGGCAUGUUUUAAUUUUAUCAUCCAUGGGAAAGGCUGCGAUGUUUGAUUUCGGCAUGGGCUUGUAGAGCUGGUAUGCUUUAUUUCAACUCCUAGCAUGACGAAUUAUUUAUUUAGCAUGGCACGUGAAUUACAACUCGCAUGUGGUGGGUUUUUGUGUACUACACCUUACGCCUCUUCUUAAUAGAACAUCGUUUCUGAUAAUUUAUUUGGGCCCAACCGUGAAUUUUUUGGAUCUCAAUAAUAACCAUCAUGAAACAUUACAUUUUGACUGACAUCAAGAAAUGGGGUAUCCCUUUCUUGAUAGUGGCAUCCAUGAUGCCUUCCAAGCCGUCAAUUAAGGGCUAUCGCGAUGCAUUUUAGUUGUCAGCAAAAGGUGUUUUUCUUGUACUAUAUUCACUCAAAAUCGUGUUUCAUUUAAGAUUAGUAGUAUGGUUGAAUACCAUUUGUUUUGUUAAAGAAUAUUAUACAUUAGGGAUUUUUGUAGAAAUGUCAUUUGAACUUAUACCUUAGUUUCAAUUUGUCACCUUGAAGAAAAAUUUAAGAGAAAUAUCACCUUAAUUUUUUAAAAUCCAUGAUUUGUCAUAUGACUUUAAGAUCAUCCAAUUUUCCAUCCAUUUUAAGGGUAUUUUAGACUUUUCAUUUUCAAGGAAAAAAAAGAGAUGAAAAAAGAGACCUCUCUCUUACUUUGUCCCCCAACCCAACCCCACCCGCCCCCAAAAACACAUCACAUAGGAUUGCCUCCCCCUUCCCCACUUUUCUUUUUUCUUUUUGUCAUACUUUUCCACUGUGUUUAUGUUGAAGGAUCUAAAGUUUGCUUGGUCACCAUCUUUUACGUAGGCUUCCUAAUUGUUGGUUUGGGUGGGUUGUGGGAAUUUGUGUGUGGAGGGCAAGGCUCUAUCUGACAGGACCCACCUCGAAUUCCUCGAAACCCGAGACGAAUCUUGUAGAAUUUCCGACAUCACACCGAUGCCGGGUCCACUUCUGAACUAAAUCCUCUUUUCCAAAAUUAAGGAAAAAUAGUACGAGGCUUUCUGCCAAAAUUUCGGCAGUCUUCCCUAUAAAUUUAACGUUUCAGCUUUGGAGGCCGUUCUUUCAUUUCUGCUUUGGUGGCCGGAUGAGAGAACGGCCGGCUAAAACGUGGCCAGCUGGCACUGCCGUCACGAGAGAGAGAGAGAGAGAGAGAGAGAGAGAGAGAGAGAGAGAGAGAGAGAGAGAGAGAGAGAGAGAGAGAGAGAUGUUUAUCAAACCAUUUUUGCCAAAAUUACGAUUAUGCAACUGAGGGUAUUUUGAUCGUAUCUUUUUCGUUAUAACUCCGAUUCAAGCCCACUACAUAUCUACGGACUCAUCUCGCCGUGCUCUAUGCAAUUGUAUAGUUGAAAUUCCCAAAUUCCAUCCCAGUCAAAAAGUCAACUUUAAACCUUAUAAAAUAUUCUAAGGGCAAAAUGGUCUUUUAUCUAAUUAAAUUAAUAAUUGAAAAUUUAUUUAGGACCGGGUCGUUACACUGUCGUUGAUGGACUGUGCGAUGGCACUCACACAAAGUCCUUAAGAAUAAAACACACACACACCAUGAAGAGAGUAAAACAAAUGCACAAAGAUUUAUAAAGGUUUGGCCUCCUGCCUACAUCCUCUUGGUGAUCCACCCGAGAAAUUCACUUGUACGUAAGAACAACUUUGGUUACAACUAAACCCCCUUAGCUUUCAUAAGAACCCUAGAUCUCUUUUCUCCCACCCUUGCUCCAACCCUUUGAUGCCCUUGUAAACACUCAAGAAUUCAUCCUUGAAUUCUAUCAUGUGUUACAUCUUCUCUUCUCCCCUUUGCCAACCUAACCCUACAAGUUAUAUUUAAAAUUCAUUGGACUUUAAGUACAAGUUAACUAGGAAUAGGAAACAUAAAAGACCCCAAAAAUUGGAGAAAAUAUGUCUAGAUCUCAUUAGGAAAUUGCACAACACGUGCGAUCCUCUCGAGCGCCUGCAAAAUCAUCCCUUUGCCGCUCGAGCUGCCGAUAGCUCAUGGGAUGGGGGAAUUAGAAAUUUUUUUUUUUCAAUUUUAAUUGUUUAAAAGAUAUACAAUUUAUUAAUAAUAAUUUUUCCAUUUUUAAAAUACCCUUGAAAAUAGAAAGAUUAAAAUGCCCUUAAAAAUGGAUGGAAAAUUGGAUGGUGUUAAGGUCAGAUGACAAAUCAUGGAUUUUGAAAAAUUAAGGUAACGUUUCUCUUAAAUUUUUCUUUACAGUGACAAAUUGAAAUUGAGGUAUAAGUUCAAGUUACAUUUCUGCAAAAAUUCUUAUACAUUAUGAUAUUCUAACAAUAAUUGGCUAAAAUUGAUAUGUUCCCUCUUUUAUUUUCUUUUUCUCUUUUCCUUUUCAUUUUAUGAUCCAAUCCUUUUCAUAUAUUUUUGUUCAAGACUUUGUUUUAUAAUGCUCUAUUACUAAUUUGGUACAGGUCCCUAAAAUCUCGGAGCCGCCUUAGUACAUUCAUAACGUACAUGUUCAGAGUUCAAGAAUAAUGUAUAGAAUGUGAAAUUGACGAUGCCGGCCUUUAUGAGGCAACAUCUUUAUUUCUUUGGUUAUUCCAGUUUAGAAUAUUUGCACAAAUGAGAUGACUCCAAGCAUAAAGUCACAUUCGACCAAAAAGCAUAAAGUCACACACAAAAAGAACACGGACAAUUGCUAAGUUUAUCCUUGUACCCUUAUUUUAUUGAUCCGACCCAAUUGAAAAAUAAAAAAAGAUGAUAAAAAAUAUUGUUCACUGCUUUAAAAUCUAUGAGUAGAGUCCUCCAUUUGAAAUUUGGUCAUUAUACAAAAUUGGAAUGAAAAAAGAAAAUCCUAAAGCUAUAUUUGAUAUAUUUCAUUUUCAUUUUUUGCUGGGUGUUAGGGCUCGUCAAUGGGCCGGGCCUGGCUAGCCCGGCCCGAAUUUAAUGGGCUUGGGCCAGGCCGGCCCAGGCUUUAAAGAGGAGAGAGAAAAUAUCAGGUCGAGUUUUUUAAGAAAAUUCAAAGCCCAAGCCUGACCCAUGAGCCGGGCUUGAGAAAGCCCAUCGGGCCGGGCCGGGCCUAAACGGGCCCUACUUCAUUCAAAAAAAAUCAUUAACUUAAUCAUAAGGUCAUUUUAGUCCAAAUUUGAGAUUAAACUCACUUAAUUCUAAUAUUUUUACUUCAAACCAAAUUCAUAAAACACCCAAUAAAGUCACACAACUUGUAAGAUUUUCCACAAAAAUAAUAAAACCAAGUAUUAUUUUUGAGGUUAUUACAUAAUUAGAUCGUAAUACGUUUUAAAAAAUAAUUUUUAAAAAUAAUAUUAAUAAGUAUCAAAAAAAUAUUUUUUUAAAGGAUGGUAUGAAUAAAUAUGCAAAUAUUUGGUGAUGUGUUCAAGAAAAGGAUGAUUAUAUUUGGUGGUACGAUUAUGUUUCGUGAUACGAUUAUAUUUAGUGAUGUGAUAUGUUGUUCAUCUUAUAUAUAUAUAUAUAUAUAAUUGUUGAACUAAUAAUUGACACAAAUUAAUGUGUUAAUCAUCCAAUUAUAAACUAGGAGUGAAUAAAGAAAAGUAAAUGAAAUGAAACAAAUUAUAUGUGUGAUUUAAGUGAUAUAAUCCUAAACCUAAACUCUUAUUUAUACAUAAUUAUAUAUGUAUGCGGGCCUAACGGGCCGGACUUUUGUGGGCGUGUCGGGCCGGGCUUUCUUGGGCUUAAUCAGGCUGGACCUAUGGGUCAGGCCGGGCUUCAAACACCCCAACACGAGCCUAGCCUAGCCCGCCUUGGGCCGGGCCAUCUCAAAGCCCAUAACGAGCCGGAUCGGGCUUUUUUCGAUUGGCCGGGCGGGCCCCCUCGACCCAUGAGCCCGCGGGCCAAAUGAUGAGGCCUACUGGGUGUUCAAUUUUUCUUGUUUCUUGUUGAAAAGAAAAAUGAUAAUUAAUAAAAUCUGAUUUGGUGGUUGUGCUCGUCACAAAUCAAUGAAAUGACAGCAGUGAUUUUGCAAGACAGCAUACCUUCUCUUGGGGUGCUUUUCAUUUUGCAACAUUUCUUUACGUGUAAUUUCCAGAGGAGGGUUUAUCAUUGUAUAUAGCUCUUCGGGUGGUUUUUUCUGCAAAACAAAUGUCACAAGGAAGGAGGAGAAACGGAAAAGAUUUACUUGGAAUGUCUCAAGUCUCCUUUGAGAUAAAGGCAUCGAAUGCACAACAUUGUUUUUGUGCUAUUUCAUAAUUAAAGUGUGCUUCCCAAGUCUCCUUUGCGUUUUGUAACUUGUAAUGUUUGUUUUUUUGUUUCCCCUGUUUUGUCUUUUAUAAAAGAAAGAGGAAUGCUAGCAACCUUCUCUCUAAUCUUCUCUUUUGGACCUUCUCCCUUUUCUUUUUGACAAGUGUCAUUUUCCAUACACUUAAAACAAUGACAUUAAUGCAUCACACAAUUUAGUUUUUGUUUUCCAAGUUUACCAUUUUAAAAUGUAUUGGCUUUUAUAUUUCCUUCAAUUAUUCACAUUUUGUUAUAACUUGUUUAGCACAUUAUUUUUUUUAAUUUAAAAAAAGUCAUAUUUUUUAAAAAUAAAAAUAAAGUUUGUUUCAUGACAUUGUUAUCAUUUUUAUUUUGUUUUUAACAAAACACGCAUUCUCUUUGGAAAAAUUAAAAAUUAAAAAACAAUUCAGUUUUUAUUUUCUUAUUUAAUUUUUAACAAGCUAGUAAGAAAGUUAUAAAAAAAAAUUAGCUUGUUAUUAAAAAAAAAUUAAUACAUUUAAUAAGGGUAAAUUUGGAAAACAAAAACUAGUUUGUGUGAUGCAUUAAUGACAUUGUUUUUAGUUUAAGGAAAGUGACACUUGUCAUGAGAAGAAGGGAGAAGGUCCAAAAGAGAAGGUUAGAGAGAAGGUUGUUAGCACUCCCCAUAAAAGAAAUACAGGUCUGAACCACACGGAUCUACUUGCAUAAUAAUGGACCAAAUUUAUGAUUUUUAGAAAGAACCUUCUACUGGUGGAAUCUUGGGCUACUGUUGUGGCUCUCCUCUGUGUGCCUCCUUUUUAGAAUGGUAAAAUAUUCAAAAUACCAGAAAAUGUUCAUGAUUAAUGCAAAUAUUAAGAAUUGAAAUUAUUAAUUAAAUGAAGAUAAUAUGGUAAAUUCACACUUUUUCAUAUUAAAAAAAUUAAAAUUAAAAGAAAUAUCAGAUAAUUACUCUUAUUUUUAUGGAACACAGCUACCCAUUAUCUUUUUUAAUUAUAAAAUAAAUUUAAAUUAUAAAAAAAAAAUCCUCUCACAUGCACGGAAGCGCGUGCUCAGAGGCUAGUUAAAAAUAAUGAACUUUGCUUCUGAUGUCUAUACCAGACCCACUCAACCUGCUUUAUGAUUAUACAAAGAACAAACUCGUCCUUAGACUCAUUUGGUUAAACUUAGAAAAUAAUGAAACAAAAAUAUACACACCCACAAGUAACACAGCCAGGAUUGAAAACAACUGGACAAAGAAAGGCAUGUUAAAACAGAAUUUUCAACAACUCAUCACCAUUAGACAAGAAAAAGAAAAAUCAAUACAGAAACAGAAAGAACAGAGAAUAAAUGUGGUGGAAGAAAAACGUUGAAGCCAUUUGUGAAUCCAACAACACUACCACUCUGUUUCUCUCCUUUUGUUCAGGCGGAUCUGCAUAUAUCCUAAGGCGUAUUACGGAAACAACUUCUUGCCGUUAUACUUGAAUGUUGUGGAUGCUUCAACGUUGCCAUCUGGGUGGAGUGGAUUUGUCCAAUUCACCUUCACUAUGGUUAAUCAACUAGACAGACAUAAGUCAGAAACAAUAGGUAUAUAGGUCCAAAUUGUUGUUAUUUGAAAGGCUUCUAAAUUUUAACAUUUUGAUUUCUAAAUUUUGUUUUAAUAUUUCGGCCCACUUAGUUCUUCUCAAAAUAUGUCAUCAAUAUCGUUGAAAGGUUGAACUUAGUGAAUUAUUAUAGUGCAGUACGGUAAAAUAGGCACAUGAUAUAAUUUGUCCACAUGUUCUAAUAUAAGUGAAUAUUUAUUGAUAUUAUUUUCAAAAAUAAAAAAUAUCAACCAUUACAUCCUCCCAUAUUAUAAUACAUAUACAAAUUAUACCACAUUAUCAUACUCUAAUACCAUUUUAUAAUUUCUCGUACUUAGGAGGUAUAGAGCGAGUCAAUGACAUUACAUAAUAUAUAAUUGUUCAUAUAAUGGGGCAACUAACGUGAUCAACAAGUUGUGGUGAUUAAUUUAACAUAAUAAAAAACAUACCAUUUACUAUGUAACAAUUUGUUCUUUUAAAUUGGAUUGUCAUCACUUUAAUAUGUUAUGUUUCUUAUUCUAGUCUCCCAUGUUAAGUGCUUCAGCAUUGUUUGUGGUGUGUACACAAAUUUUCUUAUAAAAUGUUUUAAUGCUUCUCACAUGUAUAUCAGAUAUAGACAGUUGAUGUGACUUAGAAAUCAAAUUGUCAAUAAAGAAAAAAAAUAUAAUUGGUGAUCGAGGUCCAAUUUAAUAGAAAAUAGUCUUAAUUUGUAUAUUAAAGGUUUCAGAUUCGAAUCCUCACUGCAUUAUUGUUGUAUGCGUACACGAGAAAUUCUAUUUCCCAAUAAUUUAGAUUAUCACUUAUACUAAAAAAAAUAUAUAUAAUAAGUUUUACGAAUGCAAACAUAAAAUUACACCAAACAAUAAUGGAAUAGAAAGAUGGAAGUUUUUUUUUUUUCCUACAUCUAAAGUAUACUUUAUAUAUAUAUUUAUUAUGGGAGUUAUAACCGUUUAAUUUUCAGUUUUUAUUUUCUAUUUAUUGUGUUAAUUUUUAUGGUUUAAUAUGUAUGGAGAUUACAAGUAUUGGAUGUCUAUAAAGGGCCACUCCUCCUUCACAUCUGAAACAAACCACCAUCUCAUUUCUGUAUUUUCAUACUUUCAUAUAUUUUCUACUUUCCAGAUUAUUAUUUUUGGGCAACGGUUUUGUGACUUGGAGAUUUCUAUCCGAUUGUUAACAUGCUCAUAACGGACCUUGAGCUUGCGUAUUGGGGAUCGUAUCUUGGAGCCUUGUAGACCUUUAUUACGUGCAUGUAGGGAGGCUACAAAUGCUUUAGGUCAGCGUCUUUGACGUACUUUUGCUUUCUUUUUUUACUUAUUUCUUCGUUUCUUUAUUUUUACUUUACUUUUAAAUCUUUAUUUUAUGUAUUAUUUAUAUUUAAAAGUUUUGAAUAAGAGUUUUACAGAAAAGGAAAAACACAAUUUCAAAUAACACAAAUUUCUCGUUUUUUGUUCUUAAAAAAGAAGAAGCAUUGAUUGGGGAGUUAUGGUAAACUCAGUUUCAAUGGUUGCGAUGAGAGGCGGUGGCGGCGAGGAGAGGACGAAGGCUUUGCUGCCGACGGGGUGGUGUGGCUGGCUGCUUGGUCCUGGGUUCUCCUUUAAUUCUCUGUUUUCUUUUUUCAUUUUCUUUUUCUCUUAGAGUUAUUGAUGUUAAGUGAAUGGACAGAUGCCAAAAUAGGGACAGAAGAUGUGAACCCAAUUAUAUACAGCUGCUGCUAUAGCUGAUUACAUAAAGUAACAAAUUAAUUAAUGCUUGAGUGGAGGACAGGCUUGAGUGGAAGAAUUGAUUAAGGCUUGAGUGGAAGACAAACUUCAGUGGAGGAAAGUAUAGAUAAGGAAAGCAUGCCUCGUUUAACGGCUUUAUCUAAUAAAGAUUACUUGUUGGCACUUGGAGUUUCUUAGGAAUGCUGGUUUUGUUUCCUUGGUGGACUUGAAAGGUGGUGCCUUGGCUCGGACAUCUCCCAAGACAUACAACUGCUCAUUAGCUGAAUAUCUCGCUCUCUUUAAAGAGAUCGAAGCAAACACAAUUUGCAAUUUGUGUGAUUCAAGCAUGAAUAUCUGAUAUAGUAACUAUACCAUUUGUUGGUUUGAUAAGAAAAGUUUGGUUAGCGAGGAUGAAACCAUAAAGUUCCCAAAACACACAAAGAACACGGACAAUUGCUAAGUUUAUUCUUGAGUUCACACAUAUUUGCACAAAUGAGAUUAUUCCAAGCAUGAUUAUACCAUUUGUUGGUUUGAUGUGAAAAGUAUGGGCAACGAGGGGUAAAACCAUACAAACACACACGAAGAACGUGGACAAUACUAAAUUUAUCUUUACGUUAUUGAUCCGACCUAACUGUAAAAUAAAAAAGAUGAAAAUAUAUAAUGUUCAGUACUUAGAUCUAUGAGCACUUGCACAAAACAUCACUUUUGGUCUUUGGUAAAUUUUUAAAAUAAAUGAAUUUUUUACUUAUUUGUGAACUGAAAUGCCUCUAAAAAAAUAAUGAUAGUUCGAAGAAUUUGAUAGAAAUUAAAAAAUAUCCUCAAAUUACUUGGAAUUGAAGACCACAUAGGCAAAAACACGAAAUUGAAACCUCACUUUAAUGAUAAAAAUGGUAAACUACAAAGACAAAAAUGACGUCUUGCCUUAUAAAUAAUUGGAAUUUGCUGGUGAUAAUAGUCGAUAUCAUCUUUUGUCGGUCCGACCUAAAAAGAAGAAAAAGUUAAAAGCAUCUUGUACCAAUUUUUGCCAAUGUGGGCCCAAACAAUUUGAAGAAGUCCACCGGCAAUUUCUCAAAAGCUAUUGUGUGAGUGUGAAGCUAAACCAAUAUUAUUUUGCAUAUCCGACCCCACAUCCCCAUGUGAUGUGAGGCUACAGAGGUGUUUCCAAAACGAAAUAUGAUAUUUCAAAACGUAGCUAUGUAUAGAGUCAUUUGUAUUUGCUUUCACAAUAACAUUUGAUUUUAUAUUUAUACAUUCUGAUAUUUUAACAAAUAAAUUGACUAAAUUUGGCCAACAGGAUUUAGCCGAAUAGAAAAGUUCUUAUUUAUGGACUAGUAAUUUUAAAUUUAAAAUUUAGACUAUCGCAUGUAUUUAAAAAAAACUAAACAAUUGGCUUAAUUUGAUAUAUUUCCUUUUUUUCCUUUUUGCAUUUUAUGCUGGUUGCCGUUAUUAAGUUUUAUCCUUAUUUUUUGUUGAAAAGAAAAUUGAAAAAAAUAAUAAUAAUUCCUACAGCUAGCAACUUCUCCACCUACAAAAAAUAAUAUUUUUUGUUUUAUCCUCAUGUGAGGCUACAGAAAAUUUUUGAAAACGAAACUGGAUAUUUUAUCUCUAACGACAGCUUUCAUACUUCGUUUACCCUGUGUUUCCAAGUUGUGCUAGCUAUUUGCAAACCUUGGAAUAUUACUUCAUCCAAAUCCCUUGCAGAGAAAAGAAAGAUAUGGCUUUGAUCGGAGAGGCCCUCAUCUCUGCUACCAUCCAGACGUUGUGUGACAAAAUUGCUUCGCCUGAGUUCACCGACUUAUUUCGGCAGAAAAAGCUCGAUGAACAACUCCUCAACAAGCUGAAGACGACGCUGUUGACCUUGUCCGUAGUGCUUAAUGAUGCAGAGGAGAAGCAAAUUGAGGAACCUUUAGUGAGAGACUGGCUUGACAAUCUCAGACAUAAUGUCUUGGCUGCGGAGGACUUACUGGAUGAAAUCGACACUGAAGCUUUGCGAUGCAAACUGGAAGAAGGUGAAGGUCAAACCCACAAUUUAACCAAGAAGGUACGUGAUUUUUAUCAACGCAUGAAUGUUGAGAUGAAAGAUUUAUUAGAAAGAUUAGAACAAUUUGUACAAGAGAAAAGUGCUCUUGGUUUGAGAGAAGGUGCUGGGAGGAAGGUUUCACGAAGAACAACAACUUCCUUGGUUCAUGAACCUUGUGUCUAUGGUAGAGAUGAAGUCAAAGAAAAUCUGUUGCCAAUUUUGUUAUCUGAUGAUGCAAGUAAGGAUGAUGUGUCUGUCCUCACCAUUGUUGGAAUGGGUGGGAUUGGCAAGACAACCCUUGCCCGACUGCUUUAUAAUGACGAUGAGGUGAAAGAACAUUUUCCACUUCACGCUUGGGUUUGUGUUACGGAAGACUAUGAUUCUAAUAGGAUAACUAAAACUCUUCUAGAGUCAGUCACCUCAAAGUCUUCUAAUAUGACAGAUCUAAAUUUACUUCAAGUUGAACUAAAAGAACAACUCAAGGGAAAGAAAUUCUUAUUUGUUUUGGAUGACCUAUGGAAUGAGAAAUAUGGUGAUUGGAAACGCCUCCAAACUCCUUUUACUUCUGGGGCAAGGGGAAGUAAAGUCAUUGUAACAACACGGAGCCAACAUGUAGUAUCUGUCCUGCAAAGUGUUCAUGUUCAUCACUUGGAACCCUUGUCGCACGAAGAUUGCUGGUUCUUACUUGCAAAACAUGCAUUUGGAAAUGAAAAUUGCAGUGAUCCAAACUUGGAAGAAAUUGGCAAGAAAAUUGCACACAAGUUCAAUGGGUUGCCUUUAGCUGCAGAAACACUUGGGGGUUUGUUACGUUGCAAUAUAGAUUCAGAGGAAUGGAAUACAAUACUAAAUAGCAGUAUUUGGGAGCUACCCUAUGAUAAAUGUGACAUUCUUCCGGCUCUUGGGUUGAGUUACCAUUAUCUCUCCUCCCAGUUAAAACGAUGCUUUGUUUAUUGUUCAAUUUUUCCAAAGGAUUAUGAGUUUAAAAAGGAAGAUAUAGUUCAAUUUUGGAUGGCAGAAGGUUUAAUUCCAAAAGCUGAGAAUGGAAAGAGCAUAGAAGCGGUAGCUAGAAAAUACUUUGAUGAGCUGUUGGCACGAUCGCUAUUUCAAAAGUCAAGCAAAUCCGGUUUCACAAUGCAUGAUCUCAUUAAUGACUUGGCCAUGUUCAUGUGUAAGGCAUUUUGCCUUAGGUUGGAAGGGGGGGAAUCACAUGUCGUAGAAAAAGUUCGGCAUUUUUCAUAUGCUAUGGAAAGAUUUGAUGCAGCUCCAAAAUUUGAGCCAUUACAUAGGGCUAAGUUUAUGCGGACCUUUCUACCCAUAUCAUUAAAUUUUGUUUCCACUUCUUAUGUAACUAAAAAGGUUCUACAAGAUUUGUUGCCGUCACUAAGAUGUUUACGGGUGUUAUCAUUGUCACAUUAUCAAAAUGUUACUGUGUUACCUGAUUCUAUUGCAAACCUCAUUCACUUGCGCUACUUGGAUCUUUCCGGUACCGCAAUUGAAAGGUUACCUGGGGUACUUUGCAAUCUCUACAACUUGCAGACAUUACUAUUGUCAAAAUGUUUCUCACUCCUUGAAUUGCCUGCAGACAUUAGAAAAUUGACUAAUUUACAGAAAUUGACAUUGCUCGGUUGUAGUUCUCUUAAUAAAUUGCCUGCAGGCAUGAAGGAGUUGACUAAUUUGCAUCAUCUUGAUGUCAGUGGAACUAAAAUUGAAGAGAUGCCGGUGCAAAUGGGUAGAUUGAAAAGUUUGAGAACAUUGACUGCAUUUGUUGUGGGCAAAUCUACUGGGUUAGGCAUAAGAGAACUGAGGCAGUUCCCGCAACUUCGAGGAAAACUAUCAAUUUUGAAGCUACAAAAUGUAGUUGAUGCGAGGGAUGCACUGCACGCCAAUAUGAAGCACAAGAAAGAUCUCAAGGAGUUAAAGUUUUCAUGGGGUGCGGAGGAUGCUGAUGAUUCCCAAAAGGAGAAAGAUGUACUCGACAAGCUCCAGCCUUGCGUGAAUUUGGAGAAAUUAUCCAUCAAAUUCUAUGGUGGAACCAAUUUUCCGAAUUGGUUAGGAGACUCGUCUUUUUCUAACAUACAAGUCAUGCAUCUCAGUGACUGUAGUUAUUGUUGGUUGCUCCCACCAGUUGGACGGCUACCGGCACUCAAAGAGCUCUGUAUAAAAAGAAUGAAGUCUUUGAGGACGAUUGGCGUUGAAUUCUAUGGCAGAAAUGGAGCUUAUCUGACUCAGCCAUUUCGAUCUCUGGAGAAGCUAGAGUUUAGGGGGAUGCCGGAGUGGGAGGAAUGGGUACCAAGUGGAAGUGCAAGUGGAGGUGAAUAUGGUCCAGACUUUCCUCGUCUCCAAAAGCUGAUUCUAAACGAGUGUCCGAAGCUAAGAGGAAGUUUGCCUUGUGAGUUGCCUUGCUUGAAGAAGCUUACGGUGUAUGGGUGUAAGGUUUUACAUGAUGGAAGGACCGCUACCGCAACUACCAAUAGUGUUAACUAUAAAUCUCUGGAAGAAUUGGAUAUAAGUGGUGGAUGCCAAACUCUGUUAUCAUUAUUAGAGACAAAGCUCCUGUCCCGACUUCGGAUUCGAAAUGUUGUUGACAUACAGUGCUUGCCCAACUGCAAUCGUCUUCAACGUUUGACUCUUUGCCUAACGCUGUCAUCGUUUCCCAAAGAUGGCCUACCCACUACAUUGACAUCACUUUAUAUAAACAAUUGUAGGAAAUUAGAAUUCCUACCUCAUGAGAUGUUGGCCAAAUUAACAUCGCUUGACUAUUUGUGCGUACAAAAUAGCUGUGAUUCAAUGAGGUCCUUCCCGUUGGGCAUUUUUCCCAAAUUGACGACGCUUCAAAUUCGUGGUUGUGAGAAUCUGGAAUCUUUUUCCUUGAUUGAAGAAGAAGGAGCUGUUGACAAUCUCAGCCAUCUCAAUUCCUUGCGUGUCUAUAACUGUCCAAAAAUGGUGUGUUUUCACGAGGGAGAAUUGCCCACUCCCAACCUGAGUCACUUUGUAGUCAUUGGUUGCGAGAAUUUGAAGUCAUUGCCCGAACGCCUUCACACCCUCACUGCCCUUCGAUCUUUGAAUAUAUGGAAUCUUCCGAAUCUGGAGUCAUUUGCAGAAGAUGGGGGUUUGCCUCCCAACCUCCGAUCUUUUAUCAUUAGGAAUUGUAAGAGACUGAGGGCACUUGACUCAGUGGGUUUGCAAGCACUUGUCUACCUUCAGAUCGAUGGAAGUGACCAUGUCUUGGAGACGUUGCUGCUCCCUACCACUCUUCACACUCUCUGCAUCUCUGAUCUAUCAACUCUGAAAUCUUUGGACGGAAAGGGUCUUGGACACCUCACUUCUCUUCAAACUCUAAAAAUUUACAGCUGUCCAAGUCUUCAAUGCCUGCCAGAAGAGGGUUUGCCGCCAUCUCUUUCUCAUCUGAGUAUCCGCUGUUGUCCUACCCUGGAGGAAAGGUAUAAGAAUAAAACGGGACAAGAUUGGGCAAAGAUAUCUCACAUUCCUUGCAUCGAGAUAGGGGAAGAAGUGAUCAUAUAAUAUGAGCUAUUCCAUAUUUCACGCUCAACCCUCAACUCUCAAAUCAAAGUCAGGUGAGGUAUGUGCCUUCUCUUACUUUAAAAAACUGCUUCUCUUCUUCUAAUUGAAUACAAAAACCAAAACACAUAUUCUCUUUCUCUUCCAAAAACCCAAAUACAUGUUGGACAUUGCCCAAAUUUGUCUCCAAAUUCCUAGUUUAAAUCAAAUUUAAUGCCUAUGGAUAGUUUGUUAAUAGGUUCAUGCCAUGAAUUAAUCUUUGGACUUUCCCAGGUACUGCAGGUUUGUUAUUAAUGUUGUGGCCUGAUAUUCGUCGUAUCAAUACGUUGAGGAGAGAGAUCGAUCAGCAAUUACAAAAUUGUUAGUGAAUUUAGCUUGUUUAUCAUCUCUCUCCUUUUGUUUGUUAAGUUUUGUUGUUCUAGGUUAAACCCUUGUCCCCGCAUUUCACAGCAACUCUGUGUUUUUCCACUCUGUUUAGAUUUCACUAGCAGGAGAGCCCGCGCGAUGCUGCGGGUUUUGAAAUUGUGUAGACAAAAUUAGAUUGUUUAUAUAUACAAUGAGAUUUAAUUUAUAACAUUAUGUUUAACUACAGGAGUGUAAGUUGCAAAAAAGUAUAUAAUAACAUAUUUUACAGGCUACUUGUUAUGGUAAAAUACUAUACUUGUUUGUAUAUACAUUGAGAUGUUUAUAGUAGGAAGUAGGCAUCAAAAUAGCAAAAGUUGGAUAGUUUUGUACAGAAUGUUAUUUAAUUGGGCAAGCUUUGUUUUGCACUUGCUUCAUGAUUUUUCUUCUCUUUCAUGGAAGUCUUGAUCCUGUUAUAAAAAAAAGUGAGAAAAUAGUAAAUGUUAAUAUUGAUGAAUGGGGGAAAUUGAGUUAGGACAAUAAUCAUAAACAUUUAAUUAUGUAUAAACAGGAAUAAUAUAAUUUAUUGAUUUAAUAAGAAAGUUAUAAAUAGUUUUUCAAUCUAGGAAAUACAAAGUUACAAAAUUAAGAGAACUAAUGAGCAAGUUGUAGAUGGUUUUCUAAUUGAAGUAAUACAAAGUAAACAUAUUUUAAAUUUUGUGUUUGUCUAAAAGAAAAGUUGAAGAGAGGCAAAAUAAUUAUGGUUGAAUAUAUGGAGAAAAGGAUGUCAAUAUAAUGUUUAGGUUUUUAUGUAUUAGGAAUAUAUGACUUUUUUGCUGUUAUUUAGAGCAAAAAUUAUUUAAGGGCUUGACAUUUCUGUUAAAAAACGGGUAGAAUCUACCCUGAAAAAUGGACAUUUUGCCAAAAAAUUCACCUGUAAACUAAUUAGUACUGAAUACCGAUUGGCGAAGGCAAGACAAUCAUAGUUGUGGAGUACAUAGUUAGAAAGAUGAAUGUGCAAACGUACAUCUAACCCCAUGAUAUACAUCUAACCCCAUGUGAACAUGAUUUAUUCUACAACAAUGAUUAUCAAUUUUCUAAUUGCUCAUUUUCCUAACCCUAAUCAUCACAAACCCAAAAUUAACUCUAAAAAUUUCAAAUAAGCAUGGUUCUAAACCAAUUUCUAACUUACUUAGCGAAGUCUUUUCUAUAAAUGAUAGUUGUUGAAGAAAAAGGGAAACGAAAAUAAGCUUUUAGUGUAUAAGUACAUUGAAGCAAAACAUGAAGAGAAUCCAAUAUAUAACUUCAAUAUAUAACUUUAAUUUUCUAUAAGUGUUGAUCUAAAUUUACAUCCCUUACCACUCUUCAAUUUAAAAAUAGUUUUAGCUACAACAAACAACUUCAGAGAGAAGAUUUGGCCCUGUUUUAUAAGGCAAAACCUCUCUAACCACAUGACAUACAUCUAACUCCAUGUGAACGUGAUUUAUUCUACAACAAUGAUUAUCAAUUUCCUAAUUGCUCAUUUCCCUAACCCUAAUCAUCACAAACCCAAAAUUAAUUCUAAAAAUUUCAAAUAAGCAUGGUACUAAACCAAUUUCCAACUUACUUAGUGAAGUCUUUUAUAUAAAUGAUAGUUGUUAAGGAAAAACGGAAACAAAAAUAAGCUUUUAGUGUAUAUGCACAGCACAGAAAUUGCAUGUAGCUUUCCGAUUUUUAUCCCAACUUCGUUUCUGUGGAAUCACAAAACUACAUACGCACAGCACAGGGAAGGGAAAAAAAAAAAAAGGCACAUUUAAGAGACACCUAUCUUCUCAUUCUACAUCACAUCCUCUUUUCCUAGCUUUCCAACCUUGCAACCAAAGCAAACAUCUUUCCUGAUAAAGGGUAGGAAAGAAAGUGGUUGUGUGAAUUGGGAUGAGAGAGACAGAGACAGAGACAGAGACAGAGAGACAAAGAGAGAGAGAGAAAAGAGAAAUCAAAGUAUAUAUAUAAAUAGUAAGUAUAGUUUAUAUCAUGCAAAGUUUUGAUGGUUUCGUUCAAAAAAAAAACAGGGAAAAAGUUUUGAUGGGUAAUUCUAGUAAUAAUGUUCUUAUAAUUCUAUAUAUAUAUAGAUAUCAAACUGUACUACCAUAUUCUUCCUAUAUAUACACUUGGUCGUCAACUACCUCUCUCUCUCUCUCUCUCUCUCUCUCUCUCUCUCUCUCUCUCUCUCUCUCUCUGUGACCUGCAUUUAUACAGAACCAAUUAUUCCAUCUUCACUAUACAUUUUCCUCAUCUUCCCAUUCAUAUUUUAUGGCUCUCUUGUUCUUCCUCCUAAUUCUUUUGGUCCCUGCAAGCAAUACUAAUUGGCCACCAUCACCUGGCUACUGGCCAAGUUCUAAAUUCAGGUCUAUGAGCUUUUAUAAAGGAUUUAAAACUCUCUGGGGUCCUCAGCAUCAAAGCUUAGACCAACAUGCAUUAACAAUCUGGGUUUAAUGAGGCCAGAAAAUUUUAAGAACUUAUCUACCAAGCAUACCAAACUGACAAAGCAAACCAUAUCUGUAUUUUAUCAUCAAUUUCAUCAAUUUUAUCACCAACAACAGAUAAAAAAAGGGAAUUUUUUCAAAAAAAAAAAAAAGGAAAAAACAUAAAUAAAAAAAGGGGCACAUUUAAGAGAGACCUAUCUUCUCAUUCUACAUCACAUCCUCUUUUCAUUUUGAAGCGGUCAUGUGUUGUGAGUUUCUUGUUUUAUAAAUUUUCAAAACUGUUGUUUAGAACUGCAAAAUUCUUCAUCAUAUAUCUUGCCUUCUAAUAUACAUUCUGUAUCAGGAAACUGGAAUGAGGCUUGCUCUUUGAGGAAGAGAAAUAAAAGAAAAAGUUGUGGCAAAGGUUCACGGAUGUAGUUGGAUUGUAGUGGGACAGAGAACAAAUUUAUUUGUUGCAGGGGAAAAGUCUCAUCCAAAUGCUAUGAAAUCAUGGCAACUUUAAAGUAUUGGACAGCAAUAAUGAAAGAAGAGGGCUAUGUUGGUGACACAGAUUCUUGCUUGCAUGAAUAAGAGGGAGAAAAGCCCCUAUGGUAUUGACUGUUGCCGCCAAGUGCAUAUUGUUAUUACUAUGCGUACUACAUCCCAAGGCCUCUCUCAGCAGGAUUACAAAGUAAACCAGAAUUACUAUCCCAGCAGUAUUCUGCAACUUUGCUCUGCACUUCCUUAUGUAAUCUCUCUCUCUCUCUCUCUCUCUCUCUCUCUCUAUAAAUAUAUAUAUACACACACACACACACACACACAUAUAUCUAGGCAUGCAUAUUUAUGAGUUCCCCAUUGAGGAGGGAUUCCCUUUUGAGGAUUUUAUAAUUAGAAUUAGACUGCCUUCUUAACCAAUAGUUGGGUUUGUGUGGUAAGGUAUGCUGGGUUUGUUGAUGUGGAUAUUUAUGCCUGGAGGUGCUUUGUUUUACUACUUCGUUGAAGUAGAAACAGACACUGACAAAGAAGCCCUUCAUUCUUUGUCUCAAUAGUGAUUGGUUUCUUUGAUCCUAUUCAUCAUAUCUGGUGGUGAGGUUGCCUAAUCAGCCAAAUGUUGGGUUCAACUACCUCUCUCUCUCUCUCUCUCUCUCUCUCUCUCUCUGUCUCUCUCUCUCUUUCUCUCUCUCUCUGUGACCUGCAUUUAUACAGAGCCAAUUAUUCCAUCUUCACUUUACAUUUUCCUCAUCUUCCCAUUCAUAUUUUAUGGCUUUCUUGCUCUUCCUCCUAAUUCUUUUGGUCCCUGCAAGCAAUACUAAUUGGCCACCAUCACCUGGCUACUGGCCAAGUUCUAAAUUGGCCAGAAAAUUUUAAGAACUUAUCUACCAAGCAUACCAAACUGACAAAGCAAACCAUAUCUGUAUUUUAUCAUCAAUUUUAUCGCCAACAACAGAUAAAAAAAGGGAAUUUUUUCAAAAAAAAAAAAAAAAAAGGAAAAAACAUGUUUAGUCUUUGCUUUCCAAUGUUUUAUCCAAAAACCUGAAAAUCAAAGUAACUAAAUAAAUGAACCCAAUCAUUCCUAAUUUCUAUUUUGUCAAAACCUAAUUAAGCUUCACUUCUUUUUUGCUUGUAUUUUAUCAUCAAUUUCAUCUAUUUUAUCACCAAUAGCAGAUAAAAAAAGGAAAUUUUUUCAAUUAAAAAAAAAAAAAACAUACUCAGUCUUUGCUUUCCAAUGUUUUAUCUAAAAACCUAAAAUCAAAGGAAUCAAAUAAAUAGGGUUUAGGGCUCAAGAACCUGAAAUCAAAAGAACCAAAAAAAUGAACACAACUCUACAUAGCACGAAAAAUCUCCCAGCCAACAAUCAAAUUCAUGAAAUAAAUACCAAAAGAUCUGUUAAAAAAUUGAUGAGAUGCAUACCUGAAAACAAAGGAUGCAACAAAGAUGGAAGCCUGAGUCGAAGCAAGAACGAUGGAAGCCUGAGUCGAAGCAAGAAAGAUGGAAGCCUGAGUCGAAGGUUGUAGAAAAGACGAAAUCUCCCGAUCCCAAAUCUGUGACACGAAGACUGAAAGCACGGCUGGAUUUGCAGCUCACCUCCCAAACAAAAAUCGACGGCCUUCAACGCAUCUCCAGCAACGAACACAACUCUUCCAUGGCUGCCCCCCAACCAGCUGGUUGGAAACGAACGGGAGAAAAUGGUUUCUCUCAGCGGACGAAACCAUCUCAACGAAGGGGGAGGGGCAAAAACGGGAACAAAAGAAACUGUUUAGUCAAGGGCAGUUUCGUCAUUUAACUGUGCUGCAGGAAAAAAAACGAAAACAGCAGAAAAAUGAGGGGCAUUUCCGUCAUUACACUGUGCUUAGCUACAGUGUUUAGUUGCAUUGGGUUUUAGUAUAUAUAUAAUUUAUGUUGUGAUUCGACUGCUGCUGUAUUUUAGAUUUAUAGGAACAGACCAAACAUGUUGAUUCUAUCACCAAAAUUAUAAAGUAUACUUCCAUUACAAUUAAUUUGUUGAUUCUAAUUUGGACUUGUAGGAACAGACCAAACAUGUUCAUACGUGGCAUUGCUCAAGUCAUCAUCAUUCGGGACAGAGAAUAAGCCUUCAAAUGUCUGCUGAGUCAAUGAACCUUUCUAGAUAUCUCAAGUGUAAUGGAAAUUGAUGAGUUACAAAGGAUUUGUAAACAUUUUCUACUGGAGGCUAGAAAUGCUUCAAAUAAAUGACUCUGUUGCAAUUAUUUUGUAGGAUCAAAGACUCUGCAAAGAGGUAAGAAAGUCAUCAUCAAGUAACUUCGCUCUUCAUACUUUUUAUUAGGGGUGGGCAUUGGAACCGCAAAACCGCAAAACCGAACCAACCCAAUCCGAAAAAAACCGAAAAAAACCGUGUUGACCGAAAAAGUCAAAAACCGAGACAAAUCCAAACCGAACCGGUUCAGACCGGUUCCGGUUCCGAUUUUCCACCUUAAGGAACCGGUCCAAUCCGAACCGGUCCAAUAUAAUUAAUUUUUAUAUUAUAUUUAUAUUUAUAUUUAAAAUAUCAAAUUUUGUAGGCCCAAACCCAACUAUUUCAUUAUACCAACAAAAAGCCCAAAUCUCCCAAGUCCAUUGCCCAAGUCCAACAAGCCAUAUUUUAAUAUCCUAAUCACAUCAAAUCUCACUUCACUCUCUCUCUCUGACGCACUCUCUCUUUUCCUCUCAGAUUUUUUUUACUCUCUUUUUCUUUCUUUCUUCUCUCUUCCGCCUCUUUUCCUCUAGGUUCUUUAACUUCUUUUUACUUCUUUCUUUCUUCACUCUUCUGCCUCUUUUCCUCAGUUUUUUCUUCUUCUUUCUCUCUUAUUCUUUCUCCUCUCAAUUCGUCUCCAUUUUUUUUCCCUCUCUUUCUCUGAUUUUCUGUUACUCUGAUUUUUUUCUUCUUGGUUUUAUGUUUCUCUCUCUCCCUCUAUAUCUCUUUCUUUGCAACUCUGUUUUUCAAUUUCUCCUUUUUUUUCUCUCUUCAUUUUUUGUUUCUCUGUACAUAUAUGUGUUCAUCUUGUAGAUCUGGGUGAAAUUCUUGUAGAUCUAGGUGAAGUUCUUGGAGAUCUGCGUUAAGUUCUUGUAGAUCUAGGUAAAGAGCCAAUUCAAAGCAGGUCAGCGUCUCUUAUCUCCCCAAUCCCUUGUGAAGAUAUGUAUUUUUUUUGUUGUCAACAAUCCAUUUUGGUGUUUUUAUAUGGUAUUGAUAUUUUCUAUGAUUUUGGGCUGAUUUGAGGUCUGAUUCUUUUUUUUUCUUUCAAUUUUUUCCUGUUGUGUUUUGAUAGACAUGUUCUCUAUUCCUGAUAUCAUUCCUCAGUGGCAAAAUCUUUGAGCGUUGUUGUAAAUUUUAGACGGGAAAGAAGCUCAUUCAUAAUUCAAAAAAAGAAAAUAAAGUUACAACAACUGACAAUUUGUUGCUCUUUGAAAUAGGUACUGAAGUAGCAUGGAUAAAAAGAAAGACUGAAGAUGUUGCAGAAGAUUGAAUAUGUUCUAUUUCUGUAAUUUGUUUGUAAUUAAAUUUGUUUAUUUUGUUUUGUUUUUAGGUUGUAAGUUUUAUUUUAAUGUUUGAUAUUUGUUGUUUUGUCAAAAAAUUGUAUUAAUGCUUGAUGGAUUCAUUCAAUUUGCAGUGCGUGGAUGUGAAUUGGGCCAAUCGGUAAUAAUUAGGCCCAAAAGGUUUUAAAUAUCAAUUGGGCUGAAACUUACAAAAAAAUUUAAGAACAAAAAAAAAAUCAAUUAAGCUGUGUGUCGGCCCAAACCGUAAAAACCGGAACCGAACCGGAUUCAAAUGGGUUCGGGUUGGUCCGGUUUUCUCAAGCAUUUUAGUAAAAAUCCGAACCGGACCGGACCGGUGAACAGUACCGGUUCCGGUUUUAAAUUGAUGCAAAAACCGGUCCAAACCGGACCGUGCCCACCCCUAUUUUUUAUUUUUAUUUUUAAAUAUCAGUAAUAACUGGGAAAGCUUGCAUCUCCUUAAAUUGCUCAUUCUUACAUCUUUUAUAGUUUGUUGAUCUUGGGCAAGUGGAGAGAGAGGCGUCAAGUGAUACGCAACAACCAUUUUCUGUGAGCUGAUUUGAUAAAGAGAAAUGGUAUGCUUUCUUGUCUUAAGCGGUGUGUUCUGCAAUUAUUUGAAACAAAGGAUGCCGCACUUCAAGUUCGAGAAAAUCAGGUAUUUUAGUAUUUUAUUCUUGAGAAAUUUGAUUUAUGUAGAAACUUGAACAUGUAAAUGAGAGAAAAAAAAAUAAAUAUAUAUAUAUAUUAUAUAUUGUAUAUGCUGUUAAUGAGUUAAUAUGGUGCUUGCUCCUAGUUGGAAAUUUAUGUAGUCAUCUACCUAUGAUCAAAUAAAGAUGAAAAAUAAAAUAAAAUUGAGAGCAUCUUCCUCUCCCCUGCUUUGCUCAUCCCUUGUUCUUCCACUUCAGCCCCACUAUUACACCAUUUUUUUCAGCCACAAUUAUAAUAGCUCCAUGAGCAUUAAGUCCCUUUCAAAUUCUGCUGACAUUCAAAAUUGGAAUCUGCUGGUGAUAUAUGAUAGCGUUAACAUAUUGUACCAUUUUGGCCAGUGUACGCAAUAUUAUUGCAUCCAACUUUGCAUAUUAACAUCAGUGGCCACAGUUACACGAUUUGAGUGCACAGAAAGGUUUCAAAAGUUGUCCCACAGAGAACAGUCGUUCAAAGUGAGAGAGUUUUGAAAGCUUAAUUACAAGUUCAUGUUGUUUACAACCUCAAAAAGCUUUCAUACUUGCUUACAAACCUGUAUUUCCAAGUUCUGCAAACCUUGGAAUAUCACUUCAUCCAAAUCCCCUUCCAAAGCAGGAAAAAAUGGCAGCAGCUUUGAUUGGAGAGGCUCUCAUCUCUGCUUCUAUCGAGGUGUUGUGUGACAGAGUUACUUCAGCCGAGUUCAUAGACUUAUUUCAGCAGAAGAAACUUGAUGAAACACUCCUCAUGAACCUGAAGACGACACUGUUGAUUUUGUUUGCGGCGCUCAAUGAUGCAGAGGAGAAGCAAAUUGUGAACCCUGCUGUGAUAGAGUGGCUUAACAGCUCAAGCAUGCUGUCUUUGAUGCAGAGGACUUACUUGAUGAGAUUGACACUGAAGCUUUGCGAUGCAAGCUGGAAGGUGAGGAUCAAACCCACAAUAAUUAACCAACAAGGAUCUUUUUGAUUGUUUGAAAGGAGGGUCUUUGAUGAUUUGAAAGGAGAGGGUUGCUUCAUUUCUGUUGGAUGCUUAAUUAAAUCUUAUCUGGACUUGAACAAGGAUUAGGUUAGCUGUAUAAUUCGUGGUAAACACCUUUUUCUAAGGUUCAUUUAGACUCCUAUUACGAUUAAUUUGUUGUUUCUAAUUUGGACUUGUAGGAACAGACCAAAUAUGUUCACACGUGGCAUCGUUCAAGUCAUCAUCAUUUCAGACAAAAUCAGCCUUCAAGUGUCUGCUGACUCAAUGAACCUUUCUAGAUAUAUCAAGUGCAAUGGAAAUUCAAGAGUUACAUAGAGAUUUGUAAACAUUUUGAAGAUUGCAACACCUGCAAGUGAGAUAGGUGGUGACGAAAUCAGAGCUGAUCUUGAAGCCUCUGAUGCCCCUGUCGUUGCAAGUUGCACCUGAGAACAUGGUUUUUUUUUGGGUAAAAAACCAGCAACAUGUUCGGGGCUGGCAAUUCAAUCCCUGAUGAACUUGAGAAGCAAAGCUCCAGUAAGGAAAUUGGUCGAGGUCACGACAGGGAUAAUUGAUGGUGAAAUGGAUGCUAUUUCUUAUUGCAGCCUGUUCUCAAAGUUCUUGUUGGCAAAAGCAAGAGAUGGAGUAUUUUGAUUGGGAGGAGAGAUAAUGACAUGUGUUGACAAUUCUAGAACAGCCCAUCUGAGUUCUUUUGUCAGGCUGCAUCAUUUAAUCCCAGCAAAAAUCCAGUUUUUGCUAAACAAUCAAAUUGUACACAUUUUUUCUUUUCGAGGAAUUUAACAUUACACAUUUUUUCAUUUUUUCAUCAAACAGUUUUCUAAUGCAUUUGUUGUCCCAAGUUACAAUGAGGAAUUUGGAUUGAGUUUCUUGUGUUAAUAACAUUAUACUUUCAUGGAAUGGUUUAUCUUCUUUUUCUGGACAAAAAUAUUUAGAUUAAUUUCUUGGAAUAAUUUUUUAAUAAUUUUUUAAUUGCAGUAGCGAAAAAAGGAAAAUUGUAUUUUUCAAAACCAAUCUUAAGUCCAGUUUCCUCUUCUUGGUCGUCACACUUGGAAAUUGCUAACCAUAUAUAACUUGGGGUAACAAUCUUAGUCCGAAUGUGUACGAUCUUAGUCCGAUCAAUGGCUACGCGUAUUGGCUCGGCCUUGGGGUCUACCAUUCCAGUGUACAAGCUUCCUGGGUCUUGGGGCAAUUCCUUCAAAUUGUACACAUGUUUUCUUUGAGAAGCAAGGCUCUAGUAAGGAAAUUGGUUAUGUAACAAAUUUUGGUCCCUUUGGAUGGAAUGAUUUACAAUGAGGAAUUUUAUUAUUAUUAUUUUGUUUUUGUUGUUAGUGUAAUGAAAAUGAUCUAGGUUCAUACACUGGGUAUAGCUCUAAUUUGGCCAAUUUCAUUAUUUUAGUUUCUUCAUAUUUUCAAUUAUUAUAAUUUGGUGCGUUGUUUUUUAAAAACAUUCAUGAGAAUCUCCAUUUUUUAGGUGUUUAAGUUAUUCAUCCACAACGGUUUUAUAAUACCGUCAUCUUUUCAAACACAACGAUGAUUUUUUAAUCUAUCGUCGUUGUUUUCUGAUCGUCUUUUUCACUUUUUGUAGUAGUGUCAAUAAGUAAGAUGAAAUAAUACAUUCACAAUCUGUUUAAAUUUUAAAUUAAAAAAAACACAAGAAAAUUUUAAAUAAGUAAGUAAUUUUAAAUAUAUAUUUCCAUUGUUUUGGUUUUCUUUUCAUAUUAGUUUUCUACUAGCUGCUAAUUUCAUUUAAAUUGUUUUUCUUACUUCAUUUAACUUUUAAGCAUGCAGAUGCAAUCAUGACUUCUUCUUUUUUUCAAUAGACUGAUUCUCUUCCCACAUAUAUAAUGCUCUCUAAGUAUUCGUAAUAUGAGUAGGAAUUUAUUUUCAUUUCACAAGAAUUGUCCAUCAAAUUCUGAUAGGUUUGUCGAUAGCACAAGCAUGCACAUAUAGACACUACAAGAACUUUGUUUCUUCAUUUUGUUUCCUAAAGAUUUGUUGGCUUCGUGCAGAUGAAUAACAAGUCUCUCUGUCCUCUAUUUCUUCUUUUUCUUUUUUAACAAUUCAUAUUCUACUUUCUGUUUUCACCCAGUAAAAAUUGAUUUUAGACAUGGGCUUCUAAAUUAUGUGCGGAUAAUGGUUGCAUUUAUAGAAUAUCCAUGGGCUUCUAGUCACCGUGGUUGUUGAUUCAGCAUGUCAUAUUACUCUUGGACUAGCUGUUGACACUACUACAUUUUACACUUUGCGCGACGAAGAACAAAACGUCGCGCAAAGUCGCAUUUAGUCGCCCCAAUUUCAGCGCGACAAAAACGUCGUCGCGCAUAUUCCGUCGCGCGAAGAUCGUGAAGAAAGCCUUUGCACGACGAGGUACAACCCUUCGUCGCGCAAAAGUGUGCGACGGGUAAACCAUCGUUGCACCAACGGUGUGGAGACGAAACAACCCUUCGUCGCAAAAAUAUUUGCGCGACGAUAAAUUAUGCGGCGCACGUAUAUUUGCGAGACGACGGGAAUUGCGCGACAAAACAUUAUUCGUCGCGCAAAAUAUGUAUGGGAGACGUAUAUGUUCGUCGCAGAACAAUUCGCGCGAUGAGAAAGUUUUCGUCGCACAUAUAAUUGCGCGACGAAAAAUUAUGUCGUCGGCCAAAUAUUUUGCGCGACGAAACAUUUCGUCGCGCAAAACGUGUUAUGUGUUCGUCGCGCAUGAAUUAAAAGUGAUAAAAAAAUAUUUGAUUUUUUUUUGUUACAUGUUGGUUUGCGCGACGAAAGAUUUUCCGUCGCGCAAAAAUAAUAUUACAAUUUUUUUUUUAUUUAUAUUUUUUAUUUGAUAUAAAAUUGGUUUCUUUUUAUUGAUUAAACAAUGAAAUUGCAAUAAAAAUAAAUUAGAAUAAAAUUUUGUUAUAAAAUAAAAUAAAAUAAAUGUAUUACAAAUAAAAUAAAUACACUAAUCAAAUAAUGAAUCAAAAUCAACCGAGUCGUCGCCAGUAUGCGGCUCGGAGGGCGGGGCGUUCACCGGGGCAGUGGUCUGGUGGGGAUGCCCGGGAUGGACGGGCUCAGAGGUCGGCGCAUCAAAAUGCGGGACUGGAAUGCCGGACUGUGCGAGGGACUGCAGAAUGACCGACAUCUGGCUCUGAAGAGUGGCCACCUGUGCUGUCAAAGCAGUGACCUGACUGUUUGACUGCGCCGAUGAACGAGGUCGAGGUUCCCUCCGCCGGGCAUUCCCCAUCCCUCGACAAUAUGUCCCCGGCCUCCUCCCGAGAGUCUGAUCCAACGUCUCCGUCAAUAUCUGAAAUCCAGCAUCCUGUGGAGGAGCCACAGACUCGAUCGGAGUCUCGGGAGGAAGCUGGGAGGCGGACUCCUGAAGAACAAGCUGGCUCCUCUCCACCAUCGUCGUCUGUUGAACAUAACAUAAAAUAUAAAUUAAAACAUGCAUAUAAAUUGAAUGCGUAACAUAAGAAUUAAAAUUAAAUAAUACUUACAUGAAGGGACUCGGCCAACUCAUUCCCGGGUCGAACAUAAACGUCACCAAAGACGUCGAUCUCUGGGAACUUGGACCCCUCCUAAAUUGAACAAGAGAAGAAAAAUAUUAGUAUGAAAAAAAUAAAUUAAUAAAAAUGACAUUAAAAAUGAAAUAAAAAUUUUGUGAUUAUUACCCGACGCCGUGCAUCCAUCCUAUAAGAAAAGGGUCUGGAGCCGGAAUGGUGGAGAAGGGUCUUCUUCUUCCUAUUACCCUUAUUCACUUGGGCUUUAUUCUGUUAUACAAAAAAUGAAACGUAUUAGUUAAAAUAUAAAAAAUUAAAUAAUAAUGAAAUAAAAAAAUAAAAUAAACAUUAAUAAGUAAUAAGUAAUAAUUAAACAAAUAUAAUUAAAAAAAUACCGCAAAUUCGGGCGCUUGAAAAUGAGCGCAGAGCCACUCCCAACUAUCCUCCCGCCCCUCAAGCUCCUUCGGGCAACCCUCCUGAAGAGCGACUUGCGGAUCAUCAUAGGCCUGAAAAUGGUGGUGCAAGUCGCUCUUCCACUGCUUGUACCUCUCAGCGAAGAGUCGGUUGACGUACGUCAACGACUCUUCGUCGAGAUCCUCCAAGUUAUAGUUCGUCUGCAAUCAAUUAAUUAGAUACGUUAAGUAAUAGAAAUAUACACAAUUUUAAAGAAAAAUAAUGAAAAUGUAAGGUACAUACCGACAACUGGCCGUGAAUCUCCGCCUGGAUCUCGUCAGGCAUGACCCUCCAAGACUUCCAUUGCAUCGGGCAAUGGGUCCGCACGACGUGGCCAAUGUCGUGGGCCAAGGAGCUAUGCAACUUCGCCGUCGGUGCAGCACGAUGGCGCUCGUCGUAUCCGAUGCUGAUACGACUGUUGGUCACCCGGGUGACCUUCGCCGUCUUCAGCUGACGACACGGUCCUCGGGUGUUCCUCUUCGCUGCAAAGAAAUAAGGUAUUAAUGUUAAAUAAAAAAACAUUGUCAAAUUUCAAUAUAAAAUUAACAAUACAAAAGUGUAGUUAUACCUGGCUGUGAUCCCGAGGCACCAGUACCGUCGGUCGAUGUCGUGUCGAUGGUGUCGGUGGGCCGGUGCCGCCGCCUAGCACUAGCUGGUUGCGCCACGGAUGACGCAGAUGACACAGGCGCCUGGGGCGCCCCGGGACCAACCACCACGUGGUCCAACAAAGCAGGAGCAGUGGCAGCAGAUGCCGACUGAGCCAGGGGAUCCGAACUCGGUGCAGUCGUCAUCGACCUACCACGUCUAAUCAAGUCUGACAUCUGCACAUAUAAUUUCAUUCAGAAUGUAAACUAAUUAAUUAAAAGCAUAGCCUGACCUAGGGUUUGGAAUUUCGGAGUAUCCGGGACUCCGAUCAACGAUCGGUCGAAUCCUAAACGAUCCUAGAAACACAAAGGUACAACUACGCGAGUUUCAGUUCGAUCCAACGGUCCGAACAUAUCAAACCUGGAAAUCGCACAAUAGGCGAAAUUCGAUCAAGACUCAAACGGUAACCAAAUUCAAAUCCGAGCAAACCUACGCGCUCGUGACAAACAGGGGAUCGCUCUGGGACACAAUGCCCCACUGCCACAGCAUCCCACGCGCCGGCAGCGCGUGGGUGUCCAAAGCGAUAACAUUCGCCGGAAAAUUCUAAAAACUAACGGCCAAGGUUCCUACCCUAGGUUGAAAACAAUAUUUGGCGCCACUUUUGUUCUCGGACCUACCCCGAAAAAUGGCCGGAAGUGGCCGGAUUUGAAAUUGCCAAACCGGCCAAAACCUAGGGUUUUAAUUCCUAUUUCCUAUACCCAUCAGCUAGAGCACAAAAAAUAGUCGAGAAAUCAUACCUCAGGCGUCGGAAAUGGUGGCCGGAGGAGAGAGAAAACGGCCGGCGAGGAAUCGGUGAAAAACCGACGAUGUGCGACGGCAGGCUCGACGGCGAAGGCAGGGGAGGCUAUGGCAGGAGCGGCGGUGGCUGAGGUGACGGCGGAGAGAGAGGGCUGAGGUGACGGCGGAGAGAGAGGCAAACGGAGGAAAAAACCAGAAAUGGGGAAGAAGGAGGCAUCGCGACGUUUCUGCAAAUUUUUACGACUUUGCGCGACGAAUCACAUCAUUCGUCGCGCAAAAUGCUAUUAAUGAAUCUUGCGCGACGCUAUAUCCGUCGCGCAAGAUCUGUCAGAACGCCAAAUUCUGAAAGUGGAUUAGGGUCUGUAAGUUUUGCGCGACGAAAUAGACAUACUUCGUCGCGCAAAAGGCUGUCUUUCCGCCAAAAUUUUGGGAUUUAGGGUUUAGCGGGAGGCUGAAACUGAAGGGUUUGCGCUUUUGCGCGACGAAGACGGUAAACGUCGCGCAAUGGUAACCUUGCGCGACGGAACGUAUUAUAUUCGUCGCGCAAAAGGCUAUCUUUCCGCCCAAAUUUUGGGAUUCAGGGUUUAGCGGGAGGCUGAAGGGUUUGCGCUUUUGCGCGACGAAGACACUAAACGUCGCACAAAAGGCUGUCUGCUGAAAUGAAUGGUUUCUGCUUUUGCGCGACGAAGACAAUAAACGUCGCGCAAAACGUUGUCGUUCCGCCAACAAUUUGGGGUUUAGGGUUUAGUGUGAAAACUGGCGCCCAGAUUGCGCGACGAAGAGUACAUAUUUCCUUCGCGCAAUCUAUUUCACUUUCACUUUGCGCGACGGAUAUGUUGGUUCGUCGCGCAAUCUUCAAGAUUUUCAUUGAAAUUUUCACUAAGUGUUCAAAGGGGAUGGAGGUGUGAAAACUGGCGCCCAGAUUGCGCGACGAAGAGUACAUAUUUCCGUCGCACAAUCUAAUUCACUUUCACUUUGCGCGACGGUUAAAUUGUUCGUCGCGCAAAAUGUAGACCCUAAACCCCCUUGUAAACCCUAAACCCUGAACCCUAAGCCAUAAACCCUAAACCCUAAAAUAGUUUCAAUGAUCCAACCGGCAAACUUAUUGUUUGAAACUUGGAGAUCAUAUACGCCAAAAAUCAAGAAGACCAAACAUUCAGAUAUCAGGGAACGGGACUAAAUAUUUCGACGGUUAUAAAUGAAAAGUCAUGAUUUAACGGUUAUUGUAACUCCGAUUUUGAUCAAUUUUGACAGCAGCAUUUGUUGACCCUAUAUGAAUACAAUGACUGAAUUUGAUCUUCAAUUUCAGAUUUUUACACUAGGGGAUACCACAUAAACGUGAAGUUACAUUUGCACAAAUGUAUAAACAAAUUUUAGGGUUUUUGGUGAAUAUAUGAUUUUGAUAGCACAUGCAGUCUACGAAACAAGUUUCAGUCAUCCAGCCGUCAAACUUGUUUUUUUAGACUUCGAGAUCAUAGACAGCAAAAAUCGGACAAAAAAAACAUUCAGAGAUUAAGCAACGGGGUAAAACUUUUCGACGGUUCUAAAUAAAAAGUGAUGAUUGAACGGUUAAUUUAACUCCGAUGUUGAUGAUUUUUUGCAGCUACAGUCCUACACUCCAUAUGAAUACAAUGAACUACUUCGAUCGCCAAUUUUAAAUAUAUAUGUGUGUAUAUAUUAUACUAUAACGUUACCUAAUAUAUAUUUGCGCGACGAAAGUUUGCUUAUCGUCGCGCAAAAAUGCCAUACGCGACGCAUGUAUAUAUGCGUCGCGGAAACUAUGCGCGACCAGUUGUAUUCGUUGCGCAAACAUUACGCGACGCUUAUGUAUGCGUCGCGUAUGGUAUGUUUGCGCGACGAUAUGGAGCCCUUCGUCGCGCAUGGAUUUGGCGCCAUAAAUCCUCAUUGAUUUCAAAUUGUGUAUGCUUUGUAUUUUUUAGAAAGGUUUUGUAUUCAUCAUUUUUUAUGCUUUGUAUUUUGUGGAAAGGCUUUGAAAUAUUCAUUUCUUUUGUUAUUUUUAUUGAAGCUUUAACUUGUUCUGUUCCGCAGAAAAUUCCAAUGAAGUUUGUGAUGAAAUAUGGAGAAUGAAUACACAACUACAUAUGGACAACUACACAUAUUCAAAGAUUUGUAUUACACAAAAUUAAUACACUAACAUAAUAAAUUUACAAAUAAAUUCAUUAUUCAUCAUCUGAACUAUAAUAACUUUCGUUAUCGUCGCUAGCUUUAACUUGUUCUGUUCCGCAGAAAAUUCCAAUGAAGUUUGUGAUGAAAUCUGGAGAAUGAAUACACAACUACAUAUAGACAACUACACAUAUUCAAAGAUUUGUAUUACACAAAAUUAAUACACUACAUAAUAAAUUACAAAUAAAUUCAUUAUUCAUCAUCUGAACUAUAAUAACUUUCGUAUCGUCGCUAUCAUCACUCUCGGUCUCCCAAUCUUCUUCCUCCUCCUCCUCUAUAACUGCAUCAUCGGCGUUGCUAGGGCCCACUGCAACAUCGUAUCGGGGAAGAUCACCGAGGUCAAUUGUAAUUGACUGAAUCGGUAUUUCGACUGAAGACACUCCUUCUAUUUGAAACGGUUCUUGUAUAACAUUUGUAUCUCGAAGUGUUUCCGCAUCAUUUUCCAUUGAAGAUUCUAAACGAUGGUCAGCCACAUUGUCGACGUCGUUGUCACUUGGGUCUAGUUCUGGUAUAUUAUACACGUUCCUAUGAUCCAUCUUCUGCACAACUUUCCACCCGUUCCCGGCUUUAGGGUCAUCUAGAUACACAAUUUGGGACGCCAUGUUUGCCAAAAUGUACGGGUCGUCAUCAUACCAAGUUCUGUUAAUAUUCACAGACAGUACUCCAUGGUCGAUUUUAACACUUCCCGCCCUAUUUGGGUUGGUAUCGAACCAUCGACACUUAAACAUGAUGACUUGGUAUCGAUCUUUGUAAAGCAAUUGCACGACAGUUGUCAGUUUGCCAUAGAAAUCAAUGUCUGUACUUUCGCCUCCACCUGGGACAUGAACACCGCUAUUUUGCGUACACAACUUGUCAUCUCGUGCGGCCCCUAAAAAUUUGACGCCGUUAACAUUACAACCCGAGAACAAUUCAGCGCGAAUUGGGCCGAACGCCAAGUUAUAUAACUCAUCACUGUAAGUGGGGGAAUUCGAUGAUUUCAAUUUAUUCACCUAAUAGUAUACAAAACCAUUUACAUGUUAGUCUGACAAAAUUAAAUACUAAAAUUUAUAUUUGUCAAUUACAAAACACUUAUAACUUACAGAAUCCAAAAACCAUUGUGGAAAUAAUUCACGGUGUUUCCGGGCAACCAAAUGUGAUGGAUGUUCUCGCUUCAUCAUCUGUUCAUGCUCAUCUAAGUAGGCCAUUAUCUCAUCACAAUUGUUCAGUACGAACCAAUGCGCUACCUCCAUGUCAUUUCUAGAAAACGACUCUCCUCGUCCAGGAUCUCCAAAUGGUCGUGCGCUUUGGGCAAAAACAGAAAGUUUUUCAUUUCUCAUACCUCCGUCAUUAUUGCGGUGAGGACGAUUGAAAACCGUCUCCACAUCUUUUAAAUACAUUCCACAGAAAGUAAGCGACUCAUAUUGAACCCAAGCCUCUAUAAUUGAUCCUUCGGGCUUUGCCCUGUUGCGUACACUUUUUUUCAGCUCUCCGAGAAGCCUGCCAAAAUAAAACGAUAUGAUACAAAUUAGCAAAGUGUCGAUAAUGAUGCAUACACAAAUGAUAAAGAUUAUAUACCUUUCUAUUGGAUACAUCCAGCGAUAGUUGACAGGACCAGCAAGCAAUGCCUCUUCUGGCAAGUGAACCAUCACGUGCAUCAUACUUAUAAAGAAAGCUGGAGGAAAUAUCAUCUCAAACUUGCAUAGGACUUGGACAAUGUCAUGGCGCAACUGAAACAUGUCUGUCCUUCGCAAUGUUUUUGCCGUCAGUUGGGAAAAAAAUCUGGAUAACAACAUGAUUGGCUUCACCACAUCUUCCGGCAGUAAGUGUCGAAUACCCACAGGAAGUAGGCGUUGCAUGAACACAUGGCAGUCAUGGCUCUUAAGUCCAGUAAAUUUACCCCCAUCGACAUUCACGCAACGUGCGAUAUUAGAAGCAUACCCAUCGGGAAAUUUGACAGACGAUACAAACUUUAGAAACUCCUUUUUGUCAUUCGGUUUCAUAGAAAAGAAUGCAAGAUCCCUUCUAGCUUUAUCACUGUCCCUAUUCAUCCAUAAACCCCUUCGUAUGCCCAUUCUUUCCAAAUCAAGACGAGCUUUGAUCGUGUCCUUCGUCUUCCCCUCGAUAUCUAGAAUCGUGCCCACCAAUGUGUCGAAAACAUUUUUCUCAACAUGCAUCACAUCUAGAUUGUGCCUCAAUUUCAGUUUCGACCAAUAUGGGCGCUCAAAAAACAUAGACUUGUGCGUCCAGUUCAAAUGUGUAGAAGGUCGGGUCCGACUAACUGUUUUCCCGAACGGAGCAAAAUCCAAACGGUUCAGCUGUUCCAAGAUCUCAUCACCGGACCAUUCUCUAGGUCUGAGGCGACGCUCUGUGUUCCCGUCGAACUCUUUAUCUUUUUCUCGCCACUCGUGGUCCCAUGGCAACCAUCUCCGAUGACCAAGGUAACAAACUUUUCCCGCGUGCCAACCAGAAGUUACAUCUUCCUUGCAUACAGGACAUGCCAUAUAACCCUUUGUGCUCCACCCAGAAACCAUUGCAUAUGCUGGAAAAUCAUUCACAGUCCACAUAACUGCUGCUCGCAAAGUGAACAUCCUCCCAGUUGAUUUAUCGUACGUGCGAACACCGUUUGUCCAUAAAUCCUUCAGCUCAUCAACCAGAGGCCUUAAGUACACAUCAAUUGACCUGCCAGGAUCCUCAGUUAUCAAAACAGUCAUCAUCAUGUAUUCUUUUUUCAUGCAUUUCCAAGGCGGCAAAUUAUAUGGGAAUGCGAAAAUCGGCCAAGUGCUGUGGUGUUGGUUUAGAACCCCAUACGGAUUGAAUCCGUCAGUGGCAAGUCCCAAUCUAACAUUUCGGGGAUCAGCAGCAAAUUCGGGGAACGUUCGAUCGAACUCUUUCCAUGCCUCCCCAUCUGCAGGAUGCCGCAUCACAUCAUCGUCUACCCGUUUUUCCUUAUGCCAUCUCAUGUCUGUGGCAGUAUGCGUUGACAUAUACAAUCGCUGCAACCUAGGUUUAAGGGGCAGAUAACGCAUGACUUUUUGUGGUAUCUUAGUCGUUCUAUUCUGGGAUGUCAGUUUGAACCUCGACUCAUUGCAUAUAGGGCAUGUAUCCAACGUUUCAUGCUCUUUGUAGAAUAACAUGCAAUUGUUUUUGCAAGCGUGGAUUUUUUCAUAACCCAAUCCAAGACCGUGCAACACCUUCUGUGCAUGUUUAUGGUCUUUCGGCAAACAAUUGUCCGUCGGAAGCAUUCUCUUGAAAACCCCCAAAAAGUAAUCAAAACACAAGUUCGACAUACGAUACUUUAUUUUUCCGUGCAUUAGCUCCACAAUGGCAGUGAGAACGGAAAACCUCUCGCACCCCGGGUAUAACUCUUGGUUGGCAUUUUUUAACAGUUUUUCAUACUGUUCAAACUCCGCACUGUCUAUUGGUGUAGGCACGUCAUCUUCCCCUUCCUGAUUGAUGUUGGUCGAUGCGAAUGGAAAAGCAUCCUGUAUAAUACCCAUGACUUGAUCAUUAGGAUCCACAAUAGGUUCAACAUUGUCCACUCUCGGGGCAUUUGAAGACGAAGCAUGGUCUACUUGUUCGCCGUGAAGGUUCCAAAUGCUAUAUGUUUCAAUCAUUCCAUUCCUUACUAAAUGAAAUCCAACAUUUUCAAUUGUCUCCCACAACGUGUUGUUACACCUCCUACAAGGACAACGGAUUCUAGUUGCACCCGGGUUGUGUCUACGUGCAAACUCAAUAAAAUCCUCGAUUCCAUCCAAGUAUUCGUCUGCGCAUCUAUUCGGGUUCUGUAUCCACCUUCUGCUCAUAAUUCCUGAAACCACAAUCACGACACAACAAUCACAACAACUUCAUACGAAGUUAUAAUGUCACCUUAUGCCUCCGGUAAGGGCCCUAUCCCAUUCGGGAAUGCAUAGUCCUGUCACGUAACCUACGGCUACAUGAGAUUAGAUUUCGACGUGGAUUAAUUUCAGCAGCAUCUCGACACAGUUCUUGAAGUGGGCAUAGGUAUAAAUACCUACGUACCACCCGAAGAACGUACCGAGAUGACACCGAAAUCUCCACAAUCGAAACCUAAUCCUGUAGCCGAAGAUUAUGUGACAACACUAUGCAUUACCAAACUGUCCAAAUAAUGGGACAAUUCAAGAAUUAAUUGGACCGCAGUCAUGCAUUACGCAUCCAUGCACGAAAUUCAACUAAUCUCGAACGGGAAACUACGUGUUACUAAACAUAAAAAUAAAAGUACGAAGUUAAUUUCAAUUAACUUCGUACAUCACAACACAUUGUGCUAUGUCACGCACAAUUUCACAACAUUAUACACAUAUAACUUCACAAAAAAAUUACAAACAUAACAAACAAACUUUUACAAUAACAUACCUUCUCAAUCGUUCUCCACCAAUCACAAAUAUCCCUAACGAUAACAAAAUUAAUAGCGUUACUACGAAUUUACAUUAAUACAUUUAAACUAACGACAAAAAAUACAUACCCAAUGAACGUACUGAAUUCACAGUAGAGCAACGGCAGAGAGAGUGAGAGAGAGGUAGAAUGCAGUGGGAGAGUGAGAGAGAGGCAGAAUGCAGAAACUGCAUUCUGCCUCUGCAAUGGAACUGGCUAAAAUGAAGAAGAAGGACUUUGCGCGACUAACAAUCCAAUCCGUCGCGCAAAAUGCCGUCGCGAAAACCCACUUUUCCGUCGCACAAAAAAACAUUUCCGUCGCGCAAUUACCUGCCGACAUCAGGUUUUUUGCGCGACGAAUACAAUUAUCCGUCGCACAAACAUCCGUCGCGCAAAUAACAUUAUUCGUCGCGCAAGGUUUAUAUUACGUCGCGCAAAUAACACUUAUUUCGUCGCGCAAGAAAUUACACUUUACGCGACGAAGGUAAUUCCGUCGCGCAAAAAAGUUUUUUCCACCCUGCAUUUUGCCGCCAAAAUUAAGUAACCCUCGUUUUCUUACGCGACGGUACAUAUUUCCGUCGCGCUAAGGCGUCUUUUGCGACGAAAAUGUUCGUCGCGCAAGAUUCUGGCGCCAAAAACAUAAACUGGGGAUUUUUCCCCGACCUUUGCUCGACGAAAUUAGUUUUGGUCGCGCAUAGAUUGUUUGCGCAACGAAGAUUGUUCGUCGCGCUAGUGUUCUGCUGUUUGCGCUACGGUAUUUUUUUUUCGUCGCAAUAGUGAUUUUUGCGCGACGAAAAUAUAUUCGUCGCGCAAACGUCCGUCGCGCAAAUAGUAAAUCGUAGUAGUGUGAUUUGGUUUAGACUUGGUUUAAUUAUCAUUGUUGUGGUUGGUUCACCAAAAAGAUUUGGCUUAGAAUUACCAGUUUUGUUGUUGGUUUAGUUAUGCUUGGCAUUUGAGGAUCCUAUGCUUACUUGUAUGGGUAAUACAUUUUAUUGAUCGUUUCAUAUACUAAUUAUGAACUUUUAGUUCCAUUGUGCAUUUAAGAGUACACAUAUUUCAUAUGUAAUUCGAAAGUUUGUCGCUGAAAUUUCUGAGAAUUUGAAACUAGAUAAGCACACCUUGCACAAAGUUCAUAUAUUUUCUUCCAGCAAGUCUGUCUAUUAACCCCCCUUAUCUGAAAUUAAUUGUUAAAAGUUCUGAUUCAUCUUUAAUCAUUGUCUUACCCUUGUUGAAUAACACUCCUCAUUCUAAUUUAUAUUCGAAGUUUGAGGUUUCAAUUUCAAUUGUGGGCUUUGAUUUUACAGAUUUUGUUUGUCAAUUUCAAUUUGGACAAAGCAUAUGCAAACAAAGUAAGGCAUUAUCUAUUAUUUGGAUCAUUUCCAUAUGUUUAUAUGUUUUUAAUAUCAUUUGCCUAUGUAGUUGACAUGUUAUAACAUUUUCGUAGUGUUGAAUAUAUAUAUAUAAUAAUUUUAUUUUAGUGGAUGUGAGAUCUCAGUUUGUUGCUUUAUAUAAUUAUUUCUUUGCAAUUUAAUUUUUUUUAUCAGUCAUACUAUUGUUGACGGCUAAAAACCAUCAAGAAACAACUCUUAAGUUUUUUAAAAAAUAAAUAAAUAAAUAAAGAUUUGUUGAUGCUUAAAAAGCAUCAAGAAAAGAUAGUUUCUUGACGGUUUUGUGACGUUUCAUAACCGUCAUGAAACAUUACAUUUUGACGAACGUCUUUCUGAUAGUGGCAUCCGUGACGCUUUCCGAGCCAUCAAUUAAGGGCUAUCGUGAUGCUUUUUAGUUGUCAGCAAAAGGUGUUUUUCUUGUACUGUAUUCACUCAAAAUCGUUUUUCAUUUAGGGUUGCUAGUGUGGUUGAAUGCCAUUUGUUUUGUUAAUGAAUAUUAUACAUUAUGGAUUUUUGUAGAAAUGUCGCUUGAAAUUAUACCUCAGUUUCAAUUUGUCACCUUAAAGAAAAAUUUAAGAGAAAUGUCACCUUAAUUUUUCAAAAUCCACGAUUUGUCAUCUCACUUUAACAUCAUCCAAUUUUCCAUCUAUUUUAAGGGUAUUUUAGUCUUUUCAUUUUCAAGGGAAAAAAAGAGAGGAAGAAAAAGACCUCUCUCUUACUUUCUCCCCCAACCCAACCCCACCCGCCCCCCAAAACACAUCGCAUAGGACCGCCUCCCCCUUCCCCACAUUUCUUUUUUCUUUUUGGCCUACUUUUCCACUAUGUUUAUGUUGAAGGAUCUAAAGUUUUCUUGGUCACCAUCUAUUACGUAGGCUACCGACUUGUUGGUUUGGGUGGGUUGAGGGAAUUUGUGUGUGGAGGGCAGGUGUUCAUGUUGUGUGCACCAAGACCUUAUCGUUGAUGAACUAUGUGACGGCACACACACAAACUCGUUGAGAAUAAAACAAACAUACCACCAAGAGAGUAAAACAAACACACAAGGACACAAAGAUUUAUAGAGGUUCGGCCUCCUGCCUACGUCUUUUUGGUGAUUCACUCGAGAAAUUCACUAGUAUGUAAAAAUAACUUUGGUUACAACUGAACCCCCUUAGCCCUCACAAGAACCUUAGAUCUCUUUUCUCUCACCCUUGCUCAAACCCUUUGAUGCCCUUGUAGACACUCAAGAAUUCACCCUUGAAUUCUAUCUUGUGUUACAUCUUCUCUUCUCCCUUUUGUUAACCUAACCCUAAAAGUCCUAUUUAUAAUGCAUAGGACUUAAGUUACAAGUUAACUUGGAAUAGGAAACAUAAAAUACCCCAAAAAUUGGAGAAAAUCUGUCCAAAUCUAGCCUGCAAAAUCAUCCUUCUGCCGCUCGAGCUGCCGGUGGCGCUCAUGGGAUGGGGGAAUUGGAGAUUUUCUUUUCAAUUUUAAUUGUUUAAAAGAUAUACAAUUUUUUAUUAUAAUAAUUUUUCCAUUUUUAAAAUACACUUGAAAAUAGAAAGCUUAAAAUGCCCUUAAAAAUAGAUGGAAAAUUGGAUGGUGUUAAAGUCAGAUGACAAAUCAUGGAUUUUGAAAAAUUAAGGUGACAUUUCUCUGAAAUUUUUCUUUUAAAAGUGACAAAUUGAAACUGAGGUAUAAGUUCAGGCGACAUUUCUACAAAAAUCCCUAUACAUUACAAUAUUAUAACAAUAAAAUUGGCUAAAAUUGAUAUGUUCCCUCUUUUCUUUUCUUUUUCUCUUUUCCUUUUCAUUUUAUGCUUUGUUGCUAUUGCUAUGUUUAUCCUACAAAUAUAGCAACUUCUCCACCAUUCAUUUGUUAGUGACUACGAUGCUUAGUAACUUCUUCAGCUCCCCUUAUUUCCAUGUACUAACCAGGGACACCAGGUCAGCAUCUUCGGUAAGAAUCCUAACUCAAUCAAACAAUGACAUCUGUAAAUAUUCAAAAUUGGAAUUUGCAUUGUGAUAGUUGAAAGCAUCCUUGUCCCAAAAAAAGCCAAAAAAUAAAAUAAAAUUGAGAGCAUUAAGUCCUUUUCAAAUUAUGCUAAUAUGCAAAAUUGGAAUUUUGAUGGAGUUGCUUCCUUGACUUUUCCACCUUUGUAUCCAGUCCACUUUGCACAAGGAGCCAAGUUUGAGAGAUAGUUUUCUGUAUUUACACCAUCCAGGAGAAAAUUAAAAAACUAUUUCAUGCCAAACUAACUACGGAUUCUUGCAAAGGACCCAUUAGUGUAGUGGUUUGGAGUAUUUACUCCCUCAGGCAAGGUCUUGGGUUCGAGUCCUAGCAUUCAUGUUGUGUGUGUGAGUUUAAUAUGCUAUCACCCCUUCCAAUAGGAAAGGACCUCAAAAAAAAAAAAAAAACUACAGAUUCUUUAAUUGAAAGAAACCCCAUAUUAAUCAUCCUUUGGCACAUAAAUGUUUGGUAAUUGGCAUUAAAGUAUCUAAAGGUUACGAAAUUAAAGAUUUUAAUGCAAACCUAAAAUUGGAAAAGAGGGCACCAAUUCAUGUAAAAUAUGGUGUACUUAGUAGAUCCAACAUAUUUUUUUAGCAACCAAGGACAAUCAUCAUUUUUUUUUUUAAGAACCAAGGAUAGCUUACAUUCUAGUUUGUCCAUCAUGUCAACACAUUUAUAAUUAAAACUUCUUUUUUGGUGAGGUUUCAAUUUUUGUCACUGUAACAAGACCACAAUUGCCAUUCAGUAUGCUAACAUUGUCACUAUGUUUGCCAAUUGCAUAUUAUCUAGAACAUAAAGGCUUUGGUGUUUUGUAUAUCCUCGGGGUGCCAAACCUGUCUUUAUAAAAAUGGUCCUUAUGAUACUACUUUAACAACAAAAAAAUAUAAUAAACUAGGCCUUUGUAGUCACUGAACGAAUGUUUUCUCAUAGAUAUGACUAUUUAAAUGUAAUUACGGGAUUAAAACAUUAUAAUAAAUUGGAGUGAACCAUAACAUUAUAUAUGAUCCAAUCCUUUUCAUAUAUUUUUGUUCAAGACUUUGUUUUAGAAUGCUCUUUUACUAAUUUGGUACAGGUCCCUAAAAUCUACGCCUUUAUGAGGCAACGUCUUUAUUUCUUUGGUUAUUCCAGUUUAGAAUAUAUUUGUACAAAUGAGAUGACUCCCAACAUAAAGUCACAUUCAACCAAAAAGCAUGAAGUCACACACAAAAAGAACACGGACAAUUGCUAAGUUUAUCUUGUAUCCUUAUUUUAUUGAUCCAACCCAAUUGAAAAAUAAAAAAGAUGAUAUAAUAUAUUGUUCACUGCUUACAUCCAUGAGUAAAGUCCUCCAUUUGAAAUUGCGUGAUUAUACAAAAUUGGAAUGAAAAAAGAAAAUCCUACAACUAAAUUUGAUAUAUUCCUUUUCAUUUUAUGUUGGAUGUUAAGUUUUCUUGUUUCUUGUUGAAAAGAAAAAUGAAAAGAAAUAAAUAAAUUACACAGCUAGCAACUUCUCCACCUUCCCUUCUUCCCAUGUACUGACAACAAGGGAGGCCUUCAAUCCAAAAUAAAGACAAGGGAUGCCAGGUCAGCAUCUCAGAUAAGUAUCCCAACCAAAACCAAUCAAAUAAUGACAUAUGUAUCUCUUUUUGUGUUUUGUUCUAUUUCUCUUUGAAUUAACUGCGAAGUUUCAUAAGCGUGUCCUCCUUUUGAAAUUGUGUAUUAUUCAAAAUUGGAAUUUGCUGGUCAUACUUGAUAUAAGCUAAAACAGUUUCCAACAUCUUGUACCAUUUUUUUCCAGUGUGGGUCAUAACUUGAAGAAGCCCACCGACAAUUUCUCAAAAGCUAUUACCAUCCAACUUUGAAAAAUAAAAGUUUCAAAAGUUACCCCAAACAACAGCCCUUGAAAGAGAGUUUUCCAAGGCUAAAGAUUACAAGGAUGUUAUUGGCACAUGCAUUAACGUGUGACAAGAAGUUAGUUAUAUUUAUAAAGUAAAAGAACGAAGUACAUAACAUGUAAGUUGAUGCCAAAUAUUUGAUCAACAGAGCUAAACAUAAAACCACGACAAUAUAACGUUGUUCACCAAAAAUUGUGUUUCGUUGAGGGUCAGUAGUGUAGGUUUCAAGAUACGAUUUAUUUUGUUAAAGAAUAUUCUGAUAUUCUAACAAUAAAAUUGGCUCAAUUUGAUAUGUUUCUUUUUUUUUUUGUUUUUGUUUUCCCUUUCAUUUUAUGCUUUGUUGUGCUAUUGCUAAGUUUAUCCUAGAGACCAGGGAUGCUUAGCAAGUUUCUUCACCUGCCCUUCUUCCCAUGUACUAACUAGGGAUACCAUGUCAGAAUCUUAGAUAAGAAUCCCAACCCAAUCAAACUAUGACAUCUGUAAGUAUUCAAAAUUGGAAUUUGCAUUGUGAUAGUUGAGUGGAAGAAUCGAUUAAGGCUUGAGUGGAAGACAAACUUCAGUGGAGGAAAGUAAUUAAUCUCACAAGACAUAGCCCAUCAGUUGGCUCAUUUUUCUUGAGUGUGUAGUCCUGGCCUUGAGGCGAGGCCACAUUGCUUUGGAGAUUUCUUUCUACUUGGUGAAAUUAUAAUUUAGAAGAAGCAAACUGCGUUUUGCAAUUUGUGCGAUUCAAGCAUAUCUGACACUAGUAAUUAGACCAUAAUCUUUGUCCGACCAGAAAAUAAGAAAAGUUGUCUUGUACCAUUUCUGCCAGUGUGGGUCCCACCCACCCCAUACGAGUAAUUUGAAGAAGUCCACCGACAAUUUCCCAAAAGCUUUGGCGUCCAACUUUGCCGACCCCAUCCCCAUGUGAGGCCAUAGAAAAGUUUUCAGCCACAAUCAAAGAAGGGAACAGUCCUUGAAAAGAGAGGGUUUUCCAAGGCCAAGAUUACAAGUUCAUGUUAUUUACAGUCUCAAAAAGCUUCCAUACUUGUUUACAAACCUGUAUUUUCAAGUUGUGCUAGCCUAGCUAUUUGCAAAUCUUGGAAUAUUUUACUUCAUCCAAAUCCCUUGCAGUCUGCAGAGAAGAUAAAAGACAUGGCUUUGAUUGGAGAGGCUCUUAUCUCUGCUUCCGUCCAGGUGUUGUGCGACAGAAUUACUUCACCCGAGUUCGUUGACUUAUUUUGGCACAAGAAACUCGAUGAGCCACUCCUCAGGAAGCUGAGGACGACACUGUUGGCCUUGAACUUGGUGCUCAAUGAUGCAGAGGGGAAGCAACUUGUGAACCGAGAUGUGAAAAAGUGGCUUGACGAGCUCAGACAUGCUGUCUUUGAUGCGGAGGACUUACUGGAUGAGAUUGACACUGAAGCUUUGCGAUGCAAGCUGGAAGAAGGUGAAGAUCAAACUCACAAAUUUACCAAUAAGGUGCGGAACUUGCUCUUUUCUCCUCGUAGUCAUUUUUAUCAGAGCAUGAAUGAUAAGAUAAAAGAGUUACUAGCAAGGUUAGAAAACUUUGUACAACUGAAAAGUGCUCUUGGUCUGGGAGAAGUUGCUGGGAGGAAGGUUUCGCAAAGAACUCAAACAACCUCCUUGGUUCUUGAACCUUAUGUAUAUGGUAGAGAUGAAGUCAAAGAAAAGUUAUCAAAAGUGUUGCUAUCUGAUGAAGCAGGCAAGGAUCCUGUGUCUUUCCUCACCAUUGUUGGAAUGGGUGGGGUUGGCAAGACAACCCUUGCUCGAAUGCUUUACAAUGACGAUAAGGUGAAAGGGCAUUUUAAACUUAAAGCUUGGGCUUGUGUUUCAGACUACGAUGAUUAUAUUAAAAUUACUAAAACUCUCCUUGAGGCAGUCACUUCAAAGCCUUGUAACACGGCAAAUCUGAAUUUGCUUCAAAAAGAUCUAAGAGAGCAAUUGAGGGGAAGGAAAUUUUUAUUUGUGUUGACCUAUGGAAUGAGAAUAAUGAGGAUUUGAACUACCUUAGAGCUCUUUUUAUUACUUUAGGAACAAUGGGAAGUAAAGUCAUUGUAACAACACGGAACAAAAAUGCAGCAUCUGUCAUGCAAAAUGUUCAUAUUCAAUACUUAGAACCAUUGUCGUAGGAGGACUGCUGGUUAUUACUUGCAAAACAUGCAUUUGGAAAUGAAAAGUGUAGUGCACAUUCAAACUUGGAAGACAUUGGAAAGCAAAUUGCACUCAAGUGCAAAGGGUUGCCUUUAGCUGCACAAACACUUGGGAGUUUGUUACGUUGCAAUAUGGAUUUCGAGUACUGGAAUAGAAUACUAAAUGAUAGUUUUUGGGACCAACCCUAUGAUAAAACUAACAUUCUUCCGGCUCUAGGGUUGAGUUACCAUUAUCUUCCUACUCAGUUGAAACGAUGCUUUGCUUAUUGUUCAAUUUUUCCAAAGGAUUAUGAGUUUGAAAAGGAAGAUAUAGUUCAAUUAUGGAUUGCAGAAGGUAUAAUUCCACAAGCUGAGAAUGGAAAAAGGAUGGAAGCAUUGGCUAGAAUAUACUUUGAUGAGCUGUUAUCACGAUCGUUGUUUCAAAAGUCAAGUAAAUUCAGCUUCAUUAUGCAUGAUCUCAUUAAUGACUUGGCUAUGUUCAUGUCUCAGGGGUUUUGCCUUAGGCUCGAAGAUGGGGUAUCCCGUGAAGUUAAAAGAGCUCGUCAUUUGUCAUAUGCUAGGGGAGAAUUUGAUGCUGCUCCAAGAUUUGAACCAUUAUAUGAGGCUAAAUGUUUGCGGACCUUCCUACCUACCAUUUGUUGUGGGCAAAUCUACUGGAUCAGGCAUAAGAGAACUGAGGCAGUUCCCGCAACUUCGAGGAAAACUAUCAAUUUUGAAGCUACAAAAUGUAGUUGAUGCGAGGGAUGCACUGCACGCCAAUAUGAAGCACAAGAAAGAUCUCAAGGAGUUAGAGCUUUCAUGGGGUGCGGAGGAUGCUGAUGAUUCCCAAAAGGAGAAAGAUGUACUCGACAAGCUCCAGCCUUGCGUGAAUUUGGAGAAAUUAACCAUCAAAUUCUAUGGUGGAACUAAUUUUCCGAAUUGGUUAGGAGACUCGUCUUUUUCUAACAUACAAGUCAUGCAUCUCAGUGACUGUAGUUAUUGUUGGUCGCUCCCACCAGUUGGACCGCUACCGGCACUCAAACAGCUCUGUAUAAGAAGAAUGAAGUUUGUGAAGACGAUUGGCGUUGAAUUCUAUGGCAGAAAUGGAGCUUAUCUGACUCAGCCAUUUCGAUCUCUGGAGAAGCUAGAGUUUAGGGAGAUGCCAGAGUGGGAGGAAUGGGUACCAAGUGGAAGUGCAAGUGGAGGUGAAUAUGGUCCAGACUUUCCUCGUCUCCAGGAGCUGAUUCUAUACGAGUGUCCGAAGCUAAGAGGAAGUUUGCCUUGUGAGUUGCCUUGCUUGAAGAAGCUUACGGUGUAUGGGUGUAAGGUUUUACAUGAUGGAAGGGCCAUUACCGCAACUACCAAUAGUCUUAACUAUAAAUCUCUGGAAGAAUUGAAUAUAAGUGGUGGAUGCCAAACUCUGUUAUCAUUAUUAGAGACAAAGCUCCUGUCCGGACUUGAGAUUCGAAAUGUUGUUGACAUACAGUGCUUGCCCAACUGCAGUCGUCUUCAACAUUUGACUCUUUCGAAUUGUCCAACGCUGUCAUCAUUUCCCAAAGAUGGCCUACCCACUACAUUGACAUCACUUUAUAUAAACAAUUGUAGGAAAUUAGAAUUCCUACCUCAUGAGAUGUUGGCCAAAUUAACAUCGCUUGACUAUUUGUGCAUACAAAAUAGCUGUGAUUCAAUGAGGUCCUUCCCGUUGGGCAUUUUUCCCAAAUUGACGAGGCUUGAAAUUCGUGGUUGUGAGAAUCUGGAAUCCCUUUCCUUGAUUGAAGAAGAAGGAGCUGUUGAGAAUCUCAGCCAUCUCAAUUACUUGCAAGUCUAUAACUGUCCAAAAAUGGUGUGUUUUCACGAGGGAGAAUUGCCCACUCCCAACCUGAGUCACUUUGUAGUCGGUGGUUGCGAGAAUUUGAAGUCAUUGCCCAAAAGCCUUCACACCCUCACUGCCCUUCGAUCUUUGUCGAUAUGUAAUCUUCCGAAUCUGGAGUCAUUUGCAGAAGAUGGGGGUUUGCCUCCCAACCUCCGACAAGUAAGUAUUAGGAAUUGUGAGAGACUGAGGGCUUCAUCAGUGGGUUUGCAAGCACUUGACUCCCUUGAGAUCAGUGGAAGUGACCAUGUAUUCUCUAUCACACUCUUCACAUCUAUUCUCUAUCAACUCUGAAAUCUUUGGACGGAAAGGGUCUUGGACACCUCACUUCUCUUCAAGAGCUAGAUAUUAACAGGUGUCCAAGUCUGGAAUUCCUGCCAGGAGAGGAACUUCAACACCUCACUUCUCUUCAAAAUCUAUACAUUUGGAACUGUCCCAGUCUUCAAUGCUUGCCAGAAGAGGGUUUUCCAUCAUCUCUUUCUCAUCUGAGUAUCCGCCGGUGUCCUACCCUGGAGGAAAGGUAUAAGAAUAAAACGGGACGAGAUUGGGCCAAGAUAUCUCACAUUCCUUGCAUCGAGAUAGGCAACGAAGUGAUCAUAUAAUAUGAGCUAUUCCAUAUUUCACGCUCAACCCUCAACUCUCAAAUCAAAGUCAGGUGAGGUAUGUGCCUUCUCUUACUUUAAAAAACUGCUGCUCAAUAACACUCUUCGCACUCUAUAUAUUAUGGCCUGUCAGUCUAAAAUUCCUGCCAGGAGAGGAACUUGAACGCCUCUCUUCACUGCAAAGGCUACAUAUUUGUGGGUGUGACAAUAUCCAAUUCCUGCCAGAAGAGCGUUUGCUGCAAUCUCUUUCUUAUCUGUGCAUCGACCAUUGUUUUGCCAUGUAGAAAAGGUAUCUCACAUUCCUUGCGUCAAGAUAGGUGAAGAAGUGAUCAUAAGAUAUGAGCUCUCUCUCCCUCUCGCUCACAUACAAAGUACUUAAAACACUCAAUCUGAUUUCUAUUAUUAUUUUGCUCAGUAAAUUUUGUUUAAAUUUGCUUUGUUUCUCAUUGCGCUUGUUCUGCUUAUCACAACUUAUAUCCUAUUUAAAUCUCAAAUGCUGAAUAGUUAGCAGUCUUUUCGCAGGACAGCAUAUCUUCUCUUGGAGAGCUAUUCAUUUGCAAGGUUUCUUUAUGUGUCAUUUCCAGAGGAGGGUUUACUAUUUAAUAGAAAGGUUCACCUGGAAUAUCUCAAAUGACACAUUCCCAAAUACAGGCAUUGAAUGCACAACAUUUUGAGGUACUAUUUUUGUAAUAAAAAUGUACUUGAGUCUCAUUUGAGCUAGUUUAAAUUGUAUUCAAUGUCUAUGGAUAACCUGUGAGCUUAAGUUGUAAGAUAAAACUCACAGUAUAUUAUUAGGGUUUAGGGUUCAACAGGUGAGCUUAAGUUGUACUUUCCUAGGUACUGCAUGUAUAUUAUCUUAGUAUCAACACUUGGUCUUAUGUGGACGAGAGAGAACAUUUGAGGAAUUACAAAAUCUUCUUAGUGAAUUAAGCUUGUUUCAGCUCUGUUUGUCAUCCCUCACAUUUUCUUUGUUAAGCCUUGAUUUUUUAUUAGACAUACGAAAAAAUGCUUUUAUAAGACAGGAGAUGAAUGCUUUUAUAUGUUGAUGUCGUAGUCAGUCUUCAACCACACUCUGUUUUUAGAAUUCAUUUAUGUUACUAGUUGAGAGCUGCUGUAUUUUAUAUUUCGUUCCUGUAAUGUUUGGAUGUUUAGCUUGAGCAGUCUAGCUUAUCCAGUAGAUAACUUGUCCCCUGUUUUGUAAUGUUUUUGUUUCCUCUAAUGAAAGCAGGUUUUACUUAUCUUGAACUGCAGAAGCCUACUUUUUGACAUAGGUGGCAUGGCACAAACUCGCAUCCGCAUUUCCAUCCCCAUUGGCAUGCUGUCUCAUCUUUUCUAUUCUGUUACCAGCUUGAAGCUUGUGUGGACAUGUUAUGCUCUUGUAAUUCUGAUCACAAACAUCACUUGACAAAUGGAAAGUCACAAUCAGAUCUUUCAGGUGAUCUGGAGGUUUACUUUCUAACAUUUGUUUUCGUGGGGGGGAGACAACAAUACAGAAUUUAAAAUUUCUGAUAAUCAAUAGUAGUUUGCAUAUAUCAGCUGGGACCUGUAUGACUGUAUUAUGUAAUUAAUUAUUUCUCUUAUUGUUUGGGUACUGUUAAAAGGAGUUAGCCACACAACAUAAAAAAGGAGGUCUCUUAUUUCAUACAAUUUUUCAAAUGUGAUCAUUAAUCCGUUUCUUUUUCAACAAUAGAGGAAUGUAUACUAAUCGUCUGGUCCAUCUGCUGCUUCACUCCCUAGUAGCUUCAUCUCCUGUCCUUUGCUUUAUUUCUGUUGAUGAAUGUUUUGUCUGGGUUAUUUAUUUUCAUUUCAUGUCCAUUGCUUUAUUUCUGUUUGGAUUCUUAAUUAAAUCUGUCCUGGACUUGAACAAGGGUUAGGUUAGCUGUAUAAUUUGCGGUUUUAUAUACACAACUGUCUACAUUGAUUAAAACCAGCAUUAUUCUAAGGUUCAUUUAGAAUGUAUUAUCACCAAAAUUAUAAAGAAUACUUCUAUUACAAUUAAUUUGUUGAUUCUAAUUUGGACUUGUAGGAACAGACCAAACAUGUUCAUGCGUGGCAUUGCUCAAGUCAUCAUCAUUCGAGACAGAGAAUAAGCCUUCAAGUGUCUGCUGAGUCAAUGAACCUUUCUAGAUAUCUCAAGUGUAAUGGAAAUUGAUGAGUUACAAAGGAUUUGUAAACAUUUUCUACUGGAGGCUAGAAAUGCUUCAAAUAAAUGACCGUGUUGCAAUUAUUUUGUAGGAUCAAAGACUCUGCAAAGAGGUAAGAAAGUCAUCAUCAAGUAACUUUGCUCUUCAAACUUUUUAUUUUUAUUUUUAAAUAUCAGUAAUAACUGGGAAAGCUUGCAUCUCCUUAAAUUGCUCAUUCUUACAUCUUUUAUAGUUUGUUGAUCUUGGGCAAGUGGAGAGAGAGGCGUCAAGUGAUACGCAACAACCAUUUUCUGUGAGCUGAUUUGAUAAAGAGAAAUGGUAUGCUUUCUUGUCUUAAGCGGUGUGUUCUGCAAUUAUUUGAAACAAAGGAUGCCGCACUUCAAGUUCGAGAAAAUCAGGUAUUUUAGUAUUUUAUUCUUGAGAAAUUUGAUUUAUGUAGAAACUUGAACAUGUAAAUAAAAUAAAUAAAAUAUAUUAUAUGCUGUUAAUGAGUUAAUAUGGUGCUUGCUUCUAGUUGGAAAUUUAUGUAGUCAUCUACCUAUGAUCAAAUAAAGAUGAAGAAUAAAAUAUAAUUGAGAGCAUCUUCCUCUCCCCUGCUUUGCUCAUCCCUUGUUCUUCCACUUCAGCCCCACUAUUACACCAUUUUUUCAGCCACAAUUAUAAUAGCUCCAUGAGCAUUAAGUCCUUUUCAAAUUCUGCUGACAUUCAAAAUUGGAAUUUGCUGGUGAUAUAUGAUAGCAUCUUUGUCCGACCAAAAAGAGAAAAAAAAAAAGUUGAUAGCAUAUUGUACCAUUUUGGCCAGUGUACGCAAUAUUAUUGCAUCCAACUUUGCAUAUUAACAUCAGUGGCCACAGUUCCAUGAUUUGAGUGCACAGAAAAGUUUCAAAAGUUGUCCCACAAAGAACAGUCGUUCAAAGUGAAAGAGAGAUUUCAAAGCUUAAUUACAAGUUCAUGUUAUUUACAAUAUCAAAAAGCUUUCAUACUUGCUUACAAACCUGUAUUUCCAAGUUCUGCAAACCUUGGAAUAUCACUUCAUCCAAAUCCCCUUCCAAAGCAGGAAAAAAUGGCAGCAGCUUUGAUUGGAGAGGCUCUCAUCUCUGCUUCUAUCGUGGUGUUGUGUGACAGAGUUACUUCAGCCGAGUUCAUAGACUUAUUUCAGCAGAAGAAACUUGAUGAAACACUCCUCAUGAACCUGAAGACGACACUGUUGAUUUUGUUUGCGGUGCUCAAUGAUUCAGAGGAGAAGCAAAUUGUGAACCCUGAAGCUUUGCGAUGCAAGCUGGAAGGUGAGGAUCAAACCCACAAUAAUUAACCAAAAAGGAUCUUUUUGAUUGUUUGAAAGGAGGGUCUUGAUGAUUUGAAAGGAGAGGGUUGCUUUAUUUCUGUUGGAUGCUUAAUUAAAUCUUAUUUGGAGUUGAACAAGGAUUAGGUUAGCUGUAUAAUUAGUGGUAAACGCCUUUUUCUAAGGGUCAUUUAGACUCCUAUUACGAUUAAUUUGUUGUUUCUAAUUUGGACUUGUAGGAACAGACCAAAUAUGUUCACACGUGGCAUCGCUCAAGUCAUCAUCAUUUCAGACUGAAAAUCAGCCUUCGAGUGUCUGUUGAGUCAAUAAACCUUUCUAGAUAUAUCAAGUGCAAUGGAAAUUCAUGAGUUACAUAGAGAUUUUUAAACAUUUUGAAGAUUGCAACACCUGCAAGUGAGAUAGGCGGUGACGAAAUCAGAGCUGAUUUUGAAGCCUCUGAUGCCCCUGUUGUUGCAAGUUGCACCUGAGAACAAGUUUUUUUUUUCUUUGGGGUAAAAAACUGGCAACAUGUUCGGAGCUGACAAUUCAAUCCCUGAUGAACUAGAGAAGCAAAGCUCCGGUAAGGAAAUUGGUCAAGGUUGUGACAGGGAUGAUUGAUGGUGAAAUGGAUGCUAUUUCUUAUUGCAGCCUGUUCUCAAAGUUCUUGUUGGCAAAUGCAAUUGAUGGAGUAUUUUGAUUGGGAGGAGAGAUAAUGACAUGGCUUGACAAUUCUAGAACAGCCCAUCAUUAAUCCCAGAAAAAAUCCCGUUUCUGCUAAACAAUCACUUAUGGCAAGGCCAACUCUGUAAAUGGAAUUUGUGAUCCCUUCAAAUUGUACACAUUUUUUCUUUUUGAGGAAUUUAAUCAAACAGUAUUCUAAUGCAUUAUGAUAGCACUACACGCUUUUGUUGUAACAAAUUACAAGGAGGAAUUUGGAUUGAGUUUCUUGUAUAAGCACACCUUACACAAAUUUCGUAUAUUUUCUUCCAGCAAGUCUGUUUAUUAACCCCCUUAUCUGAAAUUAAUUGUUAAAAGUUUUGAUUCAUCUUUAAUCAGUGUCUUACCCUUGUUGAAUAACACUCCUCUUUCUAAUUUAUAUUUGAAGUUUGAGCUUUCAAUUUCAAUUGUGGGCUUUGAUUUUUCAGAUUUUGUUUGUCAAUUUCAGUUUGGACAAAGCAUAUAUGCAAACAAAGUAAGCAUUUUAUGUUAUACUUUUGAACUAGGUGUUGAUUUGAUUUAAUCAUAAGUUUUGCUGGUGCAUUUACUAGGCUAAUCAUUCAAUACUUUUGAUCAUAGAACUUCUUUGGUUGAUAUUAUCUUUGUUAAGUUUAACCAUAACUUUAGAGAGGGGACUUCAACAGAUUUAUAAUCUCAUCAUUAUAGUAUUAAAAAUUAGAGAUUAUUUAAGGCAUUGUCUAUUAUCUGAAUUCUGCUUACUUUUAGUUCAUAUGUUUACAUCUUAGCAUAUUCAUGUGAUUAGUGCGGCUCAUACCACAAAGGCAAUUUUAGGCUCAUCAAGUGCUAAGCAAUGUCAAGCUUCCAAAUGACAAGUUCUCUACAUAGUUUGAGACCUACACUUACUAGAUAUUAGAUCAUUUCGAUCAUUUCCAUAUGUUUAUAUGUAAUUGACAUGUUAUAACAUUUUUGUAGCGUUAUAUAAUUAUUUAGCAAUUUAAUUAUUUCUUUGCAACUUAAUUUUUUUUGUCAAUCAUACUAUUGUUGACUGCUAAAAACCAUCAAGAAAUAGUUCUCAAGUUAUAAAAAAAAAAAAAUUUUAAAAAAGAUUUGUUGAUGCUUAAAAAGCAUCAAGAACAGAUAGUUUCUUGACGGUUUUGUGACAUUUCAUAACUGUAGGGGGCUUUUUCUUCCGACAGCUGUAAAUGGGCUGGGCUGCCGUAAAGGGCAGACUGAUGAAAUUGUCCCCUUUUGUAUGAGCUCAAAAAUUAAGCCCCAAAAUACUUUGAAAGGGCAGCAGAGCCUUAGGAAGUAUUUUGGUUACCCUCACCAACUAAAACAACAACAACUUACAGGUAAUUACUUAAUGCUUAUGGAUGAACUCUUGAGCUUGGCAUGAGAGACAUAUGGCAUGGAAGCAAAAUCAACAUGAGUUUAGCACUGAGGGGAAAUUUAGGCUCUCUUGGGGGAAAAAGGGAAGUGUUAAGGUGAGAGAGGAGAAGUUUGUAGGAGAUUUAGCUAAGAAAGGAGAAAUAUAGAACAAUGCUCUUUUGGCAGCUUGACAGAUGCUCUGUUUGCCAGAAAAGGAAGAUGGAGAAGAAAUGUGAAUAGUGCAAGAGUUUGCUAGAUUUUUGCAGGUAAGAGAGGAAGCUUGCUCUCUGGGUCUGAGUUGAGUUUUUUUGUGUGGAAGAGACCUCAUUUUAUAGCCCUUGGAAACCAUCACUUCCCAAGAAACCCUAAUGGCUUCUACCCAUUUUGGCCAAGCUUUUCCCUUCCUUUCUCAUUUCCUUCCUUGACUUUACCCCUCUUGAUGAAAUCCCCUCUGCCUAUUUGCACCAUAUCAGAGUUUUUUGAAGCUCAAGGCCCCUUUUUCCCGCAGUUGUCUCAAUGGGAGACUUCCAUUCCCAGUCAUCUCCUUUAUUGCUUUCCUUUCUUUUUUUCAUGGCCAAGUUUGGUGGGGAAAGGAGUUGGGAUAUAUAUGCUGGUUUGAAGGGUGCUUCUCUUCCUGGCAUCUUACACACUAAUACCCCUUGGUUCCUUGAAUGUUUUGGCUUUGAAACUUGCUCUCCCCCCCCCCCCCCCCCCCCCCAUGUACUGGAACCUACCAGCAGCUCUAUUCAAUGAAUCUUCAGACCUUCUCUUCGUGGCUUUUAUUUUUUAUCAACGGGCUGGGGCUUUUGUGGCUCAUUGUGGCAAUUGUAUGGGCUAAGGUGGUUCAUUAAGUAAGUGGGCUAUUUUUAUUAAACAUUAGGCUUUUUGGUUGAGUCACUAGGCUAUUUUGAUUGGGCUAUUGGGCUAUUUUUUUCCUCUCUUGUGCUCACCCACAUGUUUGGACCAAAGAAAUGAGCUUGAGUCCUGAGGCUCCCAAGCGACCCGAGACUUUCCAUUUCUGGCCCAUCAAUGGGCCUCAUGUUGAUUUAUUACCAUCCAUACCACAACCCACUCAAGCAGGCUCCGGGCAUUUGAAUGACUUGGGCGCACUUAGGCUUGUAGUGUGGUUGGGUGCGAAAUAACGAUUUCGUGCUUGGCAUGUUUUAAUUUUAUCAUCCUUGGGAAAGGCUGCGAUGUUUGAUUUCGGCAUGGGCUUGUAGAGCUGGUAUGCUUUAUUUCAACUCCUAGCAUGACGAAUUAUUUAUUUAGCAUGGCACGUGAAUUACAACUCGCAUGUGGUGGGUUUUUGUGUACUACACCUUACGCCUCUUCUUAAUAGAACAUCGUUUUGGGCUGAUAAUUUAUUCGGGCCAAACCGUGAAUUUUUUGGGUCUCAAUAAUAACCAUCAUGAAACAUUACAUUUUGACUGACGUCAAGAAAUGGGGUAUCCCUUUCCUGAUAGUGGCAUCCAUGAUGCCUUCCAAGCAGUCAAUUAAGGGCUAUCGUGAUGCAUUUUAGUUGUCAGCAAAAGGUGUUUUUCUUGUACUGUAUUCACUCAAAGUCGUGUUUCAUUUAAGAUUAGUAGUAUGGUUGAAUACCAUUUGUUUUGUUAAAGAAUAUUAUACAUUAGGGAUUUUUGUAGAAAUGUCAUUUGAACUUAUACCUUAGUUUCAAUUUGUCACCUUGAAGAAAAAUUUAAGAGAAAUGUCACCUUAAUUUUUAAAAAUCCAUGAUUUGUCAUAUGACUUUAAAAUCAUCCAAUUUUCCAUCCAUUUUAAGGGUAUUUUAGUCUUUUCAUUUUGAAGGAAAAAAAAGAGAUGAAAAAAGAGACCUCUCUCUUACUUUGUCCCUCAACCCAACCCCACCCGCCCCCCAAAACACAUCACAUAGGAUUGCCUCCCCCUUCCCCACUUUUCUUUUUUCUUUUUGUCCUACUUUUCCACUAUGUUUAUGUUGAAGGAUCUAAAGUUUGCUUGGUCACCAUCUGUUACGUAGGCUUCCCAAUUGUUAGUUUGGGUGGGUUGUGGGAAUUUGUGUGCUCGAAACCCGAGACGAAUCUUGUGGAAUUCCCGACAUCACACCGAUGCCGGGCCCACUUCUGAACUAAAUUCUCUUUUCCAAAAUUAAGGAAAAAGAGUACGAGGCUUUCUGCCGAAAUUUCGACAGAGUAUUCCCUAUAAAUUUAACAUUUCAGCUUUGGUGGCCGUUCUCUCAUUUCAGCUUUGGUGGCCGGAUGAGAGAACGGUCGGCUAAAACGUGGCCAGCUGGCACUGCCGUCGCGAGAGAGAGAGAGAGAGAGAGAGAGAGAGAUUUUUAUCAAAUCAUUUUUGCCAAAAUUACGAUUAUGCAACUGAGGGUAUUUUGAUCGUAUCUUUUUCAUUAUAACUCUGAUUCAAGCCCACUACGUGUUUACGGACUCAUCUCGCCGUGCUCUAUGCAAUUGUAUAGUUGAAAUUCCCAAAUUCCACCCCAGUCAAAAAUUCAACUUUAAACCCUACAAAAUAUUAUAGGGGCAAAAUGGUCUUUUAUCUAAUUAAAUUAAUAAUUGAAAAUUUAUUUAGGACCGGGUUGUUACACUGUCGUUGAUGGACUGUGCGAUGACACUCACACAAAGUCCUUGAGAAUAAAACACACACACACCAUGAAGAGAGUAAAACAAAUACACAAGUACACAAAGAUUUAUAAAGGUUUGGCCUUCUGCCUACGUCCUCUUGGUGAUCCACCCGAGAAAUUCACUAGUACGUAAGAACAACUUUGGUUACAACUAAACCCCCUUAGCUUUCAUAAGAACCCUAGAUCUCUUUUCUCCCACCCUUGCUCCAACCCUUUGAUGCCCUUGUAAACACUCAAGAAUUCACCCUUGAAUUCUGUCAUGUGUUACAUCUUCUCUUCUCCCCUUUGUUAACCUAACCCUAAAAGUUAUAUUUAUAAUUCAUAGGACUUUAAGUACAAGUUAACUAGGAAUAGGAAACAUAAUAGACCUCAAAAAUUGGAGAAAAUAUGUUUAGAUCUCGUUAGGAAAUUGCACAACACGUGCGAUCCGCUCGAGCGCCUGCAAAAUGAUCCCUUUGUCGCUCAAGCUGCCGAUAGCUCAUGGGAUGGGGGAAUUAGAGAUUUUUUUUUUUUUCAAUUUUAAUUGUUUAAAAGAUAUACAAUUUUUUAAUAAUAAUUUUUCCAUUUUUAAAAUACCCUUGAAAAUAGAAAGAUUAAAAUGCCCUUAAAAAUGGAUGGAAAAUUGGAUUGCGUUAAGGUCAGUUGACAAAUCAUGGAUUUUGAAAAAUUAAGGUAACAUUUCUCUUAAAUUUUUCUUUAAAGUGACAAAUUAAAAUUGAGGUAUAAGUUCAAGUUACAUUUAUGCAAAAAUCCUUAUACAUUAUGAUAUUCUAACAAUAAAAUUGGCUAAAAUUGAUAUGUUCCCUCUUUAUUUUCUUUUUCUCUUUUCCUUUUCAUUUUAUGAUCCAAUCCUUUUCAUAUAUUUUUGUUCAAGACUUUGUUUUAGAAUGCUCUAUUACUAAUUUGGUACAGGUCCCUAAAAUCUCGGAGCCGCCUUAGUACAUUCAUAAUGUACAUGUUCAGAGUUCAAGAAUAAUGUAUAGAAUGUGAAAUUGACGAUGCCGGCCUUUAUGAGGCAACGUCUUUAUUUCUUUGGUUAUUACAGUUUAGAAUAUUUGCACAAAUGAGAUGAUUCCAAGCAUAAAGUCACAUUCGACCAAAAAGCAUGAAGUCACACACAAAAAGAACACGGACAAUUGCUAAGUUUAUCCUUGUACCCUUAUUUUAUUGAUCCGACCCAAUUGAAAAUUAAAAAAAGAUGAUAAAAAAUAUUGUUCACUACUUUAAAAUCUAUGAGUAGAGUCCUCCAUUUGAAAUUUCGUCAUUAUACAAAAUUGGAAUGAAAAAAGAAAAUCCUACAGCUAAAUUUGAUAUAUUUCCUUUUCAUUUUAUGCUGGGUGUUAGGGCUUGUCAAUGGGCCGGGCUAGGCUAGCCCGGCUCAAAUUUAAUGGGCUUGGGCUAGGCCGGGCCAAGCUUUAAAGAGGAGAGAGAAAAUAUCCGGCCGAGUUUUUUAAGAAAAUUCAAAGCCCAAGCCCGAAUCACUGCUGUCUAGCCCGGCCCAAAUUUAAUGAGCUUGGGCCAGGCCGAGCCAAGCUUUAAAGAGGAGAGAGAAAAUAUCCGGCCGAGUUUUUUAAGAAAAUUCAAAGCCCAAGCCCGAAUCACUGCUGUCAUUUCAUUGAUUUGUGACGAGCACAACCACCAAAUCAGAAUUUACUCACGAAAAUAUCAAGUAUGUCUAGCAAAUUUCAAUUUUGAAUAAUACACAAUUUCAAAAGGAGGACAUGUUGCAAGACAGCAUACCUUCUCUUGGGGUGCUUUUCAUUUUGCAACAUUUCUUUACGUGUAAUUUCCAGAGGAGGGUUUAUCAUUGUAUAUAGCUUUUCGGGUGGUUUGUCUACAAAACAAAUGUCACAAAGAAGGAGGAGAAACGGAAAAGAUUUACUUGGAAUGUCUCAAGUCUCCUUUGAGAUAAAGGCAUCGAAUGCACAACAUUGCUUUUGUGCUAUUUCAUAAUUAAAGUGUGCUUCCCAAGUCUCCUUUGUGUUUUGUAACUUGUAAUGUUUGUUUUUUUGUUUCCCCUGUUUUCCCUCUUAUAAAAGAAAUACAGGUCCAAACCACACGGAUCUACUUGCAUAAUAAUGGACCAAAUUUAUGAUUUUUAGAAAGAACCUUCUGCCGGUGGAAUCUUGGGCUACUGUUGUGGCUCUCCUCUGUGUGCCUCCUUUUUAGAACGGUAAAAUAUUCAAAAUACUAGAAAAUGUUCGUGAUUAAUAUAAAUAUUAAGAAUUGAAAUUAUUAAUUAAAUGAGGAUAAUAUGGUAAAUUCACACUUUUUUAUAUUAAAAAAAUUAAAAUUAAAAGAAAAAUCAGAUAAUUGAUAUUAUUUUUAUGGAACACAGCUACUCAUUAUCUUUUUUAAUUCUAAAAUAAAUUUAAAUUAAAGAAAAAAACCCCUCUCACAGGCACGGAAGCGCGUGCUCAGAGGCUAGUUAAAAAUAAUGAACUUUGCUUCUGAAGACGUCUAUACCAGACCCACUCAACCUGCUUUAUGAUUAUACAAAGAACAAACUCGUCCUUAGACUCAUUUGGUUAAACUUAGAAAAUAAUGAAACAAAAAUAUGCACUCCCACAAGUAACACAGCCAGGAUUGAAAACAACUGGACAAAGAAAGGCAUGUUAAAACAGAAUUUUCAACAACUCAUCACCAUUAGACAAGAAAAAGAAAAAUCAAUACAAAAACAGAAAGAACAGAGAAUAAAUGUGGUGGAAGAAAAACGUUGAAGCCAUUUGUGAAUCCAACAACACUACCACUCUGUUUCUCUCCUUUUGUUCAGGCGGAUCUGCAUAUAUCCUAAGGCGUAUUACGGAAACAACUUCUUGCCGUUAUACUUGAAUGUUGUGGAUGCUUCAACGUUGCCAUCUGGGUGGAGUGGAUUUGUCCAAUUCACCUUCACUAUGGUAUAUACGUCCAAAUUGUUGUUAUUUGAAAGGCUUCUAAAUUUUAACAUUUUGAUUUUUAAAUUUUGUUUAAAUAUUUCGGCCCACUUAGUUCUUCUCAAAAUAUGUCAUCAAUAUCGUUGAAAGGUUGAACUUAGUGAAUUAUUAUAGUGCAGUACUGUAGAAUAGACACAUGAUAUAAUUUGUCCACAUGUUAUAAUAUAAGUAAAUAUUUAUUGAUAUUAUUUCUAAAAAUAAGAAAUAUCAACCAUUAUAUCCUCCCAUAUUAUAAUACAUAUACAAAUUAUACCACAUUAUCAUACUCUAAUACCAUUUUAUAAUUUCUCGUACUUAGAGCGAGUCAAUGACAUUACAUAAUAUAUAAUUGUUCAUAUAAUGGGGCAACUAACGUGAUCAACAAGUUGUGGUGAUUAAUUUAACAUAAUAAAAAAUAUACCAUUUACUUGAGUGAUGUAACAAUUUGUUCUUUUAAAUUGGAUUGCCAUCACUUUAAUAUGAUAUGUUUCUUAUUAUAGUGUCCCAUGUUAAGUGCUUCAGCAUUGUUUGUGGUGUGUACACAAAUUUUCUUAUAAAAUGUUUUAAUGCUUCUCACAUGUAUAUCAGAUAUAGACAGUUGAUGUGACUUAGAAAUCAAAUUGUCAAUAAAGCAAAAAAAUAUAAUUGGUGAUUGAGGUCCAAUUUAAUAGAAAAUAGUCUUAACUUGUAUAUUAGAGGUUUCAGAUUCGAAUCCUCACUGCAUUAUUGUUGUAUACGUACACGAGAAAUCCUCUUCUCCAAUAAUUUAGACUAUCACUUAUACUAAAAAAAUAUAUAUAUAUAAUGACUUUUACGGAUGCAAACAUAAAAUUACACCAAACAAUAAUGGAAUAGAAAGAUGCAAGUUAUUUUUUUUUUUUUUACAUCUAAAGUAUACUUUAUAUAUAUAUUUAUUAUGGGUGUUAUAACCGUUUAAUUUUCAGUUUUUAUUUUCUAUUUAUUGUUUUAAUUUUUAUGGUUUAAUGUGUAUGAAGAUUACAAGUAUUGGAUGUCUACCACUCCUCCUUCACAUCUGAAACAAACCACCAUCUCAUUUCUGUAUUUUCAUACUUUCAUAUAUUUUCUACUUUCCAGAUUAUUAUUUUUGGGCAACGGUUCUGUGACUUGCAGAUUUCUAUCCGAUUGUUAACAUGCUCAUAGCGGACCUUGAGCUUGCGUAUUGGGGAUCGUAUCUUGGAGCCUUAUAGACCUUUAUUACCUGCAUGUAGGGAGGUUAUAAAUGCUUUAGGUCAGCAUCUUUGACGUGCUUUUGCUUUCUUUUUUUUUUUACUUAUUUCUUCGUUUCUUUAUUUUUACUUUACUUUUAAAUUUUUAUUUUAUGUAUUAUUUAUAUUUAAAAGUUUUGAAUAAGAGUUUUACAGAAAAGGAAAAACACAAUUUCAAAUAACACAAAUUUCUCGUUUUUGGUUCUUAAAAUAAAUGAAUUUUUUACUUAUUUGUGAACUGAAAUGCCUCUAAAAAAAUAAUGAUAGUUUGAAGAAUUUGAUAGAAAUUAAAAAAUAUCCUCAAAUUACUUGGAAUUGAAGACCACAUAGGCAAAAACACCAUUUUGGACAAAGGCUGGUGAUAAUAGUCGAUAUCAUCUUUAAGUACUUUAAUAUGAUAUGUUUCUUAUUAUAGUGUCCCAUGUUAAGUGUUUCAGCAUUGUUUGUGGUGUGUACACAAAUUUUCUUAUAAAAUGUUUUAAUGCUUCUCACAUGUAUAUCAGAUAUAGACAGUUGAUGUGACUUAGAAAUCAAAUUGUCAAUAAAGCAAAAAAAUAUAAUUGGUGAUCGAGGUCCAAUUUAAUAGAAAAUAGUCUUAACUUGUAUAUUAGAGGUCUCAUAUUCGAAUCCUCACUGCAUUAUUAUUGUAUGCGUACAUGAGAAAUCCUCUUUCCUAAUAAUUUAGACUAUCACUUAUACUAAAAUAUAUAUAUAAUGACUUUUACGAAUGCAAACAUAAAAUUACACCAAACAAUAAUGGAAUAGAAAGAUGGAAGUUUUUUUUUUUUUUCCUACGUCUAAAGUAUACUUUAUACAGUCCCGAUCUCUUGGACCACAGGAGUCCAAGAGAUUGUGGUCACCCACCGUUGGAUAUUAAUCCAAUGGUUCAAAAUGAUAUAUAUAAAUGCAAUAUGACAUAAAUGAUUAUUACCCGAUCCAAGUCAACCGUUGAAUUUACAUUCAACGGUGGGUGACCAUAAAUCUCUUGGACUACAGGGGUCCAAGAGAUCAGGACUGAUACUUUAUAUAUAUAUAUAUAUAUAUUUAUUUAUUAUGGGAGUUAUAACUGUUUAGUUUUCAGUUUUUAUUUUCUAUUUAUUGUUUUAAUUUUUAUGGUUUAAUGUGUAUGGAGAUUACAAAUAUUGGAUGUCUAUAAAGGGCCACUCCUCCUUCACAUCUGAAACAAACUACCAUCUCAUUUCUGUAUUUUCAUACUUUCAUAUAUUUUCUACUGUCCAGAUUAUUAUUUUUGGGCAACGGUUCUGUGACUUGGAGAUUUCUAUCCGAUUGUUAACAUGCUCAUAGCGGACCUUGAGCUUGCGUAUUAGGGAUCGUAUCUUGGAGCCUUGUAGACCUUUAUUACCUGCAUGUAGGGAGGGUACAAAUGCUUUAGGUCAGCGUCUUCGACGUACUUUUGCUUUCUUAUUUCUUCGUUUCUUUAUUUUUGCUUUACUUUUAAAUCUUUAUUUUAUGUAUUAUUUAUAUUUAAAAGUUUGAAUAAGAGUUUUACAGAAAAGGAAAAAUACAAUUUCAAAUAACACAAAUUUCUCGUUUUUUGUUCUUAAAAAAGAAGAAGCAUUGAUUGGGGAGUUAUGGUAAACUCAAUUUCAAUGGUUGCGAUGAGAGGCGGUGGCGGCGAGGAGAGGACGAAGGCUUUGCUGCCGACGGGGUGGUGUGGGUGGGUGGAGACCUCGGCUGGCUGCUUGGUCCUGGGUUCUCCUUUAAUUCUCUGUUUUCUUUUUUCUUUUUCUUUUUCUCUUAGAGUUAUUGAUGUUAAGUGAAUGGACAGAUGCCAAAAUAGGGACAGAAGUAGGGGUGGGCAUCAAUCCGGCCGAUCCGGUCAAUCCGGCCGAACCGAUUAUAUUGGAUUGGUUUGGUUUGGUUUUGACCAAAGAAAAAGUCAACAUUUUGAAAAACCGAACCGAACCGGUUUGGUUUGGUUCAGCUGUGGUUUGAGAGUUUUAAAAACUGUCCUAAACCGAACCGGACCGAUUAUAAAUCAAUUUAUUAUUUAUUUAAUUUAGUUUACAUGUGGCAAGGUUUGUGUGCGUUUUGUGAGUCCGCGUAUCUGAAUGUUGGUGCACGUUUUGAUCUUCUAAUUUGCAUAUCCCAGUUAUUUGUGUGUGCUUGUAUUUCCCUCUCUUUCUAUCUCUACUAUGUGUGUUUGCUCUUUGUGUUGUGUGGCUCUUCUUACUCUAUCUAUCUUAAUUAAUGGGUCCAUUUCAUAAUUUCAUACGCAUUCAAACUCCACCUCUGUGAUAAAAACAUUUACCUCUUUGUGAUAAAAGCUUUUCAUUUGUUUGUAUUUCUCUUUGGCUUUUUGACUCACUCACUGUCUUUCUUUCUUUUAAUGCUACUUGUGAUGAAUGCAAUGAGUAAAUUUAAUGCUACUUGGUUAAUGCAAAUUUUGUAUAUGUUUGUUUUGAUGGAAAUUGUGAACUUAGAUGCAUGCUAGACAUUGGACAACCUUUGAAUAAAUGGAAUGAUGUUGUAUUAGCCUUUGAUGGAAUGAAAUGAAAUGAUAUAAUGGCAAAAUGUUAGCAUUAUAAUGUAAGAGCAGGUUGAAAAAUGCAUGGUUUUGUGUUAGGCACAAACCGGCCGAACCAAUCCGAACCAAACCGAUUACAAGUGGUUUGGAUUGGUUCGGUUUCCAUUAUGAUUUUAGGCUAAUCCGAACCAAACCGGACCGUUAUUUUCUUAUUGGUUCAGCUGUGGUUUGAGAGUAAAACCGAACCAAUCCGGACCGUGCCCACCCCUAGACAGAAGAUGUGAACCCAAUUAUAUACAGCUGAUUACAUAAAGUAACAAAUUAAUUAAUACUUGAGUGGAGGACAGGCUUGAGUGGAAGAAUUGAUUAAGGCUUGAGUGGAAGACCAACUUCAGUGGAGGAAAGUAUAGAUAAGGAAAGCAUGCCUCGUUUAACGGCUUUAUCUAAUAAAGAUUAGUUGUUGGCACUUGGAGUUUCUUAGGAAUGCUGGUUUUGUUUCCUUGGUGGACUUGAAAGGUGGUGCGUUGGCUCGGACAUCUCCCUAGUAAUUAAUCGAAGGUGGAAUCUUACAAGACAUACAGCUGCUCAUUAGCUGAAUAUCUCGCUCUCUUUAAAGAGAUCGAAGCAAACUGCAAUUUGCAAUUUGUGUGAUUCAAGCAUGAAUAUCUGAUAUAGUAACUAUACCAUUUGUUGGUUUGAUAAGAAAAGUUUGGUUAGCGAGGAUGAAACCAUAAAGUUCUCCAAAACACACAAAAAACACGAACAAUUGCUAAGUUUAUUCUUGAGUUCACACAUAUUUGUACAAAUGAGAUUACUCCAAGCAUGACUAUACCAUUUGUUGGUUUGAUAUGAAAAGUACGGGCAACGAGGAUAAAACCAUACAAACACACACAAAGAACGUGGACAAUAUACUAAGUUUAUCUUUGCGUUAUUGAUCCGACCUAACUGUAAAAUAAAAAAGAUAAAAAUAUAUAAUGUUCACUACUUAGAUCUAUGAGCACUAAAGUCCUCCUUUUGAAAUUGCACAAAACAUCACUUUUGGUCUUUGGUAAAUUUUUAAAAUAAAUGAAUUUUUUACUUAUUUGUGAACUGAAAUGCCUCUAAAAAAAUAAUGAUAGUUUGAAGAAUUUGAUAGAAAUAAAAAAAUAUCCUCAAAUUACUUGGAAUUGAAGACCACAUAGGCAAAAACACCAAAUUGCAACCUCACUUUAAUGAUAAAAAUGGUAAACUACAAAGACAAAAAUGACGUUUUGCCUUAUACAUAAUUGGAAUUUGCUGGUGAUAAUAGUCUACCAUCUUUUGUCGAUUUGCUGGUGAUAAUAGUCUAUCAUCUUUUGUCGGUCCGACCUAAAAAGAAGAAAAAGUUGAUGGCAUCUUGUACCAUUUUUGCCAAUGUGGGCCCAAACAAUUUGAAGAAGUCCACCGGCAAUUUCUCAAAAGCUAUUGUGUGAGUGUGAAGCUAAACCAAUAUUAUUUUGCAUAUACGACUCCACAUCCCCAUGUGAUGUGAGGCUACAAAAGUGUUUCCAAAACGAAAUAUGAUAUUUCAAAACGAAGCUAUGUAUAGAGUCAUUUGUAUUUGCUUUCACAAUAACAUUUGAUUUGUGAAAGCAUUUUAUAUUUAUACAUUCUGAUAUUCUAACAAAUAAAUUGACUAAAUUUGGCCAACAGGAUUUAGCCGAAUAGAAAAGUCCUUAUUUAUAGACUAGUGGUUUCAAAUUUAAAGUUUAGACUAUCGCAUGUAUUUAAAAAAAAAAAAACAAUUGGCUUAAUUUGAUAUAUUUCCUUUUUUUCCUUUUUCAUUUUAUACUGGGUGCCGUUAUUAAGUUUUAUCCUUAUUUUUUGUUGAAAAGAAAAUUGAAAAAAAAUAAUAAUUCCUACAGCUAGCAACUUCUCCACCUUCCCUUCUUCGCAACUAGGGAUGCCAUUGCAAGGUCACCAUCUCAGAUUAAGUCCUCCUUUUAAAAUUGUGUCGUUAUUCAGAAUUGGAAUAUAAUCCUGUACCACUUUGGCCACUUUUGAAGAUGUUCACCGACAAUUUCUCAAAAGCUAUUAAGCUGUACAUCCACAAUAUUAUUGCAUCCAUCCCCAUGUGAGGCUACAGAAAAAUUUUGAAAACGAAACUGGAUAUUUUAUCUCUAACAACAGCUUUCAUACUUCGUUUACCCUGUGUUUCCAAGUUGUGCUAGCUAUUUGCAAACCUUGGAAUAUUACUUCAUCCAAAUCCCUUGCAGAGAAGAGCAAGAUAUGGCUUUGAUCGGAGAAGCCCUCAUCUCCGCUACCAUCCAGACGUUUUGUGACAAAAUUGCUUCGCCUGAGUUCACCGACUUAUUUCGGCAGAAAAAGCUCGAUGAACAACUCCUCAACAAGCUGAAGACGACGCUGUUGACCUUGUCCGUAGUGCUUAAUGAUGCAGAGGAGAAGCAAAUUAAGGAACCUUUAGUGAGAGACUGGCUUGACAAUCUCAGACAUAAUGUCUUGGCUGCGGAGGACUUACUGGAUGAGAUCGACACUGAAGCUUUGCGAUGCAAGCUGGAAGAAGGUGAAGGUCAAACCCACAAUUUAACCAAGAAGGUACGUGAUUUUUAUCAACGCAUGAAUGUUGAGAUGAAAGAUUUAUUAGAAAGAUUAGAACAAUUUGUACAAGAGAAAAGUGCUCUUGGUUUGAGAGAAGGUGCUGGGAGGAAGGUUUCACAAAGAAGAACAACUUCCUUGGUUCAUGAACCUUGUGUCUAUGGUAGAGAUGAAGUCAAAGAAAAUCUGUUACAAAGAAGAGGAUUUGCCGUCAUCUCUUUCUCAUCUGAGUAUCUCGCGGUGUCCUGCCCUGGAGAAAAGGUAUAAGAAUAAGACGGGACAAGAUUGGGCAAAGAUAUCUCACAUUCCUUGCAUCAAGAUAGGAUACGAACUGAUCAUAUAAUAUGAGCUAUUCCAUAUUUCACUCUCAACCCUCAACUCUCAAAUCAAAGUCAGGUGAGGUAUGUGCCUUCUCUUACUUUAAAAAACUGCUUCUCUUCUUCUAAUUGAAUACAAAAACCAAAACACAUAUUCUCUUUCUCUUCCAAAAACCCAAAUACAUGUUGAACAUUGCCAAAUUUGAUCUCCAAAUUCCUAAUUAUUUCACGCUUUUUGUUAUUUUGUUGCUUAGUAAAUUAUGGUUGCUGGUCACAAAUUAUAGUCUGUUAAUAGGUUCAUGCCAUGAAUUAAUCUUUGGACUUUCCCAGGUACUGCAGGUUUGUUAUUAAUGUUGUGGCCUGAUAUUCGUCGUAUCAAUAGGUUGUCUUACGUUGAGGAGAGAGAUCGAUCAGCAAUUACAAAAUUGUUAGUGAAUUUAGCUUGUUUAUCAUCUCUCUCCUUUUGUUUGUUAAGUUUGGUUGUUCUAGGUUAAACCCUUGUCCCCGCAUUUCACAGCAACUCUAUGUUAUUCCACUCUGUUUAGUUUCAUUUAUGUUGUGAUUCGACUGCUGCUGUAUUUUAGAUUUCGUUCAUGUAAUGCUAGGAUGUUUAAUCUCUUAUCUGUGGUGGUAGUUGAGUAGUCUAGCUAAUCCAAUGAUAACUUGUCCCCUGUUUUGUAUUGUUUUUAUUUCUCUGGUAAUGAAAGCACGUUUCUUAUAAAUAAAUAAAAAAUAUUUCAUUGAUAUUCAUUGCUUAUUUUGAACUGCAGAAGCCUACUUUUGUCAGAGUCAGUAGAUGCCAGAAUGAAGUCAUUGCCUAAACACAUUGGCACCCUCACAGCCUUCGACAUUUUGGGAUAUAUGAUCUUCAAAAUCUUGUGUCAUUUGCCUCCCAACCUGCAAUAUUUUCAUAUUUUAAAUUGUGACAGACUGAGCCCUUUGGUGGGAGAUUACUGGGGUUUGCAAGGACUUGGUGGCAAUAUCUUGUAGACGUUUCUCAAGGAACAGCUGCUCAAUACCACUCUUCACACUCUAUAUAUUAUGGCCUGUCAGUCUAUAAUUCCUGCCAGGAGAGGAACUUGAACGCCUCUCUUCGCUGCAAAGGCUACAUAUUUGUGGGUGUGACAAUAUCCAAUUCCUGCCAGAAGAGUGUUUGCUGCCAUCUCUUUCUUAUCUGUGCAUCAACCAUUGUUUUGCCAUGUAGAAAAGGUAUCUCACAUUCCUUGCGUCAAGAUAGGCGAAGAAGUGAUCAUAAGAUAUGAGCUCUCUCUCCCUCUCGCUCACAUACAAUGUACUUAACACAAACACUCAAUCUGAUUUCUAUUAUUAUUUUGCUCAGUAAAUUUUGUUUAAAUUUGCUUUAUUUCUCAUUGCACUUGUUCUGCUGAUCACAACUUAUAUCCUAUUUAAAUCUCAAAUGCUGAAUAAUGAGCAGUCUUUUCGCAGGACAACAUAUCUUCUCUUGGAGAGCUAUUCAUUUGCAAGGUUUCUUUAUGGGUCAUUUCCAGAGGAGGGUUUACUAUUUAAUAGAAAGGUUCACCUGGAAUAUCUCAACUGACACAUUCCCAAAUACAGGCAUUGAAUGCACAACAUUUUGAGGUACUAUUUUUGUAAUAAAAAUGUACUUGAGUCUCAUUUGAGCUAGUUUAAAUUGUAUUCAAUGUCUAUGGAUAACCUGUGAGCUUAAGUUGUAAGAUAAAACUCACAGUAUAUUAUUAGGGUUUAGGGUUCAACUGUUCAACAGGUGAGCUUAAGUUGUACUUUCCUAGGUACUGCAUGUAUAUAAUCUUAGUAUCAACACUUGGUCUUAUGUGGACAAGAGAGAACAUUUGAGGAAUUACAAAAUCUUCUUAGUGAAUUAAUGUUGUUUCAGCUCUGUUUGUCAUCCCUCACAUUUUCUUUGUUAAGCCUUGAUUUUUUAUUAGACAUAAGAAAAAAUGCUUUUAUAAGACAGGAGAUGAAUGCUUUUAUAUGUUGAUGUCGUAGUCAGUCUUCAACCACACUCUGUUUUUAGAAUUCAUUUAUGUUACUAGUUGAGUGCUGCUGUAUUUUAUAUUUCGUUCCUGUAAUGUUUGGAUGUUUAGCUUGAGCAGUCUAGCUUAUCCAGUAGAUAACUUGUUCCCUGUUUUGUAAUGUUUUUGUUUCCUCUAAUGAAAGCAGGUUUUACUUAUCUUGAACUGCAGAAGCCUACUUUUUGACAUAGGUGGCAUGGCACAAACUCGCAUCCGCAUUUCCUUCCCCAUUGGCAUGCUGUCUCAUCUUUUGUAUUCUGUUACCAGCUUGAAGCUUGUGUAGACAUGUUAUGCUCUUGUAAUUCUGAUCACAAACAUCACUUGACAAAUGGAAAGUCACAAUCAGAUCUUUCAGGUGAUCGGGAGGUUUACUUUCUAACAUUUGUUUUCAUUGGGGGGAGGACAACAAUACAGAAUUUAAAAUUUCUGAUAAUCAAUAGUAGUUUGCAUAUAUCAGCUGGGACCUGUAUGACUGUAUUAUGUAAUUAAUUAUUUCUCUUAUUGUUUUGGUACUGUUAAAAGGAGUUAGCCACAAAAUAAAAAAGGAGGCCUCUUAUUUCAUACAAUUUUUCAAAAGUGAUCAUUCAUCCGUUUCUUUUUCAACAAUAGAGGAAUGUAUACUAAUCGUCUGGUCCAUCUGCUGCUUCACUCCCUAGUAGCUUCAUCUCCUGUCCUUUGCUUUAUUUCUGUUGAUGAAUGUUUUGUCUGGGUUAUUUAUUUUCAUUUCAUGUCCAUUGCUUCAUUUCUGUUUGGAUUCUGUCCUGGACUUGAACAAGGGUUAGGUUAGCUGUAUAAUUUGCGGUUUUAUAUACACAACUGUCUACAUUGAUUAAAACCAGCAUUAUUCUAAGGUUCAUUUAGAAUGUAUUAUCACCAAAAUUAUAAAGUAUACUUCUAUUACAAUUAAUUUGUUGAUUCUAAUUUGGACUUGUAGGAACAGACCAAACAUGUUCAUACGUGGCAUUGCUCAAGUCAUCAUCAUUCGGGACAGAGAAUAAGCCUUCAAAUGUCUGCUGAGUCAAUGAACCUUUCUAGAUAUCUCAAGUGUAGUGGAAAUUGAUGAGUUACAAAGGAUUUUUAAACAUUUUCUACUGGAGGCUAGAAAUGCUUCAAAUAAAUGACUGUGUUGCAAUUAUUUUGUAGGAUCAAAGACUCUGCAAAGAGGUAAGAAAGUCAUCAUCAAGUAACUUUGCUCUUCAAACUUUUUAAUUUUAUUUUUAAAUAUCAGUAAUAACUGGGAAAGUUUGCAUUUCCUUAAAUUGCUCAUUCUUACAUCUUUUAUAGUUUGUUGAUCUUGGGCAAGUGGAGAGAGAGGCGUCAAGUGAUACACAACAACCAUUUUCUGUGAGCUGAUUUGAUAAAGAGAAAUGGUAUGCUUUCUUGUCUUAAGCGGUGUGUUCUGCAAUUAUUUGAAACAAAGGAUGCCGCACUUCAAGUUCGAGAAAAUCAGGUAUUUUAGUAUUUUAUUCUGGAGAAAUUUGAUUUAUGUAGAAACUUGAACAUGUAAAUGAGAGAAAAAAAAAUUUAUAUAUAUAUAUAUUAUAUUGUAUAUGCUCUUAAUGAGUUAAUAUGGUGCUUGCUCCUGGUUGGAAAUUUAUGUAGUCAUCUACCUAUGAUCAAAUAAAGAUGAAAAAUAAAAUAAAAUUGAGAGCAUCUUCCUCUCCCCUGCUUUGCUCAUCCCUUGUUCUUCCACUUCAGCCCCACUAUUACACCAUUUUUUCAGCCACAAUUAUAAUAGCUCCAUGAGCAUUAAGUCCUUUUCAAAUUCUGCUGACAUUCAAAAUUGGAAUUGCUGGUGAUAUAUGAUAGCAUCCUUGUCCGACCAAAAAGAAAAAAAAAAAAAGUUGAUAGCAUAUUGUACCAUUUUGGCCAGUGUACGCAAUAUUAUUGCAUCCAACUUUGCAUAUUAACAUCAGUGGCCACAGUUCCAUGAUUUGAGUGCACAGAAAGGUUUCAAAAGUUGUCCCACAAAGAACAGUCGUUCAAAGUGAAAGAGAGUUUUCAAAGCUUAGUUACAAGUUCAUGUUAUUUACAAUAUCAAAAAGCUUUCAUACUUGCUUACAAACCUGUAUUUCCAAGUUCUGCAAACCUUGGAAUAUCACUUCAUCCAAAUCCCCUUCCAAAGCAGGAAAAAUGGCAGCAGCUUUGAUUGGAGAGGCUCUCAUCUCUGCUUCUAUCGAGUUGUUGUGUGACAGAGUUACUUCAGCCGAGUUCAUAGACUUAUUUCAGCAGAAGAAACUUGAUGAAACACUCCUCAUGAACCUGAAGACGACACUGUUGAUUUUGUUUGCGGUGCUCAAUGAUUCAGAGGAGAAGCAAAUUGUGAACCCUGCUGUGAGAGAGUGGCUUAACAGCUCAAGCAUGCUGUCUUUGAUGCAGAGGACUUACUUGAUGAGAUUGACACUGAAGCUUUGCGAUGCAAGCUGGAAGGUGAGGAUGAAACCCACAAUAAUUAACCAAAAAGGAUCUUUUUGAUUGUUUGAAAGGAGGGUCUUGAUGAUUUGAAAGGAGAGGGUUGCUUUAUUUCUGUUGGAUGCUUAAUUAAAUCUUAUUUGGAGUUGAACAAGGAUUAGGUUAGCUGUAUAAUUAGUGGUAAACGCCUUUUUCUAAGGGUCAUUUAGACUCAUAUUACGAUUAAUUUGUUGUUUCUAAUUUGGACUUGUAGGAACAGACCAAAUAUGUUCACACGUGGCAUCGCUCAAGUCAUCAUCAUUUCAGACUGAAAAUCAGCCUUCAAGUGUCUGUUGAGUCAAUAAAACUUUCUAGAUAUAUCAAGUGCAAUGGAAAUUCAUGAGUUACAUAGAGAUUUGUAAACAUUUUGAAGAUUGCAACACCUGCAAGUGAGAUAGGCGGUGACGAAAUCAGAGAUGAAGCCUCUGAUGCCCCUGUUGUUGCAAGUUGCACCUGAGAACAUGUUUUUUUUUCUUCUUUGGGGUAAAAAACUGGCAACAUGUUCGGAGCUGACAAUUCAAUCCCUGAUGAACUAGAGAAGCAAAGCUCCGGUAAGGAAAUUGGUCAAGGUUGUGACAGGGAUGAUUGAUGGUGAAAUGGAUGCUAUUUCUUAUUGCAGCCUGUUCUUAAAGUUCUUGUUGGCAAAUGCAAGAGAUGGAGUAUUUUGAUUGGGAGGAGAGAUAAUGACAUGGCUUGACAAUUCUAGAACAGCCCAUCAUUAAUCCCAGAAAAAAUCCAGUUUCUGCUAAACAAUCACUUAUGGCAAGGCCAACUCUGUAAAUGGAAUUUGUGAUCCCUUCAAAUUGUACACAUUUUUUCUUUUUGAGGAAUUUAAUCAAACAGUAUUCUAAUGCAUUAUGAUGGCACUACACGCUUUUGUUGUAACAAAUUACAAGGAGGAAUUUGGAUUGAGUUUCUUGUAUAAGCACACCUUACACAAAUUUCGUAUAUUUUCUUCCAGCAAGUCUGUCUAUUAAACCCCUUAUUUGAAAUUAAUUGUUAUAAGUUUUGAUUCAUCUUUAAUCAGUGUCUUCCCCUUGUUGAAUAACACUCCUCUUUCUAAUUUAUAUUUGAAGUUUGAGGUUUCAAUUUCAAUUGUGGGUUUUGAUUUUACAGAUUUUGUUUGUCAAUUUCAGUUUGGACAAAGCAUAUGCAAUCAAAGUAAGCAUUUUAUGUUAUACUUUUGAACUAGGUGUUGAUUUGAUUUAAUCAUAAGUUUUGCUGGUGCAUUUACUAGGCUAAUCAUUCAAUACUUUUGAUCAUAGAACUUCUUUGGUUGAUAUUAUCUUUGUUAAGUUUAACCAUAACUUUAGAGAGGGGACUUAACAGAUUUAUAAUCUCAUCAUUAUAGUAUUAAAAAUUAGAGAUUAUUUAAGGCAUUGUCUAUUAUCUGAAUUCUGCUUACUUUUAGUUCAUAUGUUUACAUCUUAGCAUAUUCAUGUGAUUAGUGCGGCUCAUACCACAAAGGCAAUUUUAGGCUCAUCAAGUGCUAAGCAAUGUCAAGCUUCCAAGUGACAAGUUCUCUACAUAGUUUGAGACCUACACUUACUAGAUAUUAGAUCAUUUGGAUCAUUUCCAUAUGUGUAUAUGUAAUUGACAUGUUAUAACAUUUUUGUAGCGUUAUAUAAUUAUUUAGCAAUUUAAUUAUUUCUUUGCAACUUUAUUUUUUUUGUCAGUCAUACUAUUGUUGACUGCUAAAAACCAUCAAGAAAUAGUUCUUAAGUUAUAAAAAAAAAUUAUAAAAAAAAAGAUUUGUUGAUGCUUAAAAAGCAUCAAGAACAGAUAGUUUCUUGACGGUUUUGUGACGUUUCAUAACUGUAAGGGGCUUUUUCUUUCGACAGCUGUAAAUGGGCUGGGCUGCCGUAAAGGUCAAGACUGAUGAAAUUGUCCCUUUUUGUCUGAGCUCGAAAAUUAUGCCCCAAAAUACUUUGAAAGGGCAGCAGAGCCUUAGGAAGUAUUUUGGUUACCCUCACCAACUAAAACAACAACAACUUACAGGUAAUUUCUUAAUGCUUACAGAUGAACUCUUGUGCUUGGCAUGAGUGACAUGUGGCAUGGAAGCAAAAUCAACAUGAGUUUAGCACUGAGGCGAAAUUUAGGCUCUCUUGGGGGAAAAAGGGAAGUGUUAAGGUGAGAGAGGAGAAGUUUGUAGGAGAUUUAGCUAAGAAAGGAGAAAUAUAGAACAAUGCUCUUCUGGCAACUUGACAGAUGCUCUGUCUGCCAAAAAAGGAAGAUGGAGAAGAAAUGUGAAUAGUGCACGAAUUUGCUAGAUUUUUGCAGGUAAGAGAGGAAGCUUGCCCUAUGGGUCUGAGUUGAGUUUUGUUGGGUGGAAGAGACCUCAUUUUAUAGCCCCUGGAAACCAUCACUUCCCAAGAAACCCUAAUGGCUUCUACCUAUUUUGGCCAAGCUUUUCCCUUCCUUUCUCAUUUCCUUCCUUGAGUUUACCCCUUUUGAUGAAAUCCCAUCUGCCUAUUUGCACCAGAUCAAAGUUUUUUGAAGCUCAAGGCCCCCAUUUUCUUGCAGUUGUCUCAAUGGGAGACUUCCAUUCCCAGUCAUUCUCCUUUAUUGCUUUCCUUUCUUUUUUUCAUGGCCUAGUCUGGUGGGGAAAGGAGUUGGGAUAUAUAUGCUGGUUUGAAGGGUGCUUCUCUUCCUGACAUCUUACACACUAAUACCCCUUGGUUCCUUGAAUGUUUUGGCUUUGAAACUUGCUCCCCCCCUCCCCCCAUGUACUGGAACCUCCCAGCAGCUCUGUUCAAUGAAUUUUCAGACCUUUUCUUCAUGGCUUUUAUUUUUUUAUUAACUGGCUGGAGCUUUUGUGGCUCAUUGUGGCAAUUGUAUGGGCUAAGGUGGUUCAUUAAGUAAGUGAGCUAUUUUUAUUAAACAUUGGGCUUUUUGGUUGAGUCACUAGGCUAUUUUGAUUGGGCUAUUGGGCUAUUUUUUCCUUUCUUGUACUCACCCACAUGUUUGGACCAAAGAAAUGAGCUUGAGUCCUGAGGCUCCCAAGCGACCCGAGACUUUCCAUUUCUCGGCCCAUCAAUGGGCCUCAUGUUGAUUUAUUACCAUCCAUACCACAACCCACUCAAGCAAGCCCCGGGCAUUUGAGUGGCUUGGGCCCACUUAGGCUUGUAGUGUGGUUGGGUGCGAAAUGACGAUUUCGUGCUUGGCAUGUUUUAAUUUUAUCAUCCUUGGGAAAGGCUGCGAUGUUUGAUUUCGGCAUGGGCUUGUAGAGCUGGUAUGCUUUAUUUCAACUCUAGCAUGACGAAUUAUUUAUUUAGCAUGGCACGUGAAUUACAACUCGCAUGGGGUGGGUUUUUGUGUACUACACCUUACGCCUCUUCUUAAUAGAACAUCGUUUUGGGCUGAUAAUUUAUUCGGGCCCAACUGUGAAUUUUUUGGGUCUCAAUAAUAACCAUCAUAAAAUAUUACAUUUUGACUGACGUCAAGAAAUGGGGUAUCCCUUUCCUGAUAGUGGCAUCCAUGAUGCCUUCCAAGCCGUCAAUUAAGGGCUAUCGUGAUGCAUUUUAGUUGUCAGCAAAAGGUGUUUUUCUUGUAUUGUAUUCACUCAAAAUCAUGUUUCAUUUAAGACUAGUAGUAUGGUUGAAUACCAUUUGUUUUGUUAAAGAAUAUUAUACAUUAGGGAUUUUUGUAGAAAUGUCAUUUGAACUUAUACCUUAGUUUCAAUUUGUUACCUUGAAGAAAAAUUUAAGAGAAAUGUCACCUUAAUUUUUAAAAAUCCAUGAUUUGUUAUAUGACUUUAAGAUCAUCCAAUUUUCCAUCCAUUUUAAGGGGAUUUUAGUCUUUUCAUUUUCAAGGAAAAAAAAGAGAUGAAAAAAGAGACAUCUCUCUUACUUUGUUGCCCAACCCAACCCAACCCCACCCGCCCCCCAAAACCACAUAGGAUUGCCUCCCCUUUCCCCACUUUUCUUUUUUCUUUUUGUCCUACUUUUCCACUGUGUUUAUGUUGAAGGAUCUAAAGUUUGCUUGGUCACCAUCUGUUACGUAGGCUUCCCAAUUGUUGGUUUGGGUGGGUUGUGGGAAUUUGUGUGUGGAGGGCAAGACCCUAUCUGACAGGACCUGCCUCGAAUUCCUCGAAACCCGAGACGAAUCUUGUGGAAUUCCCGACAUUACACCGAUGUCGGGCCCACUUAUGAACUAAAUCCUCCUUUCCAAAAUUAAGGAAAAAGAGUACGAGGCUUUCUGCCGAAAUUGCGGCAGUGUCUUCCUUAUAAAUUUAACAUUUCAGCUUUGGUGGCCAUUCUCUCAUUUUAGCUUUGGUGGCCGGAUGAGAGAACGGCCGGCUAAAACGUGGCCAACUGGCAUUGCCGUCGCGAGAGAGGAGAGAGAGAGAGAGAUUUUUAUCAAACCAUUUUUGCCAAAAUUACGAUUAUGCAACUGAGGGUAUUUUGAUCGUAUCUUUUUUGUUAUAACUCCGAUUCAAGCUCACUACAUGCCUAUGGAUUCAUCUCGCCGUGCUUUAUGCAAUUGUAUAGUUGAAAUUCCCAAAUUCCAUCCCAGUCAAAAGUCAACUUUAAACCCUAUAAAAUAUUCUAGGGGAAGAAUGGUCUUUUAUCUAAUUAAAUUAAUAAUUGAAAAUUUAUUUAGGAUCGGGUCGUUACACUGUCGUUGAUGGACUGUGCGAUGACACUCACACAAAGUCCUUGAGAAUAAAACACACACACACCGUGAAGAGAGUAAAACAAAUACACAAGUACACAAAGAUUUAUAAAGGUUUGGCCUCCUGCCUACGUCCUUUUGGUGAUCCACCCGAGAAAUUCACUAGUAUGUAAGAACAACUUUGGUUACAACUAAACCCCCUUAGCUUUCAUAAGAACCCUAGAUCUCUUUUCUCCCACCCUUGCUCCAACCCUUUGAUGCCCUUGUAAACACUCAAGAAUUCACCCUUGAAUUCUGUCAUGUGUUACAUCUUCUCUUCUCCCCUUUGUUAACCUAACCCUAAAAGUUAUAUUUAUAAUUCAUAGGACUUUAAGUACAAGUUAACUAGGAAUAGGAAACAUAAAAGACCCCCAAAAUUGGAGAAAAUAUGUCUAGAUCUCGUUAGGAAAUUGCACAACACGUGCGAUCCGCUCGAGCGCCUGCAAAAUCAUCCCUUUGCCGCUCGAUCUGCCGAUAGCUCAUGGGAUGGGGGAAUUAGAGAUUUUUUUUUUUUCAAUUUUAAUUGUUUAAAAGAUAUACAAUUUUUUAAUAAUAAUUUUUCCAUUUUUAAAAUACCCUUGAAAAUAGAAAGAUUAAAAUGCCCUUAAAAAUGGAUGGAAAAUUGGAUGGUGUUAAGAUCAGAUGACAAAUCAUGGAUUUUGAAAAAUUAAGGUAACAUUUCUCUUAAAUUUUUCUUUAAAGUGACAAAUUGAAAUUGAGGUAUAAGUUCAAGUUACAUUUCUGCAAAAAUCCUUAUACAUUAUGAUAUUCUAACAAUAAAAUUGGCUAAAAUUGAUAUGUUCCCUCUUUUAUUUUCUUUUUCUCUUUUCCUUUUCAUUUUAUGAUCCAAUCCUUUUCAUAUAUUUUUGUUCAAGACUUUGUUUUAGAAUGCUCUAUUACUAAUUUGGUACAGGUCCCUAAAAUCUCAGAGCCGCCUUAGUACAUUCAUAACGUACAUGUUCAGAGUUCAAGAAUAAUGUAUAGAAUGUGAAAUUGACGAUGCCGGCCUUUAUGAGGCAACGUCUUUAUUUCUUUGGUUAUUCCAGUUUAGAAUAUUUGCACAAAUGAGAUGACUCCAAGCAUAAAGUCACAUUCGACCAAAAAGCAUGAAGUCACACACAAAAAGAACACGGACAAUUGCUAAGUUUAUCCUUGUACCCUUAUUAUCCGACCCAAUUGAAAAAUAAAAAAAGAUGAUAAAAAAUAUUGUUCACUGCUUUAAAAUCUAUGAGUAGAGUCCUCCAUUUGAAAUUUCGUCAUUAUACAAAAUUGGAAUGAAAAAAGAAAAUCCUACAGCUAAAUUUGAUAUAUUUCCUUUUCAUUUUAUGCUGGGUGUUAGGGCUCGUCAAUGGGCCGGGCCAGGCUAGCCCGGCCCAAAUUUAAUGGGCUUGGGCCAGGCUGGGCCAGGCUUUAAAGAGGAGAGAGAAAAUAUCAGGCCGAGUUUUUUAAGAAAAUUCAAAGCCCAAGCCCGACCCAUGAGCCCGGCUUGAGAAAGCCCAUCGGGCCGGCCCGGGCCUAAACAGGCCCUACUUCGUUAAAAAAAAAUCAUAAACUUAAUCAUAAGGUCAUUUUAGUCCAAAUUUGAGAUUAAACUCACUUAAUUCCAAUAUUUUCACUUCAAACCAAAUUCAUAAAACACCCAAUAAAGUCACACAGCUUGUAAGAUUUUCCACAAAAAUAAUAAAACCAAGUACUAUUUUUGAGGUUAUUACAUAAUUAGAUCGUAAUAUGUUUUAAGAAAUAAUUUUAAAAAAUAAUAUUAAUAAGUAUCAAAAAAAUAAUUUUUUAAAGGAUGGUAUGAAUAAAUAUGCAAAUAUUUGGUGAUGUGUUCAAGAAAAGGAUGAUUAUAUUUGGUGGUACGAUUAUGUUUCGUGAUAUGAUUAUAAUUAGUGAUGUGAUAUGUUGUUCAUCUUAUAUAUAUAUAUAAUUGUUGAAUUAAUAAUUGACACAAAUUAAUGUGUUAAUCAUCCAAUUAUAAACUAGGAAUGAAUAAAGAAAAGUAAAUGAAAUGAAACAAAUUAUAUAUGUGAUUUAAGUGAUAUAAUCCUAAACCUAAACUCUUAUUUAUACAUAAUUAUAUAUGUAUGCGGGCCUAACGAGCCGGACUUUUGUGGGCGGGUAGGGCCGGGCUUUAUUGGGCUUAAUCGGGCUUUAUUGGACUUAAUCGGGCUGGGCCUAUAGGUCGGACCGAGCUUCAGACAUCCAAGCCCACGCCUAGCCUCGCCCGCCUUGGGCCGGGCCAUUCUUUUUUUGGGGUUCUAUUUCUCUUUGAAUUAACUGCUGAGUUUCAUGAACAUGUCCUCCUUUUGAAAUUGUGUAUUAUUCAAAAUUGGAAUUUGCUGGACAUACUUGAUAUUUUCGUGAGUAAAUUCUGAUUUGGUGGUUGUGCUCGUCACAAAUCAAUGAAAUGACAGCAGUGAUUUUGCAAGACAGCGUACCUUCUCUUGGGGUGCUUUUCAUUUUGCAACAUUUCUUUACGUGUAAUUUCCAGAGGAGGGUUUAUCAUUGUAUACAGCUCUUCGGGUGGUUUUUCUACAAAACAAAUGUCACAAAGAAGGAGGAGAAGCGGAAAAGAUUUACUUGGAAUGUCUCAAGUCUCCUUUGAGAUAAAGGCAUCGAAUGCACAACAUUGUUUUUGUGCUAUUUCAUAAUUAAAGUGUGCUUCCCAAGUCUCCUUUGUGUUUUGUAACUUGUAAUGUUUGUUUUUUUGUUUCCCAUGUUUUGUCUCUUAUAAAAGAAAGGCUUUUUAUCACAAAUGGUCCUUCAGGUUUACAAAAUUAUCACAAAUCGUCCUUCAAGUUUUUUUGUGACACUAAUAGUCCUUCAGGUUAUCAUUUACCCAUCAAAAUGGUCCUUCUGUCAGUUUCUGUCAAAACUGACGUUAAAUUCCUGUGCUCAGCCUGCUUUUGAAAUGAUAAUCUCAUCUUUUCCACUCAACCUUCAACCAAACUCAACUGUCAGAACCCUUUCCCUCCAUUUCCUCAUGGUCCUUCCAGUUUGGCGCCCCUGUAAUAUAUAACCAAUCUUAAAAAUUAAACUUCUGAAGAAAUUGAAACAAUCCAAGCUCAAGAGAAAGACCAACAAUUGAGAACUGCAGAGAAAGAUCAAACUCAUGGAUCAAUAUGGUAAAGCCAAAUUGAAAAACAUAAUUUGCUAAAGAUAAAGCCAAACUGAAAAACCAAACUGAAAAACAUAAAGAUAUCAUUGACAAAUAUAAAAAGUUAAAAAAUAUUGCACAAUCAAAAUACAACCACAUGUUUCACAAAACAAAACAAAACAACCACAUUUGCAGACAAGCUGUAGUUUACACUUUAACAAAGAUUAAAAAACUAACCUGUAUACUUUGGUUGUUUCCCCCCCUUUCGAAAGAACUCCUCGGACUCAUCCAUCUAGUCACUUUUGUAAGAAGAAUAAUGCGUAUUUGACUCUUACGAACCCAGAUAUUCCUUUUGCAGACCAGCUUUAUCAAUUAAAAACCCAAAAAACCUUAAUUGUGCAGGGCCCGAGGAUGAAAUGGAGGGAAAAGGUUAUAUAUGCGGUUUAGAGCGCCAAAAUGGAAGGCCCGAUGAAGAAAUGGAGGGAAAGGGUUAUUUCAGUUGGGUUUGGUCGAAGGUUGAGUGGAAUGAUGCGAUUAUCAUUUCAAAAGGCAGGCUGAGCACGCGACUUUAACGUCAGUUUUGACAGAAACUAACAGAAGGACUAUUUUGAUGGAUAGAUGUUAAACUAAAGGACUAUUAGUGACACAAAAAAACCUAAAGGAUGAUUUGUGAUAAUUUUGUAAACCUGAAGGACCAUUUGUGAUAAAAAGCCUAAAAGAAAUACAGGUCCAAACCACACGGAUCUACUUGCAUAAUAAUGGACCAAAUUUAUGAUUUUUAGAAAGAACCUUCUACUGGUGGAAUCUUGGGCUACUGUUGUGGCUCUCCUCUGUGUGCCUCCUUUUUAGAACGAUAAAAUAUUCAAAAUACCAGAAAAUGUUCAUGAUUAAUGCAAAUAUUAAGAAUUGAAAUUAUUAAUUAAAUGAAGAUAAUAUGGUAAAUUCACACUUUUUCAUAUUAAAAAAAUUAAAAUUAAAAGAAAUAUCAGAUAAUUACUCUUAUUUUUAUGGAACACAGCUACCCAUUAUCUUUUUUAAUUAUAAAAUAAAUUUAAAUUAAAAAAAAAAUCUCUCUCACAGACACGGAAGCGCGUGCUCAGAGGCUAGUUAAAAAUAAUGAACUUUGCUUUUGAAGACGUCUAUACCAGACCCACUCAACCUGCUUUAUGAUUAUGCAAAGAACAAACUCGUCCUUAGACUCAUUUGGUUAAACUUAGAAAAUAAUGAAACAAAAAUAUACACACCCACAAGUAACACAGCCAGGAUUGAAAACAACUGGAAAAAGAAAGGCAUGUCAAAACAAAAUUUUCAACAACUCAUCACCAUUAGACAAGAAAAAGAAAAAUCAAUACAGAAACAGAAAGAACAGAGAAUAAAUGUGGUGGAAGAAAAACGUUGAAGCCAUUUGUGAAUCCAACAACACUACCACUCUGUUUCUCUCCUUUUGUUCAGGCGGAUCUGCAUAUAUCCUAAGGCGUAUUACGGAAACAACUUCUUGCGGUUAUACUUGAAUGUUGUGGAUGCUUCAACGUUGCCAUCUGGGUGGAGUGGAUUUGUCCAAUUCACCUUCACUAUGGUUAAUCAACUAGACAGACAUAAGUCAGAAACAAUAGGUAUAUACGUCCAAAUUGUUGUUAUUUGAAAGGUUCUAAAUUUUAACAUUUUGUUGUAAAUGUGGAGAGAAAAAGUAGAGAAUUGGAAUAGAGAGGAGAGACUGAUUUUCUCAUUCAUAUGUUCAGAUGAAUGUCUUCAGUGUAUAUUUUACAAGUAGGGGGAGGUAUCUAUUUAUAGGCUAAGGUUUUGGUAAAAUACAGGGAAGGAAAGUUCCUGGAAGAUGCAAGGAAACUUCCUCUGUGGGCUCCACCUUCAAACUUUUACAACACUCCCCCUUGGAGACCACAAAUGAUAUGGAAUAUGCCUCGUUAAAAACCUUGCCAGUAAAAACCCAGUGGGACAAAAACUGGUCAAAGGGAAAAAGAGUACAUAAUGAUGUGUAACAUAAAAUUCUGUGUAUAUUGACGCGCGUGCGACACUGCCUCGUUAAAACCUUGCCAGGAAAAACCCAGUGGGAUGAAAACCUGGACGAAGGAAAAAGAGUACAGUGUUUGAAGAUCUUUAUUGAUAGCAUGCUCCCCCUGAUGCUUGGUAAAAUAUCUUUAAGUCAUACUGUUGAUCACCUUUCUGAAUAUCGUAGUUGACACUGCUGCUGUGAGUCAAUCUUGAGCGACACUGCCUCGUUAAAACCUUACCAGGAAAAACCCAGUGGGAUAAAAACCUGGAUGAAGGAAAAAGAGUACAGUGUAUGGAGGUCUUUAUGAAAAACCACGCUCCCCCUGAAAAAUAUCUCCCCCUAAAAAAUUUCAUGACUAGCUUUUCCAGUAUGCGACCAUAGAAAUUUUCAUAGUAUACUCUAAACCCUUGAGCGACACUGCCUCGUUAAAACCUUACCAGGUAAAACCCAAUGGGAUAAAAACCUGGAUGAAGGAAAAAGAGUACAGUGUGGAGCUGACCUCUAUCUGGUCUAGUAUACUUCCGGAAAAACAUUUAAGGUGUCCAACGGAUAAUCCUCAUAAAAAUGCUUCAAUACUUUCUUAGUAUAAGCAAGAAUCUCGUUGGCAUAAUGCUCGAUCUUUAAGUCGAGACAAAUAUUUCGUGACUUCUGCAGAAGCUUUAAUGUGUUGCAAACACAUUAUAAACAAUGUACUCACUGAGGUAAUUUAUGCAUAUUAAUAUUGAGUACAAAUUUUGUGCUUCAAGCACAUGUCCUUUAGGGACUUGCUUUAUGCAAUGUCAAUCCUCUCAACGGAUUUUGUUUAAAAGGGGAUUAAACUUUAUGACACAUUAUAUAGCUUUAACCCAGCUAUUUAUACAUCUUUAGGGAAUCACUUCAAGUGAUAUGCUCUGUGCAUUUAAUAACCCUUAAAGAUAACAUGUUGGUCUCCGUAAUUGUGCAGUAAGGGGGGAGGCACAAUUGAAUCUGUAAAUAUGGAAAAGACCCAACAUUCAUUGUUUCUGCCAGAAACAUUGUGUCAUACAAAGUAGGUAUAUUCCCUUUUAUUCCGAACACCCAAGUAUAAGUUUCAAUAUUAACAUCUUUUGGGGUUCGUACUGUGGGUUUGUUCUUUCACGUUCAUUCUCAUCUAUAAUGGAAUUACCUCUUUCCAUUUUGGCCAAUGAUAUUGUCGACAUCUAAUAAUUGAACGUGGUUCCAAUCAACACAGCCCAUUGAUGAUUUGAGUAGCUACUCCAAAACCAAAAAUUGUCAUUCAUCAAUUCAUUAUCCCACCAUUCUCAUGUGCAUGCGCAUGCAUCAAUUAUAAGCAUUUCUUUGCUUUUGGGUACCCAAGCCACUUCAGGGGGCUUUUAUUAUGUGAGAAUGUGGAUUAUAACCUCCAAUGGAGCGUUAUUUUGCAGUAGGGCGUGGAUAAUCUCCAUUUAGGGAGUUGGAACAUUUAGAACCCAUAUAUCUGUCAUGCUGCAGGCAUGCCACAGAUUAAUACAUACAUGUCAAUUAGUUUAUGGGACUUUAACCCAUAUGAUGGGACUUUAACCCAUGUAAUUUGCUACGCAUUCGGCGUGCAUAAUCUCAAUAUUGACAUGUCAAAGGAUUGUCCAUUCGGGACUUCAAUCCACAUCAUUUGCUACGCAAUAGGCGUGCAUCAUAUUGAUCACUGCUAUACCCAUAUUCUGUUCUUAUGGGACUUUAAUCUGUGCAAUGUAUUAUCAAUGUAUCCAACUUGCAAUCUGUAAAAUUUGCAUUAAUAAUACAUGGAUACAUACAAGCCAUUCUUUUGGGACGGACUUAUCUCCCCAUUUGGUUACCUUUCAAUAUAAAAUAUCAAAUAGGUAUAUAAGCAUAAAAUAACACAAGUAUUGCUUACAUCCUUAGGUGGGAGAAACUUUUCUCAAGUAUCGCUUGAUGAUCUUGUUAUAUCCUGCAAGAGCAAAAAUCACAAUUCCUUUCUCUGUCAAAAACAAAUAAGAGGAAUAGGUAGAACCGGUGAAUUUCAAAUUAACCAUAGGAAAAUUGCGAGAUUCUCGGGAUGCUUUUGAAAAAGUAGCUCCGUGAAAUCCGUAAAGCAAGAUUGGCUUUGAAAAUAAUACUUGAAAACGCCGAAAGUGCCGACAGGCAUUAUUAGAGGCCACGUGAAGUUUUGGACUUCUAGGAAAGAAAAAGAUAAUAUGGGGAUUCGAGAAGAUAUUGGGGUCUUGAAAAACAGUAGCCAUAUUUCCUCCUAUAGAUAUGGCCUUUGCAACAAUUGCGCACCUUCUUAAACUUGCACCUGUGGUUUUUACGCCUUUUCAAAAUGACGGUUUGGAACCUUGUGCCUUAUAGGUUCAAAUAACCACAUUGUUUCUCCCAAAUUUCAUAUUUUAUCGCAUGGUAGCCCGAAACUUUUGGCCUGGGCACAAAUUCAGAAUUUAUUUGCCCUUUUCAAAUGGACAUGAAAUAUGAAUUGAGUAAAAGCCAUGAUAAUAUCGCAAUAUAGUAGUGAAGAGCAUUAACUACUAUAUACCCACAACUUCAAGUUCAGGAUCUCUCAUAUAUUUGGAUCCAUGGGUUUCCGGCCCAGAUAUAACAAAAUAUGUGGGGAGCCUCAAUUCAUCAUUUGAGGUUCAUACUGAUAUUAUCCAUUUCACGGUGUAUUCUUGACAACCGGAAUUCACAAAAUAUAUUUCUUCCUUGAAGUGUCGAUUAUAACAAAAUCGAACUUUAAAUUCAUCAUCUUCUUAUGCCAAAGAAAUAUGUGGCAUACCACAAUUUGCAAUAAUACCUCAAGGGUUGUCCAUUUAAUUGUUGGAACUUCAGGUUCUCAACACUGUUAGAUUUUGAACUUCUGGCCAAAAUCACAUAUUCUCAUGGUAUGGACAUUCAAUCCCCUUAGAUUUUGAACUUCGGGCCAAAAUCACAUAUUCUCAUGGUAUGGACAUUUUUACAAUUUUCUGUACAUAUUUCUGGACUUCAAGCCCUUACAUAAUUGUCCAUAUUUUGAGGAACUUCUGGCAUCUCAUUUAAUUGCUCAUCCAUGAGUUUAAGGAACUGCAGGUUCCCUUUUGAAUGGUGAUGGUUUACCCAAAAUGGUAAAUACUUAUGCAUACAUCACUAUUCAUGUAUACGGCACUAUUUAUGUAUACAGUACAUUUGCCAGUACAGUUAUCAUCCAUGUGUACGGCAUUAUGAACAAAUACGGUACUGUUACAUCAUUAAGGAACCCCAUGUCCUUAUUUACAUGUCAGGGAUCAAGGACCCUCAAGUCCGAUCACAUGUUUACAAAUAUAGUACCGGAGAGACUGCCAGCUCUCAUAUUAACAUCAUCAUCAAGGAUCUUCAAGUCCUGAUGUAAUUGUAUGAUGAGGAUCAAAGAACUUCUGGUCCUGAUCUGUAUACUGUAAAAACUCAUCAUACAGCACAUUUAAUCCAUAGAAUAAAUUGCUGGUAAAUAAAUUACUGGUAUGGACGAUAAACUCGCACCAUACUUUAAAUAAAUAUUGCCUUACAUACACUUACAGCAUCAAUAAUUGAUAUCCAUCCAUGAUCCACCUGUAUAAAUGUAUAUAUAUAUAUGUAUAUAUAUAUAUAUUAUUUUUAUUUGGACUUAAACAGAAACAGGCAUUUUCUAUAGCUGUAAGUAUAAUUGUACCUGCCUACGCUGAAGAUUCCUUUCAUUGUUGCAGGAUGGUGGGCAUUCAGUUUAAAUAAAGCAAACACACACAUUUCAAAUUUUAAUUGAAUUUCAAAUUAGCAGUUUACUUACAUGCCCAUCCAUGACGUAAAAAGCAGAGACAAGUGAUUGUCUUUCGACAAUGACAUGAUAUCACAGUAGUGGGGAUAACGCUAUGAUAUUGGCCGAUCGGCUUCGCUGUAUCCCUGCACACCUUUAAUAAUUAUAUAAUAUUAAAAUAAUAUAAUUAUGUACCUGCACUAUAGACCUGCAUCUUAAGCUUCUUCCCUUUAUGGGGUCUGCCGCUUUGCCUUUUGUUUCCUUUGCUUUGCUUUCCACUGAAGCAAGUUGGCCAGCACCAAUAAUGCCGCCCACAAUGCAAAAAUCAAGUUGGCCAGCACCAAUAAUGCCGCCCACAAUGCAAAAAUCAAGUUGGCUACUUUUGCCUGUUGCUUUCUCAAUUUCCUCCACCCUUUCAUUGUCUUUUCUUCUUUCACUACUUCUCAUCUUCUGCCUCUCUCUUGCCUUUUUUUUUUCUUUUUUUUUUUUUGUAUUCGAUUUUCUGGCAAGCCUCCAAAGACAGCAACGACCAAGUUGCCUUGUCAUGGCUGGCGGCCAUUGCAAAAGCCUUUUCCAUGAAGAAAUGGACUUGGACACGAGGCUGGUUGAUUAUGUAGUUGGAGAUGAAGAAAGCAGCUGACAGUCUAGGGAGGGAGCGAACCAGAGAGUUUGUUACUCCACUGGUGUGGUUGGGAGGUAGGGAUCGUCUGUGGUUGGUACAGAGUUUUCUUCCUCAGCUCAAGCAAGGCAAUAGAGGUAGGUUUGUUUGCUCAGCUCAGCUCAACCUGUGCUCUCUGUGUUUGUUUGCUGGGUUAUCUGGGAGAGUAAUUUUCUUCGGGUUCGGUUCUGGUAUGCUUUUGCAUAUAGAAAACAGAGAACCCAGAAAGGAAAUCCAAGAGAGAGACUUUGGUUGAGAAAAUGGCAAUUUUUGAGAAAAAUGGAGAUGCUGAGGUUGGUUGGACAACACCGAAUGGAAGUUGUUGGGCUCGGAGCAGAGAAUUGGUUCUCUAGAUCGGAGGUUUUGUGUGAAAUUUUACUGGCAAGCAAUCCGUGUGGCUCUGUACAAAACUGGGUUGGUUUUGGGUGGGCAAUCUGGGCUUGGUUUCGAACUGGGUGUCUUGAUCAAUUUCUGGGAUCAAGAAAUCAGAGAUUUCAGCCGGUUAAAGACUCGUGCUGAUAUCGUGUUGUAAAUGUGGAGAGAAAAAGUAGAGAAUUGGAAUAGAGAGGAGAGACUGAUUUUCUCAUUCAUAUGUUCUGAUGAAUGUCUUCAGUGUAUAUUUUACAAGUAGGGGGAGGUAUCUAUUUAUAGGCUAAGGUUUUGGUAAAAUACAGGGAAGGAAAGUUCCUGGAAGAUGCAAGGAAACUUCCUCUGUGGGCUCCACCUUCAAACUUUUACAACACAUUUUGAUUUUUAAAUUUUGUUUUAAUAUUUCGGCCCACUUAGUUCUUCUCAAAAUAUGUCAUCAAUAUCGUUGAAAGGUUGAACUUAGUGAAUUAUUAUAGUGCAGUACGGUAGAAUAAGCACAUGAUAUAAUUUGUCCACAUGUUAUAAUAUAAGUGAAUAUUUAUUGAUAUUAUUUCCAAAAAUAAGAAAUAUCAACAAUUAUAUCCUCCUAUAUUAUAAUACAUAUACAAAUUAUACCACAUUAUCAUACUCUAAUACCAUUUUAUAAUUUCUCGUACUUAGGAGGUAUAGAGCGAGUCAAUGACAUUACAUAAUAUAUAAUUGUUCAUAUAAUGGGGCAACUAACGUGAUCAACAAGUUGUGGUGAUUAAUUUAACAUAAUAAAAAAUAUACCAUUUACUUGAGUGAUGUAACAAUUUGUUCUUUUAAAUUGGAUUGCCAUCACUUUAAUAUGUUAUGUUUCUUAUUAUAGUCUCCCAUGUUAAGUGCUUCAGCAUUGUUUGUGGUGUGUACACAAAUUUUCUUAUAAAAUGUUUUAAUGCUUCUCACAUGUAUAUCAGAUAUAGACAGUUGAUGUGACUUAGAAAUCAAAUUGUCAAUAAAACAAAAAAAUAUAAUUGGUGAUCGAGGUCCAAUUUAAUAGAAAAUAGUCUUAACUUGCAUAUUAAAGGUCUUAUAUUCGAAUCCUCACUGCAUUAUUGUUGUAUGCGUACACAAGAAAUUCUCUUCCCCAAUAAUUUAGACUAUCACUUAUACUAAAAAUAUAUAUAUAUAAUGACUUUUACGAAUGCAAACAUAAAAUUACAUCAAACAAUAAUCACUACUACAAAAAAGCAAAAAGACGACGGUAAAUCACCGUCGUGUAUUGGGGUUUUCAAUGGUCGUGGAAUCCACCGUCAUCUUUUCCCUCAUAAACCACGACGCUAAAUAACCGUCGUUGUUAAAAUAUACAACGUCAUCAACAAAUACAAAACGACGUCUUUGUACUGCAAAAAGAUCUAAAAAAAGCAAUCGAGGAUGAUAAUAGACGACCAACUCUCUAAAAAAACCGUCGUUAAAAAGAAAAAAUAUGACACAUAUUAAGAGAACAAGGCCGCAAGAUAGACAUACAACGACGAAAAUAAAAAUACGACGACGUUAAAUAUAAUUUUCACGACAAUAAAAAAUAUGACGUCUUUAAAUACAUUAGAAGACGACGUUAUUGAUACAUACUACGUCGCAUAUAUAAAAACAACCGUCGUAAAAUUAAUUUUCCACUUCGAUUUUUCGAUAAAAGAUGACGUGGAAAUAGUUGUCAGUGUCAUUAUUUACGACGUAUGUGUUUAUAGAUUAGACGUUGAAAAACUAAACAACGUCGGUUACAAAUAUAUGAGAGUCGUAUUACAAAAUUUAUACGUCCUAUUUUCAGAAACAAACAACGACGAUAAAUAUUAGACGUUGUUAAACAAAACAACGUCGGAAAAAUAAAAACAGACGUGUUUAGUCUGCUAAAGUUCUAGAAAAUAGUCGAGGAUGAGAAUAGACAACCAACUCAAAAAAAUCACCGUCGUUAAAAAGGAAAAAUCUGACACAUAUUAAAAGAACAAGGCCGCAAGAUAUACAUACAACGACGACAACUAAAAUACUACGCCGUUAAAUAUAAUUUACACGACAAGAAAAAAUAUGACGUCUUUAAAUACAUGAGAAGACGACGUUAUUGAAAUCUACUACGUCUCUUAUUUACAAAAAACCGUCGUGAAAUAAAUUUUCCACUUCGAUUUUUCUAAAAAAGAUGACGUGGAAAUAGUUGUCAGUGUCAUUAUUUACGACGUACACAUUUAUAUAGUCGACGUUGUAUUUAUAUGUAUUCAUUACUCACGACGCACUUAAUAAUAUAGACGACGUUGAACUUCUAAACAACGUCGGUUCCAAAUAAAUGAGAGCCGUAUUACAGAACAUAUAGACGGCGUAGAUUAUGAUGAGAGCCGUAUUACAAAUAACGUCGUUUAAUUGUUAUUAGACGGCGGUUAUAAUGAAUUUCCGUCGGAAUUCAUUUCGUUCCUCUUCGUUUAUAAAAGAACUUGCGACGUGGAAAAUGUAUGAUGACGUCGUAUUUUUUAACGUUCAGAUUAUAUAUCUCGUUUUUAGACGUCGGUAUUAUGGGAUUGGAGUCGUGUUAUUUUGAAUUACAUGGCGGUUCUUAAUCCUUCACCGACGUGAUAUCCUGAAUAAUUGCUUCACAAUAGCGUCGUGGUUCUUCAUUGUUACGUUGCUUUAAGACGUCGGUAAAUAUGCUGAAUAACUGAUUCACAAUAACGUCGUGUUUUAUUUGAACGUAGAAAGUGAAGAAAUCACAUUACAAUAUAUUACAAAAUUAAUGUCAUACACUGCCAAUUACAUAAGCAUCAUUCAAUCCAUAUAUCUUCACACCCAUCUCGAAUAUUUUGACCGCCUAACUCACCCACCAGUUCAUCAAAUGUGUCAACAUUUGGCAUCCCUCUAGUAAAUGGCUCACACUCAAUUAUCACAUCACCUAAGACUUCAUCACCAAUAACAUCAUUAUAUUCUCUAUUAGGCAUUGAUAACACUACCGACCAACCACGAUGCAUCGGGUCGUCAACAAAAAAUAUUUGUUUGACUUGAGAAGCCAAAACAAAUUGGUCAUUCCUAUGUCCAAUUUUACUCAAAUCUACAAGGGUAAAUCCAAGUUCGUCGACUACAAGACCAGAACUAUCUAUCCAAUCACACCUAAAGACUGGGAUUGUAAACUUUUGGUAGUCAAGGUCCCAAAUUUCUUGAAUGACACCAUAGAAACCCAUAUUUGAGAGAAUUGGGUUUUUAUCCUUGGCACUAGCAACUUGCAUGGUAUGUGCAAGUAAAUAAACUCCACUAUUUUGAGUUGUCCGCACAUCAUCUUGUGCCUUGAUAUUGAAUUUAAUACCUUUAAUAAGAUAGCUCCUAUAUAAUGGCACUGACAUGUUUGGACCAGCUGCUAGCCACCUUAAAUUUUCUGAUACGCCAUGAUUGUCUUCCUCAAGUUCACUUUGAACCUGCAAAUUAAUCAUAUCUUAAUUCAAUCUAACAUAUAAAUAAGAAGAAAAUUAAAAGAGAAAUAUGUUAUUCAACAACAUAUACCUUGAAGCGUAGCCAUUGAAUGAAAGUGCUAUUGUGCUUAUCCUGCAGCCACUUUGUUCUCUUUCUAAAUUUUGGAUAAGCAGUCUUGAUGUGGAUCAUAUGUUGCCCACAUGACACGAAAAAUUCAAGCAUUACGAUCCUAAAUAUAGAAGAUAAACAUAAGAAAUAAUUUAAAAUGGAAACUUAAAGAAUAAAGCUCAUACGUACUCGAUAUAAGGUAGGACUUCCUCCGUAUUCUCCAAGACAUAUAGAUGUGCUUGAUUCAACAGGUCCUGAUCAACUACGCUCACUGUGCAACCUGAUAAUGGCUUUGAAAGCCCCAUCUUUUGGCUUGAAGGCACUCCAACUGUACUAACAUCAGAUAAAUGCUGAGUACAACACUCUACCGCUUCUUCAGCUAUAUACCGCUCAGCAAUGCAACCUUCGGGACGAGUACGAUUCUGAACAUACCCCUUCAGCACUUUCAUAUAUCUUUCAAACGGAUACAUCCACCGAAAAUAUACUGGCCCACAUAGACGAACUUCUCUGACAAGAUGUACUACUAGAUGAACCAUGAUAUCAAAGAAUGAAGGGGGAAAGUACUUCUCAAGCAAACACAGAGUAACUACUACAUCUUCUUCCAACUUAUCUAGCUUGGAAACAUCAACAGUCUUUGCACAUAUAGCAUUGAAGAAGAAGCACAAACGAGUUAUUGCAUACCUUGCAGGCUUCUCCAAAACAGAACGAAUUGCCACAGGGAGCAAUUGUUGCAUUAAGGUAUGACAAUCAUGUGAUUUAAGGCCAAGAAGUCUUGAAUCUUGUAAAGAUACAAGAUUUUUAAUAUUUGAAGAAUAACCUUCAGGGACCUUCAUACCAUAGAAAGAAUUGCAAACCUCUCUCUUCUCUACUCUUGACAAAUUCCAAGGCCCAGGAGGCAAACGAGUACGUCUUUCUCCAUACUCGGGUUGCAAAUCAGUUUUGACCCCCAUGUUCAAUAAAUCUAAUCGAGCAGCAAUCCCAUCUUUAUUUUUUCCAGGGAUCUCCAGCAAUGUACCAAUGAUACUAUCACAAACAUUCUUCUCAAUGUGCAUAACAUCUAGGGCAUGCCUUACAGGAAGGUAUUUCCAAUACUCGAGAUCAAAGAAUAUUGAUUUCUUCUUCCAACAAACUCUGUCACCAUUUUCAACCAUAUGCAGCACUUCUUCUCCGGUUAAUGGCUCGGGAGGUAUGCCAUAUUCAGGUUUCCCAUUAAAAGCUGCACGUUGCCUCCUAUAUGGAUGAUUGAUUGGUAACCAUUUUCUAUGCCCAAUGUAACAAAUUUUGUGGCCAUUUUUCAACCUGUGACUAGGUGUAUCAUCGCCGCAUAUUGGACAAGCUUUAUAUCCUUUAACAACACAACCAGAUAAGUUUCCAUAGGCGGGGAAAUCAUUAAUUGUCCACAUUAAUGCAGCUCUGAGUGUAAAGUAUUCUCCAUUAUGUGCAUCAUACACUCCUCUAAUCCCAUCCCACAAAGAUUUUAAAUCAUCAAUCAAAGGCUCCAAGUAGACGUCUAUAUCAUUUCCGGGUUGUUUAGGACCGAAAAUCAAUAAGGUUAACAUCAUGAACUUUCGUUUCAUGCACAGCCAUGGAGGGAGAUUAUAUGUAACUAAGAUAACCGGCCAACAACUAUAUCUGCUACUUAGAGAACUGUGGGGAUUGAAUCCAUCAGAUGAAAGAGCCAAUCUCAAGUUUCUCGGCUCAUUACCAAACUCAGGCCAUUUAUCAUCAAGAAGUUUCCAAGACGGGGAAUCCGCCGGAUGAGACAUCUGACCGUCAAUUGAUUUUCUAGGAGCAUGCCAAGUCAAACUCUUAGCUGUCUCAUGUGAUUGAAACAUCCUUUUAAACCUUGGAAUUGGAGGAAAAUACCACACCACCUUCGCUGGCACACCCUCUUUCAAGAUUGAAUCUUUGCCUUCCUUCCACCUUGAGAUACCACAAGUAGGACAAUUAGUUGAAUCCUCAUACUCCUUCCUAUACAAGAUGCAAUCAUUGGGGCAUGCGUGCAUUUUCUCAUAACUCAGCCCCAAUGCACACAAAGUCUUUUUAGCCUCAUACAUAGAGGUUGGUAUUGUAUUUCCUUAUGGAAGCAAAUCGCCUUGAAGUAUCAAUAAUUCUGUAAAACAGACAUCACUCAUCCCAUGUUUUGCCUUCAAAUUAUACAACUUCACUAAUGCCGAUAACUUCGUGUACUUUCUACAACCAGGGUACACUGGUUGAUCUCCAUCCCCAAUCACAUUGGCAAACUCAUACGGAUCGGAACCAAAAUCAUUAUCAUCCAUAUCAAUUUCUUCAGACACAAAACUGUACCUACUAUGGCCAUCAUCUUCUUCAACAUUUCUACUAGCAUUAGUAGUUGCUUCCCAAGGUUCUCCGUGAAAUGUCCAAUUCUUAUAGCUUUGGUCAAUUCCAUUAAAGUAUAAGUGAUCCCUUAUAAUUCCAACCCCAAACAACUUCAAAUUAACACAUUUAACACAUGGACAACGGAUAUGUGUUGUAGUUAGAAGAUUUUCUACAGCAAAGUUCAAAAAUGCUUCCACCCCAAACUCAUAUGCCUUCGAUCUUCUAUCCGAGUGCAUCAUUGACUUAUCCAUCUCCGACACUAUAACCUAUUAUCUAUAAUAAAGUGAAAAUACAGGCAAUGACCAUCACUAUAGCAGAUUAUACAAAGAUCUAAUAGCAAGUAAUACACAACAAAGACGACGGGUUUUAAACAAAAACAGACGUAUUUGGCAUAUAUAGACGACGGAUUUUCAACAGACGUCGUCUAAUAUAAGUAAUACAAACGACGGUUUAUGAAAAAACCGUCGUGUAUAAGUAAUACAACGACGGUUUUUUCAUAAACCGUCGUGUAAUCGUCGGCGUAUGCCUAAAAAGGCGUCGUGUCUCAGUUUAUUUUCAAGAACCCAAAACCCAUUAAGAACACAACAUAUAUAUGAAACCAAGCAAGAAAACAACAUAUACAUGAAACCAAGCAUGAAAACAAUAAAUCCAUUCCCAAUUCAACAUAACAUAGGGUGAUUAAAAGAUCCGACAAAAUUAAAUCCAUUCCCAAUUCAACAUAACAGAUAAUGUAAUCCAUGAACCCAUUAAACAGAAAAUCCAUGAACCCAUACUUAUAAGCACAUUAUUAACAGAUCGCAAAGCAUAUACCUAAAACCCUUUAACAAAACAACCUAAUAUCAUUCAAUGAAUUUACAAGGGGAAGAUAGGGUUUGUACUUACAGGUUGGACGAGCUCACAGAUUCGACGGAGCAGAAGUGAGAGAGCAACUUUUAAUUAGAGCAGAAGUGAGAGAGCGAAAUGUUAUGUUGCGCGAAAUCUGAAAAUUUUAGGGUUCAGGGUUAGAAGAAUAAGAAUAAGAGCCAAAUAUAAAAAAAUUUAGGACGCGUGAAAAUUUUUAGAGCGCGCGCUCUUUAAAACUUCGAAAGAAAAACCAUGGCGAAAGUUCUACAAGAACCGACAUAAAUGUAAUAUUCCACGACGGAAACACUGAACGUAACGCCGUUUAUUUUGACGCUUCAUUUUUCGGAUUAAUUUUAAAUUUAUUUUCAAUAUUUUGAUAUAAAGACGACUGAAAAACCACGUCGGGGUUAAGAAAUUGAAAACGUUGUAAAUUAUAAUAGACGACUUACAUAUUAAAAUGACGUCGUUUAAAGUAGAAACUAUGUCGGAUAAUUUACUGCACGACGUAACAUAUGUAUUCCACGACUCAACCACCGUCGUUAACAAUUAAUACCCUAAACCCUUAAAACUAAAUUAUAUAAUUUUAAAAAUUAACUUUAUAAAAGGGUUUAUGGUUUUACAGCCUAAUAUAUACCCUAGACUACCCAAAAAUUAUACUUUAAAAAUAAACCCCAAUAAAUAACAACCCUAAUCUCUAAACCCUAGACUCUAAACCCUAAACCAUAAAACUAGAAGUGAUUUUAUGACUCAUCAAAACAAUUUUGUUUUGGAUGUUCAUUUUAAAUUUUUGUAAUUCAAAAUGAAUUUUUUCAAGGUUUAGGGGGAAGAAAAUAUAUCAAUGACUUCAUAGGAGUUGACUUUGCAUUUUUCUGAUUUAUUUUAAAUUUAUUUUGAAUAUUUUGAUAUAAAAAUAAUAAAAUAUUCUUAUCACAACAACAAACCACGUCGGUGUUGAUAAAUUGUAGACGUUGUAAAUUGUAAUAGACGACUAAGUUGUUAAAAUGACGUCGUUUAAAUGAGAAACGAUGGCGGAUAUUUAACUAUCCGACGUAAAAUAUAUAUUCCUCGACUUAACCACUGUCGUUACAAAGUACUACCCUGAACCCUUAAGAAAUUGAAGACGUUGUAAACCAUAAACGACUCCAUUGUUCAAAGAACGUCGUCUAAAUAUCCUUUUACGCCGGAUUUGUUUAAAACGAAACCACAAAAAACGACGGCUUUUGACUUUAUUACGUCGUUGGAAAAUUAUUACACGUCGGUUACGCAUUUUGUAUGUUUGUUUUUGUUUUUACUUUAAGAAAACCUCAACAAAUUUUUACAUUAUAUAUUAUAGACAAAAUUUGUACAUUAUACAUAAAUAUCAAGUGUUCAAUAAUUCCCCUAUUCCAGUUGAAUGCAAACAAACUCUGCCCAUUCAUUCCGGACUUCAUCAAUUGCUUCUUGGGGGUAUGGCUCUUCCUGUUUUCCCUUCGCAUACUGCAUAAAAACAAUGACUAUUAGGGUUUAUAAAUAAAAGGAAAUUCAAUCACAGACGACCAUAACCGACGUAGUAUAUCUAUUCAACGACGGUAAUUUUACAUGACCGUCGUUGAUAAUACAAAAAACGACGUAAAAUGUUUGAAGGUUAUUUCUUCUUACCUUCUUCUCAAACCCCAAGGAAGGAUCCAUGAUGAUGUCCUUCAUGAAGCGCAUCACGUAAUACCCGCAUUCGACAUUGCUGGGUUGCUUUGGUGUGCCUGACAGGGUUUUCCAAAUGACUGCCUUACGGCCUGAUCUGGCUAUGUGGGAAUUAUAAAUUUUUAUGGCACUGUUCACGAUGUCUUUGGCCUCUUCAUCGACCACACGAUUUCCUGGCAGAGGAUCCAGAAAAUAGACUGUUUCCCUCUUUGCUCUUACAAUCAGCAAGAUCCAAUGACGGCUGCACAAAAUUAAUAUAAAAACGACGGUUAUUUACAAAAACGACGUAUUAUAAUAUUUCACACGACGAAAUAAAGUAGCAAUCGACGACAUUAUAUAUUUAUAACGACGAUAAAUAACUACCGACGUGGUUAGUCGUUUCAAACGACUCAAUAAAAUAAAACACCGACGUGGUUAGUUUAUACGCUGUCAUUUAUUGAAAAUCAUAAAAACAAAAUCCUGUUAAGGAGACUAACCCUGGAUUGUAAGGCAUGAGGAAAAUCUGUUCACCGUCAGUCUUCUGAAGUCGUGAUGCUACAAGCCGUGAUCUGUCAGCUAUUGUGCCAGAGCUGGCACUAACUGUAGCAGGGUCGAUAAAGCCAACCAUUGUGCACAUAUUUGCUUGUUUUAAAACAUCGUGUAAGUACCUAAAUAUAUAAAAUAAUAUAAACAAGUCAGCGCAAAAAAAACACACGACGGUUAUGUAUAACAAAACGACGUAUUAUAAGGUUUCACACGACGUACUGAAAUAGACAACGACGUUAUAAUAAAUUUAUCACGACGGUACAUACUAACGACGUGGUUAGUUAGUUAAGACGACGCAAUAAAUAAACCAACGACGUAUUAUUUUAGAAUGACAAACCUCAUAUAUACAGCAAUGACUGUAGCUCCUAUUUCCUCCAUGCCUGCAAAUUGUGUAAUAUCUUCAGGCAGGAGGAAGGUAUCGCGCUCUAGACCAAACACCUCCUUAUCAAUUGUAAAGUGCAGGGUCUUAUCUUGAGUUACGAGUGUCGUUUCCACAUAACGACAAAGGGUUUGUAAAGAAGAUGGCGCCUCCAUAUUUGAAUAAUCAACAACUUUAGUAACCUGUUUAAAGAAAUAAAAAAAUGACGUGGUAAUUCAAUAAAAACGACGGUUUAAGGAAUAAAAUGUCGUUUGAAAACAAUUUAAACGACGGUGAAAAAACCGUCGUGGUGAAUUAUUUAUUACGUCUUAGAAAACAAUUCCGCCGUCUAAGUUGUAAACAAACGACGGUUUAAAGAAAAAUAUCGACGUCUGGAAUUUUGAAAACAAAUAAAAAAGGUAAAGUUAUGUGAACAUACCUGGUCGUCAUCUUCUUUCUCCUUUUCAUCUUGUUUUUCUUCCUUAUUCUCUUCAUAUAUGACGUCGGGAAUGAUUAACUCCGUCAUCUAAAAACCACAAAGUUUUAAAAAUAACGACGUUUAAUGGCGUGUAAAACAAGUAAACUAAAUACGACGUGGUAUUGAAAUACAAACGACGGUUUAUUUUUAAAAUCGUCGUGGUAUGUAUUUCAAACGACGGUUUUAUUAAAAAUAACGACGUCUAAUGGUUUUUAAAAAAACAGAGAAUUCAAAGUUCAGAUAUGUUACCUUUUCUUCCUGAUGUUUCCCAUUUUUGGCAGUAUCAUCCUCAAAAUGCUGGGAUCUCACAUCACCUCCAGAGCAGCUUGCUUUGUCAGACAUUGGAUUUUUGGGACUUUGGCUAAUUCUGGGUUUAAGCAUGCUUGGAUCAAAAUUGGGAAUUAAUUGGGAAAGCUGACUCAGGAAAUGCUCCCUCUCAGCCUCUACCAAUUGUUUCGUUCUAGCCUCCAUUCUUAAAGCCUCUUCCCUUGCCUUAGCCUCCAUCUUUUUAGUCUCUUCUUGAAGGAGAACUCUUAAACUGUCCUUCAAACGGUCGUCAAAGCUCACUCUCUGUGGUUUGGGUAAAUUGAAAUAUUGCUUUGGUGAGAUCCCAGCACCUACUCCUCUGACUCUGCCUGGAUGCUCGGGGCCCAAAGCCAUGGUCAGCACAUCAUUGCUGCCAGAGACGGUGACUUUGCCUUCCGAGACUUGUUUUUGCAAAUCAUCCUAAAACAAAGAUAUAUAAAAAAGUAAGAACAAAAACACACGACGGUUAUUUAUAUACAAACGACGUAUUAUAUAAUUUCACACGACUCAAUAACAUAUAAAUCGACGUUAUUAUAAUUUAUCACGACGGUAGUUAUACCGACGUGGUUAGUUCUUUAAAACGACGAAAUUAAUAAACCACCAACGUCUUAUGUAACAGAGGGAUGAUUCAAUAUUCACACCUUUAACGACGUUGUUUAAAACAUUUCGACGUAGUAAUUUAAUACAGACGACGCGAAAUUGAACCACCGACAUCUUAUGCUAUAAUUACAGAAAACAGAGUUCUGAUUCCUAUUUAGACCUUUAACGACGUGUUUUAAAAAAUGUCGACGUGGUAAUAUCAUUCACACGACGCAAAAUAUAACAUAAGACGUAAUAAGAAUUAUUCACAGUUUAAUAAAAAUUUAAAACAGAGUGAGUAGGCUUACAAUUAAUUUUGCUUUCUCUGCCACCUUUGGAUCAGGGAUGUUACCAUGUUUGUCAUGUCUAGCUCUCUUCCAUAAGGUAGAUCGAUCAAUUUCUACCCCAGGCAUGGUUUCCUCUAAUUGAUCCUCCAAACCGGCAUAUCCUUUUCGAGACAAUCGAUGAUUGUACUCGAGUUUCUCCCUAAUCUGUGCAUGUUGAGAAUGCACAGACUCAAAAUCUUUGGAUAGCCUUGAAGCUACAAAGGCAUCCCAUUGUGCUUUCUCUAUGAAUUUAUAUGUUUCAGGGGGUUGGCUUAAUCUCUCCCUGUCAUUGGUGUAUGGAAGGAUAUAAUGCCUCGUUAGUGUAGACUUGAAAUCCUUCCAUUUCUUGGCAGCAGAAGCUAAGACAGAGUUCUUGCCCCCUUGACCUACUACAAAAGCAAUGUCAACUGCUUCCCAAAUCUGCUCCUUUAUAUCCUUGGGGAUUUGAGCCCAUUUCAAGUCCACAAGUGGAACUCUGGAGCGUGCCAACACACCAAUAUAGGACUGCAUCUCACUAUGAGCUUGGCCAAUUCCUUUCCCCCUUUUAUUGUACUCAACAAUUGGCCUCAGUUUCUGCAGUUUUCUCUUCACAACACGAGGCAUUGUGCUCAUACCUCGACCAGCCUUUGAAUCAUCAGAUAUUGUUGUCCCGCUGGUUGGUUCUGUAUCAGCAGAUGAUGAAGCAAACUUCAUCUUCUUCGAAGACUUCAUUAUCUUCGAAGACUUCUCUUGAGGAGGUACUUGCUCCUCACCUCCAUUUUUCUUGGAGCCAGAAUCCUUACUUUAGUCUUGUUGAGAAACCAUUUUUACAGACAAAACUGCAAGUGAAAAUAUUUCAAGAAAAGAUUAAGAACACAAACGACGGUUAUUAAUAAAAUACGACGUAUGAUAUGAUUUUAAACGACGCAAUGAAAUAAUAUCAGACGUAAUAAAUUUUUAAAACGAAGGUAAUUAAACAACGACGAAAUAAUUGACUACAAACGACGAGAUAAUUAACUAUAAACGACGGAAUAUUUAUAUAACGUCGUGGUAUUGAUGUUCACACGACGUCAGUAGUAAUAUACCGUCGUCUAUAUAAGGAUCCAAAACCCUUCUUUCUUUCUCUGUGAAUGUUUGAUUGCAGAUUUGAUUUUUCUGAACCAUGGUUUUUGUUUUCUAAUUUGAUAAAAUACAAGGCCAAGAAAGAAAGUUUUGGAAUCUUAUAUAGACGACGGUAUUUUAAUAUGACGUCGUGGUAUUAACAUUCACACGACGUAAAACAAUAAGAUACUGUCGUCUAUAUUAGAUACCAACCCUAAUUUCUUUUUCUUUAUAUUUUAUCAAAUUAGGGAAAAACAAAAACCAUUGUUCAGAAAAAUCAAACCUGCAAUUAAACAAGCAAAUAAAAAAAAGACUAAAAUUUUAAAAACAACUUUGUCAAUUUUCAGACGACGCUAGAACGACUGACGAACCGUCGUGGUCUACAUAUUUAACCACGUAAAUAAGAAGCUACCGUCGUCUUAUUUAGUUAAGGUAGUUGUCUUCAAAGUUGGAAACUUUCCCUCUUUGUCUGUAUAUUUUAUCGAACUUGGAAAGAAGUAAAAUGAUUUUGGCCAGAAAAAAGGUAAAAAGAUUUUUCAAACAAAAAACGUAUGAGCAUGCAAAACAGCAACCAAAAUAGUGAAAAUGAAAGCUUACCUUUUGUGUGCAAUGAAAGCAAGAGGAAGACGAUCGAUGUUUAAAUUCAGAGACGACGAAGAAGACGAGAGGAAGACGAUGAGAUACUCUGAAAGUGCUCUGACAAGGAAAAAAGUCUAAAAGUUUUCUCUGGGAGAUUGAAAUUUUUAAUCGGGUUUGGAAAAAGUGCAUGUGUAAGUCAGGUAGACGAAAAGUUGCUUAUAUAUAAAACCAUUUCAAAAAAAUAAUACGGCGGUUACAUAUAACUACGACGUAUAAAUUACAAAAUACGACAGUACGUUUAACUUCGGACGUGGUAAAUAAUUACGACAGUAGUGUUAUAGGUACCGUCGUAGUAAACUCAAAAUUAAAGUACAUAAGUAAUAACUCGCGUCAUGGUAGAUCAUUUAACACGUCGGUUUUAUUAAUGUACCGACGUGGAUUUAUGUAAUAUACGUCGGUAAUACCGACGUUGAUUUUACAAUUUAAACGGCGGUUUUUUUGUAAGGACCGCCGUUGGUUUUAAAAAUUUAUUCUAUAAAUUUGUUGCUUUCAUUCAUUUUCGGUUUACAUUUAGGGUUCCAAGUUCUUCCUCUCUCAGAGACACUAUCUCUCACAUCUCAAAGACAGUAAUUUGGAUGUCUUUCUCAAAGAGAAAUUGAGCUUACUCGCAUCAAAUCUAUGUCCACAAGAAGAAGCUUGUCAACUAGCCUUCUCACUUCCUUGAUCAAGCCUGAUAGGACACUUAGUGCUUCUGAAUACUCCUUGCUUUCCAUCAAAAGAGAUGCAAGCCUGGCCUCCACUCGCUGUCGAAGGAAAGUUCGCUUCUCAGGGAAAUCUGAAGAUCAGAUGUGCCUGAUCCUCUGCUUGAUUUUCUUGGCUAAGAAGAUCCGUCAGAUUUGUGAUAGCCUCUUCCUUUAUCCGUAGAGCUUCAGAAGAAGAAGAUGGGUUUCAAGAAUGCGAUAAAGAAUAGAAAUGGCUUCAGAUGGCCUCUAAAGCAUGAGCAAUCGAAUCAGUGCUUUGAACUAUACUUUGAACUAUACAAGUCAAUGCUUUGAACUAUACAAGUCCUGCAGAAAGAUAAAGGACCAAACUAUUAAAGAAACCCCAAACUAACACGACGCAAUAUUUGUUUUGCGACGUGGAAUCUUUUCAUUUAACGUCGUUAGGUUUAAUAUAACCGACGUGGAUUUGAAUUUUUAAAUUAUGAAUAGCAUUUUUUUUCCCGUGACCUUUCAGUUUAUUUUUCAAUUACAGUGCGUUAUAAAUAGAGUUUUUUUUCCGGAGGAAAUUUAAAAUGAAGGAAAUUAAUGUUCUGGAAUAUGUAAAAUUUCUUUUUUGGAUGACAGAUUUAAAUAAAAUAAGAAUAUAAAAACAACGACUGUUUUUGUAUUACUGUCGUCGUUUUUCGUCGUCUUAAGUAAGACUAAGACAACGUAAUAUAUUUGUUGAGCGACGUUGAUUUGUGUUUUAAACGUCCUUAGGUAUAAUAUAACCGUCGUUGAAAAUUGUCUCUCUGAUUGCAAAUUUGCAACGACGUUAGGUAUAAUAUUUGUAGAUACACAAACGCACACACAUCAUCAACUUCCAAAAAAUUGUCUCUCUGAUUGCAAAUCUGUGUCAUCUGUUAAGAUUAUGAUGUGGAACAAAGUUCCAUUUGGUAAGAUUUCGUAACCCUUGGGAUCUCAGAAAAAUCUGAUUAUGUCGGCGAUUUUCUAUAUAAACCGUCGUGGUUAUUUCAAUUCUUGUCAUUAAGUAGAUCUACCGACGUAGGAUAAGAAAAUCAAAGAAAAAAAUUGUUAACAAAAAUUCUUAUUAAGACGACGGUUUAAAUUAAAGGUAAGACGUAUAAAAUGAAUAAAUACGACGUUAAAUUUUAUAGUACGAUUUAAAGAUAACGUCGUAGAACUAUACCAGAAUGACGUCGAUAUAUUUAUAUUUUUCGUCGUUGUACAUUAAUUUAAUACGGCGAUAUUUUGUAUUUUAAAGUCGUGGAUUUGUUUGUAAUUAUACAGCGUCUUAUACGAAAACCUCGUCGUGUUAUUUUAUGAGUAAAAACGGCGGCUUUUAUUGAAAUCGUCGUCUUUACUUUCUACGUCGGUUGAUUCAUAACUUCUGUCGUUCUUUGUUGGCUUUGAUUUUACACUGCGGAAAUCUGUUUCAAAUAGACGUCGGUUGUUUAAUUAAGUACGUCGUUGUUUUUGAACAGCCAUUUGAAUCUCCAUUUUUUAGUUGUCUAAGGUGGUAUUACACGACGGUGUUUUUAGAACCGUCGUCUUUUUAAAAACCACGACGGUUUUCACUGAGACCGUCGUUGUUUUCUGGUCGUCUUUUUCACUUUUUGUAGUAGUGAAUGGAAUAGAAUGAUGGAAGUUAUUUUUUUUUUUUCCUACGUCUAAAGUAUACUUUAUAUAUAUAUAUAUAUAUUUAUAUUUAUUAUGGAAGUUAUAACCGUUUAAUUUUCAGUUUUUAUUUUCUAUUUAUUGUUUUAAUUUUUAUAGUUUAAUGUGUAUGGAGAUUUCAAGUAUUGGAUGUUUAUAAAGGGUCACUCCUCCUUCACAUCUGAAACAAACCACCAUCUCAUUUCUGUAUUUUCAUACUUUCAUAUAUUUUCUACUUUCCAGAUUAUUAUUUUUGGGCAACGGUUCUGUGACUUGGAGAUUUCUAUCCGAUUAUUAACAUGCUCAUAGCGGACCUUGAGCUUGCGUAUUGAGGAUAGUAUCUUGGAGCCUUGUAGACCUUUAUUACCUGCAUGUAGGGAGGCUAUAAAUGCUUUAAGUCAGCGUCUUUGACGUGCUUUUGCUUUCUUUUUUUUACUUAUUUCUUCGUUACUUUAUUUUUACUUUACUUUUAAAUCUUUAUUUUAUGUAUUAUUUAUAUUUAAAAAUUUUGAAUAAGAGUUUUACAGAAAAGGAAAAACACAAUUUCAAAUAACACAAAUUUCUCGUUUUUUGUUCUUAAAAAAGAAGAAGCAUUGAUUGGGGAGUUAUGGUAAACUCAGUUUCAAUGGUUGCGAUGAGAGGCGGUGGCGGCGAGGAGAGGACGAAGGCUUUGCUGCCGACGGGGUGGUGUGGGUGGGUGGAGACCUCGGCUGGCUGCUUGGUCCUGGGUUCUCCUUUAAUUCUCUGUUUUCUUUUUUCAUAUUUUUCUUUUUCUCUUAGAGUUAUUGAUGUUAAGUGAAUGGACAGAUGCCAAGAGAAGAUGUGAACCCAAUUAUAUACAGCUGAUUACAUAAAGUAACAAAUUAAUUAAUACUUGAGUGGAGGACAGGCUCGAGUGGAAGAAUUGAUUAAGGCUUGAGUGGAAGACAAACUUCAGUGGAGGAAAGUACAGAUAAGGAAAGCAUGCCACGUUUAACGGCUUUAUCUCAACAAAUUAGGAAUGCUGGUUUUGUUUCCUCGGUGGUUGAAAGGUGGUGCCUUGGCUCGGACAUCUCCCUAGUAAUUAAUCGAAGGUGGAAUCUUACAAGACAUUCAGCUGCUCAUUAGCUGAAUAUCUCGCUCUCUUUAAAGAGAUCGAAGCAAACUGCAAUUUGCAAUUUGUGUGAUUCAAGCAUGAAUAUCUGACAUAGUAACUAUACCAUUUGUUGGUUUGAUGAGAAAAGUUUGGUUAGCGAGGAUGAAACCAUAAAGUUCCCCAAAACACACAAAGAGCACGGACAAUUGCUAAGUUUAUCUUUGAGUUCACGCAUAUUUGCACAAAUGAGAUUACUCCAAGUAUGACUAUACCAUUUGUUGGUUUGAUGUGAAAAAUAUGGGCAACGAGGGUAAAACUAUACAAACACACACAAAGAAAGUGGACAAUUACUAAGUUUAUCUUUGCGUUAUUCAUCCGACCUAACUGUAAAAUAAAAAAGAUGAAAAUAUAUAAUGUUCACUACUUAGAUCUAUGAGCACUAAAGUCCUCCUUUUGGAAUUGCACAAAACGUCACUUUUGGUCUUUGACAAAUUUUUAAAAUAAAUGAAUUUUUUACUUAUUUGUGGACUGAAAUGCCUCAAAAAAAAUAAUGAUAAUUUGAAGAAUUUGAUAGAAAUUAAAAAAUAUCCUCAAAUUACUUGGAAUUGAAGACCACAUAGGCAAAAACACCACUUUGGACAAAGGCUGGUGAUAAUAGUCGAUAUCAUCUUUUGUCGGUCCGACCUAAAAAGAAGAAAAAGUUGAAAGCAUCUUGUUACCAUUUUUGCCAAUGUGGGUCCAGACAAUUUGAAGAAGUCCACCGACAAUUUCUCAAAAGCUAUUGUGUGAGUGUUUUGAAGCUAAACCAAUAUUAUUUUGCACAUACGACCCCACAUCCCCAUGUGAGGCUACAGAAGUGUUUCCAAAACGAAACAUGAUAUUUCAAAACAAAGCUAUGUAUAGAAUAGAGUCAUUUGUAUUUGCUUUCACAAUAACAUUUUAUUUGUGAAAGCAUUUUAUAUUUUUACAUUAUGAUGUUCUAACAAAUAAAUUGACUAUAUUUGGCCAACAGGGUUUAACCGAGUAAAAAAGUCCUUAUUUAUAAACUACUGGUUUCAUAUUUGAACUCUAUGACAUUCUCUUUACCCUUAAAGUUUAGACUAUCGCAUGUAUUAUAAAUAAAAAAAAACAAUUGGCUUAAUUUGAUAUAUUUCAUUUUAUGCUGGGUGCCGUUAUUAAGUUUUAUCCUUGUUUCUUGUUGAAAAAAAAUUGAUAAAAAAUAAGAAUUCCUAUAGCUAGCAACUUCUCCACCUUCCCUUCUUCGCAACUAGGGAUGCCAUUGCAAGGUCACCAUCUCAGAUUAAGUCCUCCUUUUAAAAUUGUGUUGUUAUUCAAAAUUGGAAUAUGCUGGUCAUUCUUGAUAUAAUCUGUUCCACAAAAAGAAAAAGAAAAAAGUUGAUAGCAUCUUUUACCACUUUGGCCACUUUUGAAGAUAUUCACCGACAAUUUCUCAAAAGCUAUUAAGCUGUACGUCCACAAUAUUAUUGCAUCCAACUUUGCAUAUACGACCCCAUCCCCAUGUGAGGCUACAAUAUUGUUAAAAAAAUAUGCUAACAUUGUCAUUCAGUAUGCUAACAUUGUCACUAUGUUUGCGAAUUGCAUAUUAUCUAGAACAUAAAGGCUUUGGUGUUUUGUAGAUCCUCAGGGAGCCAAACCCGUCUUUAUAAAAAUGGUCCUUAUGAUACUACUUUAACAACAAUAAAGUAUAAUAAACUAGGCCUUUGUAGUCACUGAACGAAUGUUUUGUCAUAUAUAUGACUAUUUAAAUGUAAUUACGGGAUUAAAACAUUAUAAUAAAUUGGAGUGAACCAUAACAUUAUAUAUGAUCCAAUCCUUUGCAUAUAUUUUUGUUCAAGACUUUGUUUUAGAAUGCUCUAUUACUAAUUUGGUACAGGUCUCUAAAAUCUAUGCCUUUAUGAGGCAACGUCUUUAUUUCUUUGGUUAUUCCAGUUUAGAAUAUUUGCACAAAUGAGAUGACUCCCAGCAUAAAGUCACAUUCAACCAAAAAGCAUGAAGUCACACACAAAAAGAAUACGGACAAUUGCUAAGUUUAUCUUGUAUCCUUAUUUUAUUGAUCCAACCCAAUUGAAAAAUUAAAAAGAUGAUAUAAUAUACUGUUCACUGCUUACAUCCAUGAGUAAAGUCCUCCAUUUGAAAUUGCGUGAUGAUAUAAAAUUGGAAUGAAAAAAGAAAAUCCUACAGCUAAAUUUGAUAUAUUUCCUUUUCAUUUUAUGCUGGGUGUUAAGUUUUCUUAUUUCUUGUUGAAAAGAAAAAUGAAAAGAAAUAAAUAAAUUCCACAGCUAGCCACUUAUCCACCUUCCCUUCUUCCCAUGUAGUGACAACAAGGGAGGCCUUCAAUCCAAAAUAAAGACAAGGGAUGCCAGAUCAGCAUCUCAGAUAAGUAUCCCAACCAAAACCAAUCAAAUAAUGACAUAUGUAUCUCUUUUUGUGUUUUGUUCUAUUUCUCUUUGAAUUAACUGCAUAGUUUCAUAAGCGUGUCCUCCUUUUGAAAUUGUGUAUUAUUCAAAAUUGGAAUUUGCUGAUCAUACUUGAUAUCAGCUAAAAAAGUUUCCAACAUCUUGUACCAUUUUUUUCCAGUGUGGGUCAUAACUUGAAGAAGCCCACCGACAAUUUCUCAAAAGCUAUUACCAUCCAACUUUGAAAAAUAAAAGUUUUCAAAAGUUACCCCAAACAACAGUCCUUGAAAGAGAGAGUUUUCCAAGGCUAAAGAUUACAAGGAUGUUAUUUACAGUCUCGACAACGACAAGCUUCAUAUUUGUUUACAAACCUGUAUUUUCAAGUUGUGCUAGCCUAGCUACUUGCAAAAAAUAUCCAGUUGGCACAUGCAUUAACGUGUGACAAGAAGUUAGUUAUAUUUGUAAAGUAAAAGAACGAAGUACAUAGCAUGUAAGUUGAUGCUAAAUAUUUGAUCAACAGAGUUAAACAUAAAACCACUGACAAUAUAACGUUGUUCACCAAAAAUUGCAUUUCGUUGAGGGUCAGUAGUGUAGGUUUCAAGAUACGAUUUAUUUUGUUAAAGAAUAUUCUGAUAUUCUAACAAUAAAAUUGGCUCAAUUUGAUAUGUUUCUCUCUCUUUUUUUGUUUCUGUUUUCCCUUUCAUUUGAUGCUUUGUUGUGCUAUUGCUAAGUUUAUCUUAGAGACCAGGGAUGCUUAGCAAGUUUCUUCACCUGCCCUUCUUCCCAUGUACUAACUAGGGAUACCAUGUCAGAAUCUUAGAUAAGAAUCCCAUGCUUUGUUGUGCUAUUGCUAAGUUUAUCUUAGAGACCAGGGAUGCUUAGCAAGUUUCUUCACCUGCCCUUCUUCCCAUGUACUAACUAGGGAUACCAUGUCAGAAUCUUAGAUAAGAAUCCCAACCCAAUCAAACUAUGACAUCUGUAAGUAUUCAAAAUUGGAAUUUGCAUUGUGAUAGUUGAGUGGAAGAAUCGAUUAAGGCUUGAGUGGAAGACAAACUUCAGUGGAGGAAAGUAAUUAAUUAGACCAUUAUUUGUUGGUUUGAUGAGAAAAGUUUGCUGGUGAUAGUCCAUAAUCUUUGUCCGACCAGAAAAUAAGAAAAGUUGUCUUGUACCAUUUCUGCCAGUGUGGGUCCCACCCACCCCAUGCGAGUAAUUUGAAGAAGUCCACCGACAAUUUCCCAAAAGCUUUGGCGUCCAACUUUGCCGACCCCAUCCCCAUGUGAGGCCAUAGAAAAGUUUUCAGCCACAAUCAAAUAAGGAACAGUCCUUGAAAAGAGAGGGUUUUCCAAGGCCAAGAUUACAAGUUCAUGUUAUUUACAGUCUCAAAAAGCUUCCAUACUUGUUUACAAACCUGUAUUUUCAAGUUGUGCUAGCCUAGCUAUUUGCAAAUCUUGGAAUAUUUUACUUCAUCCAAAUCCCUUGAAGUCUGCAGAGAAGAUAAAAGACAUGGCUUUGAUUGGAGAGGCUCUUAUCUCUGCUUCCGUCCAGGUGUUGUGCGACAGAAUUACUUCACCCGAGUUCGUUGACUUAUUUCGGCACAAGAAACUCGAUGAGCCACUCCUCAGGAAGCUGAGGACGACACUGUUGGCCUUGAACUUGGUGCUCAAUGAUGCAGAGGAGAAGCAACUUGUGAACCGAGAUGUGAAAAAGUGGCUUGACGAGCUCAAACAUGCUGUCUUUGAUGCGGAGGACUUACUGGAUGAGAUUGACACUGAAGCUUUGAGAUGCAAGCUGGAAGAAGGUGAAGAUCAAACUCACAAAUUUACCAAUAAGGUGCGGAACUUGCUCUUUUCUUCUCGUAGUCAUUUUUAUCAGAGCAUGAAUGAUAAGAUAAAAGAGUUACUAGCAAGGUUAGAAAACUUUGUACAACUGAAAAGUGCUCUUGGUCUGGGAGAAGUUGCUGGGAGGAAGGUUUCGCAAAGAACUCAAACAACCUCCUUGGUUCUUGAACCUUAUGUAUAUGGUAGAGAUGAAGUCAAAGAAAAGUUAUCAAAAGUUUUGCUAUCUGAUGAAGCAGGCAAGGAUCCUGUGUCUUUCCUCACCAUUGUUGGAAUGGGUGGGGUUGGCAAGACAACCCUUGCUCGAAUGCUUUACAAUGACGAUAAGGUGAAAGGGCAUUUUAAACUUAAAGCUUGGGCUUGUGUUUCAGACUACGAUGAUUAUAUUAAAAUUACUAAAACUCUCCUUGAGGCAGUCACUUCAAAGCCUUGUAACACGGCAAAUCUGAAUUUGCUUCAAGAAGAUCUAAGAGAGCAAUUGAAGGGAAGGAAAUUUUUAUUUGUGUUGGAUGACCUAUGGAAUGAGAAUAAUGAGGAUUUGAACUACCUUAGAGCUCUUUUUAUUACUUUAGGAACAAUGGGAAGUAAAGUCAUUGUAACAACACGGAGCAAAAAUGCAGCAUCUGUCAUGCAAAAUGUUCAUAUUCAAUACUUAGAACCAUUGUCGCAGGAGGACUGCUGGUUAUUACUUGCAAAACAUGCAUUUGGAAAUGUAAAGUGUAGUGCACAUUCAAACUUGGAAGAUAUUGGAAACCAAAUUGCACGCAAGUGCAAAGGGUUGCCUUUAGCUGCACAAACACUUGGGAGUUUGUUACGUUGCAAUAUGAAUUUCGAGUACUGGAAUAGAAUACUAAAUGAUAGUUUUUGGGACCACCCCUAUGAUAAAACUAACAUUCUUCCGGCUCUAGGGUUGAGUUACCAUUAUCUUCCUACUCAGUUGAAACGAUGCUUUGCUUAUUGUUCAAUUUUUCCAAAGGAUUAUGAGUUUGAAAAGGAAGAUAUAGUUCAAUUAUGGAUUGCAGAAGGUAUAAUUCCACAAGCUGAGAAUGGAAAUAGGAUGGAAGCAUUGGCUAGAAUAUACUUUGAUGAGCUGUUAUCACGAUCGUUGUUUCAAAAGUCAAGUAAAUUCAGCUUCAUUAUGCAUGAUCUCAUUAAUGACUUGGCUAUGUUCAUGUCUCAGGGGUUUUGCCUUAGGCUCGAAUAUGGGGUAUCCCAUGAAGUUAAAAGAGCUCGUCAUUUGUCAUAUGCUAGGGGAGCAUUUGAUGCUGCUCCAAGAUUUGAACCAUUAUAUGAGGCUAAAUGUUUGCGGACCUUCCUACCUACCUCUUUAAAUCCAUAUAGAUUUUAUGAAAGAUUUUUUGUAAGUAAAAAAGUUCUACAAGAUUUGUUGCCAUCACUAAGAUGUUUACGGGUGUUAUCAUUGUCACGUUAUCAAAAUGUUACUGUGUUACCUGAUUCUAUUGCAAACCUCAUUCACUUGCACUACUUGGAUCUUUCCCAUACCGCAAUUAAAAGGUUACCUGGGGUACUUUGCAAUCUCUUCAACUUGCAGACAUUACUAUUGUCAAAUUGUUCCUCACUCCAUGAAUUGCCUGCAGACAUUAGAAAAUUGAUUAAUUUACAGAAAUUGACAUUGGGCGGUUGUAGUUCUCUUAAUAAAUUGCCUGCAGGCAUGAAGGAGUUGACUAAUUUGCAUCAUCUUGAUGUCAGUGGAACUGAAAUAGUAGAGAUGCCGGUGCAAAUGGGUAGACUGAAAAAUUUGAGAACAUUGACUGCAUUUGUUGUGGGCAAAUCUACUGGGUCAGGCAUAAGAGAACUGAGCGAGUUCCCGCAACUUCAAGGAAAACUAUCAAUUUUGAAGCUACAAAAUGUAGUUGAUGCGAGGGAUGCACUGCACGCCAAUAUGAAGCUCAAGACAGAUCUCAAGGAGUUAGAGUUUUCAUGGGGUGCGCAGGAUGCUGAUGAUUCCCAAAAGGAGAAAGAUGUACUUGACAAGCUCCAGCCUUGCGUGAAUUUGGAGAAAUUAACCAUUGGAUUCUAUGGUGGAACCAAUUUUCCGAAUUGGUUAGGAGACUCGUCUUUUUCUAACAUACAAGUCAUGCAUCUCAGUGACUGUAGUUAUUGUUGGUCGCUCCCACCAGUUGGACGGCUGUCGGCACUCAAAGAGCUCUGUAUAAAAAGAAUGAAGUCUUUGAGGACGAUUGGCGUUGAAUUCUAUGGCAGAGAUGGAGCUUAUCUGACUCAGCCAUUUCGAUCUCUGGAGAAGCUAGAGUUUAUAGAGAUGCCGGAGUGGGAGGAAUGGGUACCAAGUGGAAGUGCAAGUGGUAGUGAAUAUGGUCCAGACUUUCCUCAUCUCCAGGAGCUGAUUCUAAACGAGUGUCCGAAGCUAAGAGGAAGUUUGCCUUGUGAGUUGCCUUGCUUGAAGAAGCUUACGGUGUAUGGGUGUAAGGUUUUACAUGAUGGAAGGGCCGCUACCGCAACUACCAAUAGUCUUAACUAUAAAUCUCUGGAAGAAUUGGAUAUAAGGGGUGGAUGCCAAACUCUGUUAUCAUUAUUAGAGACAAAGCUCCUGUCCCGACUUAAGAUUGAAAAUGUUGACGUACAGUGCUUGCCCAACUGCAAUCGUCUUCAACGUUUGACUCUUUUGAAUUGUCCAACGCUGUCGUCAUUCCCUAAAGAUGGCCUACCCACUACAUUGACAUCACUUACUAUACUCAAUUGUAGGAGAUUAGAAUUCCUACCUCAUGAGAUGUUGGCCAAAUUAACAUCGCUUGACUAUUUGGGCAUACAAAGUAGCUGUGAUUCAAUGAGGUCCUUACCGUUGGGCAUUUUUCCCAAAUUGACGACGCUUCAAAUUCUUGGUUGUGAGAAUCUGGAAUCUUUUUCCUUGAUUGAAGAAGAAGGAGCUGUUGAGAAUCUCAGCCAUCUCAAUUCCUUGCAAGUCAUUAACUGUCCAAAAAUGGUGUGUUUUCACGAGGGAGAAUUGCCCUUUCCCAACCUGAGUCACUUUGUAGUCAUUGACUGCGAGAAUUUGAAGUCAUUGCCCGAACGCCUUCACACCCUCACUGCCCUUCGAUCUUUGAAUAUAUGGAAUCUUCCGAAUCUGGAGUCAUUUGCAGAAGAUGGGGGUUUGCCUCCCAACCUCCGAUCUUUUAUCAUUAGGAAUUGUAAGAGACUGAGGGCACUUGACUCAGUGGGUUUGCAAGCACUUGUCUACCUUCAGAUCGAUGGAAGUGACCAUGUCUUGGAGACGUUGCUGCUCCCUACCACUCUUCACACUCUCUGCAUCUCUGAUCUAUCAACUCUGAAAUCUUUGGACGGAAAGGGUCUUGGACACCUCACUUCUCUUCAAACUCUAAAAAUUUACAGCUGUCCAAGUCUUCAAUGCCUGCCAGAAGAGGGUUUGCCGCCAUCUCUUUCUCAUCUGAGUAUCCGCUGUUGUCCUACCCUGGAGGAAAGGUAUAAGAAUAAAACGGGACAAGAUUGGGCAAAGAUAUCUCACAUUCCUUGCAUCGAGAUAGGGGAAGAAGUGAUCAUAUAAUAUGAGCUAUUCCAUAUUUCACGCUCAACCCUCAACUCUCAAAUCAAAGUCAGGUGAGGUAUGUGCCUUCUCUUACUUUAAAAAACUGCUUCUCUUCUUCUAAUUGAAUACAAAAACCAAAACACAUAUUCUCUUUCUCUUCCAAAAACCCAAAUACAUGUUGGACAUAGCCCAACGCUGUACUUUCAUAGGUACUGCAUGUAUAUUAUCUUAGUAUCAACAGGUGGUCUUAUGUGGACGAGAGAGAACAUUGAGGAAUUACAAAAUCUUCUUAGUGAAUUAAGCUUGCUUCAGCUCUGUUUGUCAUCCCUCUCAUUUUCUUUGUUAAGCCUUGGUUUUUUAUUAGGAGAUGAAUGCUUUUAUAUAUUGAUGUCGUAGUCAGUCUUCAACCACACUCCGUUUUUAGAAUUCGUUUAUGUUACUAGUGGAGUGCUGCUGUAUUUUAUAUUUCGUUCCUGUAAUGUUUGAUGUUUAGUUUGAGUAGUCUAGCUUAUCCAGUAGAUAACUCGUCCCCUGUUUUGUAAUGUUUUUGUUUCCUCUAAUGAAAGCAGGUUUUACUUAUCUUAAACUUUUAUUUUUAUUUUUAAAUAUCAGUAAUAACUGGGAAAGCUUGCAUCUCCUUAAAUUGCUCAUUCUUACAUCUUUUAUAGUUUGUCGAUCUUGGGCAAGUGGAGAGAGAGGCGUCAAGUGAUACACAACAACCAUUUUCUGUGAGCUAAUUUGAUAAUGAUAAAUGGUAUGCUUUCUUGUCUUAAGCUGUGUGUUCUGCAAUUAUUUAAAACAAAGAGUGCCGCGCUUCAAGUUCGAGGAAAACAGGUAUUUUAGGUUAGCUGUAUAAUUCGUGGUAAAUGCCUUUUUCUAAGGUUCAUUUAGACUCCUAUUACGAUUAAUUUGUUGUUUCUAAUUUGGACUUGUAGGAACAGACCAAAUAUGUUCACACGUGGCAUCGCUCAAGUCAUCAUCAUUUCCGACAGAAAAUCAGCCUUCAAGUGUCUGCUGAGUCAAUGAACCUUUCUAGAUAUAUCAAGUGCAAUGGAAAUUCAUGAGUUACAUAGAGAUUUGUAAACAUUUUGAAGAUUGCAACACCUGCAAGUGAGAUAGGUGGUGACGAAAUCAGAGCUGAUCUUGAAGCCUCUGAUGCCCCGGUUGUUGCAAGUUGCACCUGAGAACAUGUUUUUUUGGGGUAAAAAACUGGCAACAUGUUCGGAGCUGGCAAUUCAGUCAGUGAUGAAGUUGAGAAGCAAAGCUCCAGUAAGGAAAUUGGUCGAGGUCGCCACAGGGAUGAUUGAUGGUGAAAUGGAUGCUAUUUCUUAUUGCAGCCUGUUCUCAAAGUUCUUGUUGGCAAAUGCAAGAAAUGGAGUAUUUUGAUUGGAAGGAGAGAUAAUGACAUGUCUUGACAAUUCUAGAACAGCCCAUCUGAGUUCUUUUGUCAGGCUGCAUCAUUCAAUCCCGGCAAAUAUCCAGUUUCUGCUAAACAAUCACUUAUGGCAAGGCCAACUCUGGUAAACAAUUACAUUUUUUCUUUUGAGGAAUUUCACUUUGUCAUCAAACAGUAUUCUAAUGCAUUAUGGUAGCACUACACGCUUUUGUUGUAACAAAUUACAAUGAGGAAUUUGGAUUGAGGAAUUUGGAUUGAGUUUCUUUUAUGCUUUGUUUAGAUUAAAAAUAUCAGUUUCCUGUGUUAAUAACAUUACAGUUUUAUGGAAUGGUUUAUCUUGUUUUUCUGGACAAAAAUAUUUAGAGAAAUUUUCAGU